UGAUGCAGAGGAUGAUCUCGAUCUAUCAGGUUUGCACUGUUACCAAAGAUGUUUUUGUAUUAUCUAAAGAUGCUAAUCAUCUAUCAUUGUGUGUAGAGACAACAACCUCAAAUCCUACUUGGUUGGAGAAGAUACAAAAGACCGUCAAGAGCAUUUUACAGGCUGUGAAUCUGAUCCAAACCACACCAGUUGACAAAUCGGGUAUAAACUAAUAGUCUAGCACUUCCACUAACAGUUAAAAGCAAGACUCAGAUUCUUCAGUGAUUCAUCUGUUGCGUUGUGGUAUAUGUGCAGAGGCUGAUCGGGUACGCAAGGAAUACGAUGAGUCGAGCUCAAAACUGAACAAAAUACAGUCAAGGGUGUCGAGCUUAGAGAAGAAGCUAAAGCAAGACUUUGGUCUGUAUGAUAAAAAGCAUCAUAAGCCUCUUUACUUGCGUUUGGCUUUCUUUGAGGUAGUCCUUGAUAUGUUAUUGUUUGUACAGGACCGGAGAAAGAGUUCUAUUCGUUCCACGCUCGGUGUUUUGAGAGUAAACAGGGCAAGUAAGGAAAAUCUUAGCAAUUUAUUGUCCUCUUCCUUUCUUUAUUAGCAUUUUAAGGGAUUACAAUUAAGUUUAUCUUAUACAUUGCUUACCUAAUGUUUAGGUAUACUUACAAAGUCUGCGGAUAUAAAGAAGCAACACAAGAGGAAGGCUAUUCGAAAACUCGGUUAGGGUAAGUGUCGCUGCCAUUUUAUCCUUUUCUGCUAACAUAACGAGGAAUUAGUUUGAAGUUGAGAAUCAGAUAUCAGUAACUAUAUAUCUAUCAAUCUAUGUGUUUGUAUUUAACCAUUUACGCUCUCUUCUUUCUUGUAAUGUAAUAGGGAAUGGGAGAAGUUUGAGAACUCGUACCAGUUCAUGACAUAUACAAACGGAGAUAAGUGCUGGAACGGUCCAGAUAGAAGCCUGAAGGUAAAUGUUUGGAUAUAGAUAGCUACAUCCAAGAAAUUGUUUAAAUAUAGUUAGCUCCAGUUAAAAUACAUCAUACUAUCUGAGAACUGAAUGUUGGACUUGCAAAGAUCACAGAGACGUGGAUUGUAAAAGGCUUGAUUAAUUCUUGACAUGCAGAUUAAGCUAAGAUGUGGGUUAAAGAAUGAGCUUAUGGAUGUGGAUGAACCAAGCCGUUGCGAGUAAGUUCUUGUCUUGGUCUUUCUUUACCUGUCACUGGUCAAUGGUCAUCGCUUUUUUAAUCUCUGGUUUGUAAUUUUUGUAACCUUAUUUAUUUCUCUCUUGUUGCAGAUAUGCAGCAGUUUUAUCUACUCCAGCUCGGUGUUUGGAAGAUAAACUUAAAGUAAGCUGAUGUGUUCAUCUCAAAUCUCAAAACCAUACCUUACCCGAUCUUUGAUCUUAUUACUUAUUUUACACGUUAACACUACAUAAACCCCGUGUUUGGCCCUUUUUAUAUAGGAACUAGAACAAAAGCUGGAGAAGAUGAUGAGCCAAGACCAAUCUCACAGUCACGACGAACUCUGAUGAUGUUCACCUUAAAUAAUCCUUAUCCGAUGCCGCACCGGUUAGGUUUGUGUGAGUUAGACUAGUAAUCCUGCUCAAUCUCAAAAGUCAAAGAGGACAACAGAAAGAUAACUAUGAACAGAGACGCUAUUUUGGUCAGAAGAGAAUGAAUGAUAGGUUUAAGUUUGCCUCAUUGAACAAUGGAGAAGGUUCUAUUUAUCAAAGAGUAUCUUAUUAGACAAUAUGUUCAACUUUUGGUUAAGCUCAAAGAACAAUUCUUAUAUAUUUAAAAACAUUAUGAAAGAUAGGUAACUCUUUCUAUAUUGCCUAACAUUUCGAAGUUCACUUUGUUAUUAAACAAGUCGUAGGUUUUGUUCGGUUUUGUAUGCCAUCUUUUAAAAAGAAAUAAUCAGAAACUUUUAAGAUCCCAUUUCAGAAGAGACGAAAAACUCUGAACAUAGUUUCAUUAACGGAAACAAAUUAUUGCAUUUAACUCUAUUCAAAACCAGUAUCAAAUACUCCCUCUUUUUCGCCGAAAGUGUCACCUAUCUUAUUAAAACAGAAACAUUGUGACUUUUUCUAGGUGGAUUUUAAGUUGGAUUUACUAUUAGAUAUGAUAUAUUUUCUGAUUUUUUUAGUUAACAAUUAAUAUUAGUGAAUUAUUUCCUUAUUCUAUUUUGAUAACUUAAUACCUUAUAUGCAUUUAUUUAUCAGUUGGCCCAUAUGCCUGAUAUUAAAAAAAAAAAUCUUGCCCAAUCGAUUUCAUAAACAACGUGCAAUAAUAUUUAAUUUUGAGAUUUCAUAACCACUAUCCAAUAAGUCUAUGAGAUAAUCACCAUGCAGUAUAUUACUCUGUAACCAAUUAAUUAUAUAUAUAGCCAUACUAUAUGAUAUAUUCAAAAUGGAUUCAAGUCAAACUUCUUAACCCAUUACCCUUUAACCAAUCUAAAUUAGAUUACAUAUCAUAUUAACGGGUUUACCGGCUCGAGGGUAUAAGUUAGAUUUAAAAGUGUUGAUUUAAAUGUUAAUUAUUUAAUAGAAUUUUUUUUUAUAAAUUAAAAAAAUAUUUGUAACAUUGUUCAUAGAAUUUUGAAUAAAAUAUUUCGCGCUUCCGAAGCGCGGGUCAUGAUCUAGUUGAUGUUAAAAUGAUAUUCCAUUUCACAAAGAUAAGAUUUUUAGUGUUUUUACAUAUUAAAAAAAUAUAUUAAAUCACUAUAAUGUAUCGUUUUAUGUAAUUUUCAAUAGUUUUUAACUAAUAGUAAUUCAAUAAAAUCAAUUAAUUUUUUCGAAGAUCAUAAUUUUUUUAUAAAAAAAGAAAAAAAAAUUCUUUGUGAAAUAAUUUUUUUAAAACAUUUAACUUAUUAAAACUGAAGGAAUACUUAAAAAAUCAGAGGGAAUAUAAAUUUUUAAAAUUAUUAUUUUACUAAAAUAAUAGCUUUGCGAUUUUAAAUUAUAGAAAUCAUAGUUGCAUAUAUAUAUAUAUAUAUAUAUAUAUAUUAUUUUUUAAAGAUCACACAUCUUAAAAUUGUUCGGAUAAAACGGUGCAAAUUAGUUCGAAAAAAGAACCGUGCAAAUUAGUUACUACAAUUUGACAAAAUAUUUUUGACUAGGAAAAAAUCAAUCCGAGAUAUUUAUGUUUCGAAAACCAUGGCCCAACAAUGGUUCGAGAAGACAGAAAGAAAAAGGUAAACGAGACAAAUAUUAAACAACGUGCGUGACUAAACCGGUGGUAAUCAAUGAAUUGUUGACCCAAUCUAAACCAGCGACCUUCGAUUUCCCAUUUUCCAAGUCAAAAAGGGAGAGACUCAACACAAGACUUUGCUCACAAUCCCCGGAAUCUCUCUAUACUUUCCCUAGUCCCCAAGGCCCAAGCCAGAUCUCUCUCUCUCUCUCUAUAAAUCUCUCUCGGUCUCUACUACCAUCUCUGAUCCAACCUAUUUCCCCAUUGAACUCGCUGUUUUCUACCAAAGAUGGCGAUGAUAGAGCAAAGGCCGAAGACGAAGAUCGUGUGUACCGUUGGUCCCGCUUCCAGAUCCGUUGAGAUGGUCGAGAAGCUUCUCAGGGCUGGCAUGAACGUCGCUAGGUUUAACUUCUCUCACGGAUCUCAUGAGUACCACCAGGAGACUCUCGAUAAUCUCCGUCAAGCUAUGCUCAACACUGGUAUCCUCUGCGCCGUCAUGCUCGAUACCAAGGUUAGUUAUGAUCUCUGAUCUGGAUUCAUUCGACUGUGAUCUGACUUUAUUAGGGUUUGUGAGAUUUUUCUGCAGCUUUCGUUUGGUUUCUGAUUGGUUUAUUCCAGUUUUCGAUCUGCAACAGUGACGCGUGUAUGUUUAUUGUUAUUGUGCCAUUUUUGUAAUCAUCUUAUGCCUGGUACAUGUGUUACUGUUUUGUCUCUUUAUGCCAUUUCCUGUAGAUUAAAAAAAAAAACUAUUAGUAUUGGUUUAUUCUGAGAAUUAGUAAAUUUAUUCUGAAUUAUAAAUCUAGAUCUAUGAGACUCUUUUUUUUUUUGUAGUAGCUUAAAUGUCCCCAGUUACAACUUGAAUUACAACAAAUCAAUUGAGAAAAGUUGAAGCUUGUUAUAGAGGAUGAUGUUCCCCACUUAGAUCUCUUAAAUUAGAAUAUCAUCAACUCGUGAGACCCUGAUUUUUGUAGUGAUGAAUAUGUUAUUACAAACAUUUUUCUUUUGACUAACAUGUUAUAACAAAUUUGUUAGAUGUUAGAUUAUGUUCGUGUAUUGUUCUCUCUCGUCUGUGUAGAACUUUAUAACCAAAGUUCAACUCACGUUGGUGUUUAAUUAUUUUUUUUUCUGCUUGACAUGGUUCUUGUUUAUUAUAAAUGUCACACCUGCUUUCUGUAUGUUUAGAUUAAGGCAUACAUGUCCACAAUUAAAGAGACCUGUGAUUGCUGAGUUAGAAAAAGCUAGCUUUGGUAGACAUGUUCUUGAAUUGUUCUCUUGUCUCUGACUAUGGUUUCUUGGCCAGAAACUAUAGUUAGUGUGUGAAGUAGAAGUUAUACCCAAAUUUCACUUGAUGCUUUAACUUAUUUUGUUGUUUCUGUUGAACAUUUCUCCUGUUAACUUCUUUCUUGUACAUGUAAAUGUAUAAACUGAGGCAGAUCUAUUUUGGUUGUCUGAUCAAACUAACGGGACUGUUCUUUAUUUUUCUCAUAAAGGGUCCAGAGAUCCGAACCGGAUUCUUGAAAGAUGGGAAACCAAUCCAGUUGAAACAAGGCCAAGAGAUCACCAUCUCCACUGACUACGACUUGCAGGGAGACGAGGAAACAAUCUGCAUGAGCUACAAGAAGUUGGCUGAGGAUGUGAACCCAGGGAUGGUUAUCCUCUGUGCUGACGGUACAAUCUCGUUACUGGUCCUCUCCUGUGACACAGAGAACGGCACAGUCCGUUGCCGCUGCGAGAACUCUGCCAUGCUUGGUGAGAGGAAGAACGUUAAUCUCCCAGGUGUUGUUGUGGACCUCCCAACUCUAACUGAGAAAGACAAAGAAGACAUCAUGAAGUGGGGAGUCCCGAAUCAGAUCGAUAUGAUCGCUUUGUCUUUUGUCAGAAAAGGUUCGGACUUGGUUCAGGUCAGGAAACUGUUAGGAGAUCAUGCCAAGAACAUUCUUCUCAUGUCAAAGGUAUGUUGCUCUCUUUAAGGUUUCAGAAACUACAUGAACUCCUGUUUUGAUUGUGAUUGGUUUUGUCUGUGCUAGGUUGAGAACCAAGAAGGUGUGGCGAACUUCGAUGACAUUCUUGUCAACUCCGACGCGUUUAUGAUUGCAAGAGGAGAUCUCGGCAUGGAGAUCCCAAUCGAGAAGAUCUUCCUAGCUCAGAAAGUGAUGAUCUACAAAUGCAACAUCCAGGGAAAACCAGUGGUCACAGCGACUCAGAUGCUCGAGUCCAUGAUCAAAUCCCCUCGACCCACAAGAGCUGAAGCCACUGACGUAGCAAACGCAGUCCUCGACGGCACCGACUGUGUCAUGCUCAGCGGAGAAACCGCAGCUGGAGCUUACCCUGAGCUAGCUGUACGCACGAUGGCCAAGAUCUGCGUUGAAGCCGAGAGCACGCUUGACUACGGAGACGUCUUCAAGAGGAUCAUGCAGUACUCUCCGGUUCCAAUGUCCCCGCUGGAGUCACUGGCCUCCUCUGCAGUCAGAACAGCUAACUCGGCUAGAGCCACGCUCAUCAUGGUCCUAACCAGGGGAGGAAGCACGGCGAGGCUUGUGGCUAAAUACAGACCAGGGAUGCCUAUUUUGUCAGUCGUUGUUCCCGAGAUGAAAACAGACUUCUUUGACUGGUCUUGCAGCGACGAAUCGCCGGCGAGGCACAGUCUCAUCUUCCGUGGGUUGAUUCCGGUGCUGUACGCAGGGUCUGCUAGAGCCUCGCAUGAUGAGUCCACAGAAGAAGCUAUUGAGUUUGCGACUCAGCAUGGGAAAGAGAAGCAGCUGUGUAAGACUGGAGACUCUGUUGUUGCUCUGCUCCGAGUUGGUAAUGCUUCUCUAAUCAAGAUCUUGACCGUCAAGUGAUGAUUGAUGAUUCACGAUCUUUAAAAAGGAGUCCCGUUUUUGGCGUUUGGCGGUUGGGGGAAACGCAACUAUAAUCGGUUUUUGUUAUGAAUUUUUUUUAUUCAAGAUUGUGAUUACAUAUCUUGAGAUAGGAAACUCAAGUUCUCUUUCUUGCUAAUUACAACUACUGUGGUGACCAGUGAAUCCACUUACGGCUCUCUUUGUUUUGGAUUAUUGGUUGUAUGGAACUAAUCAAUCAUACACGUAUCUAUUAUCAUGAUUUUCUUCUUUUUUAUUUAUUUGGUUAUUAACCUUUUUUGUUGCUAAAAAGGUUAUUAUCUUUCUUUUAUUAUAUAGGUCGGAGAUAAUGGGCAUUUGUAUAUUUAUUUCAUGCUUUUGUGUUUUUGGAAAAAGACAGAGUAUGAAGACAAAAAGAAAGAAGACAGCGCAUGAAUCAAUCGCCCAUACAAAAUCAUGCCGACAAAGAUAACUUAAUCAUCACUAUGUGGGAGUGGGCUUCAAUAUAAUUUUCAUGUAAACGAAGUCAAACAAAAUAAUAGAAACGCACUGUCAUAAUUUGAUCAUCUCUGUAUAUGAACGAGAUUGAAUCAUUAUCGCCCCAUACAGAACCCAUUCAUGCCAAUACUAAAUCAUUUUUCUUUCUUAAAAUACUUUUACUAAAGUUCCAUGGAUCAUCUCCGCACAGCACCAAUGAAAGAAGAUUGAAACGAAGAAUAACAUAUAGUACCUCCAAGGAUUUUUCAACAGUCUUUUGAGUAAAUAAACAGCAUUGUUAUGUACAUAAAAUGCAGCGAAAUGAAAUACAGAGAAACAAAAUGAAGAGCUAGAAAAUGAGAAAAUACAAGACAAGGCAACAAGAACAGAACCAACAUUCUUAGUUUCUGGAUGUUUAGUUAUUUUAUCAGCGAGAAGAACCAUAAGAUCUUGAGUAGACAUUGUUCUCACCAGACUGAGCUGAUCCAGAUGAUGAAGGAGAAGACGAAGAAGAAGAAGAAGAAGAAGAGAAGAAACCACUGAACGGCCAUGGAAUCGAAAACCUCCUCCCAUUCCCACUCCUCACAUCCUCCUCUCUUCCUCUCUCCACACUCCCCACAUCCUCAACAACCUCCUCUCUGUUACUACUCUCAGGAACAGUUCUCGUUCCUCUCUCAGACACAACCUUACUCUCAUCAUCACCAUCAUCAUUCCCAGAAGGAAGCUCAAACCGACAAACAGGACACGAGCUAUGAAUCUCAAGCCACGGAACAAUACAUUUCACAUGAAACUUAUGCUUACACGGCAUCUCCUUAGCCUCCACGCCUCUCUCAAACUCAUCCAAACAAACCGAACACUGCAACAACGGCUCCGUCACUUUAACCGUCGGCAAAGCUUCAACGGCUUCUUUACGAGCAGGCGGAGUCCCUUGCCUGUUGGGAUCAUUCUCAGCCAAAUGCUGAAGCAAAAGAUCCAAACCAGGUCCGAUGAAGUAGUCUCCAAGCGAAGUCAACGCAGAAUGAGUCUGCGUUUGAUCUCUAACAACGAGGGACUGGUUAUAAGGAUUGAUCAUGAUCACUCUCUCGUUAUUAUCAGAGCUUUCGUACUCUGAAGCAAUCCCUGCACGUAUCCCUUGAAGGAGCUGCAGUAUAUUCCCUGAGCUUCUUCGUCUUCUCCUUAACAGAGAUUCAAACUCUCUGUCCAAAUCAAUCUCUCCACCGUGACGCCUAGCUCUAUGAUGAUGAUGAUCAACAUUGUUGGAUUCGUCUUCGUUGUCUUCUUCUUCUUCAACAAACUCUGCUCUUCUGAACCUUCUCCGUCUACGAGGACUGCUCAUCAUACCAAGCAAGAUUGGUGCCCAUAGAGUCAUCGCACGGUCUGUUGUUCCAAACUCUGUUUCAGGGUCUUGAACGUCUCUUAAGCCUCCGUUACCGUUACCGUUACCGUUCAUUUCUUCAACGAAACCGCUUUGGCAAAAGGGGCAUUUGAUCUCGGAUUCGAUUGUUGGGUUCACCAUCUGUGAACACAUGUGACACCAGUACCUAGCCGCCAUUGUUUCCUCCAUGUCUCUCCUCCUCCUGCAAAUAAGAAGAAAAAUCAUGUCUUCGAUACAGAUCUAAAACCCAAGAGGAUCGUGAAAAGUUUCGAACUUUACAAUAAUAUCCAUCUUAAAGGAGUAAACUUUGUUAUCAAUAUCCAAGAUUUAAUGAUUUUAACAAAUCAAAUACGAGAUUCAGACAAAAGUCAAGCUUCUUACACAAAGUUCUUGUCUUUUUUUUUUUUCCUCCUGUCUUAAAAACAUGAAAACAAAACCCAGAACAAGAAAAGAUCAUACCUUUUAAAUGUCUUCUGCCUCUUUUCUGAAGACCCAAGAAAAUUCAAAUCUUGUUCUUCCUUUGUUAUGUGACUCUUCUGGAGAAAUUAAACCCCCAAAAAAGCUCAGAUUUUGUUGUUGUACCUCCUUGUUGGUCUGGCGAAGGGCUGGAGAAGAAACAAACAAACAAGAAAGAAAAGAGUGGAUGGAAACGAAACAACCCAACCACGUCCUCUUCUAAACCCCCCAACUCCUUCCUUUGUUGUCUCCUCUUACUUUUCUUAAUUACCAUUUAUUCUGUUAUUAAAUUAAUAAAUCUUGUUUUAAGACUUUUGUUAAUUAUAGUCUUUUUUCCCCUCACUAAUUUUGAGAUUUAUUACUAAUUUAUCAUCAGCUGUUUCAACGCUUGUGGUGGUCUCGGUCUAAUUACGUUUCCAUGCUAUUUGUUUUGUCAUAUACGUGUGACUACUAUAUAUAUAUGCUACUUGCAAGGGAAUAUAAAGUAUCUAUCUACAAAUGUAAAUAUUCGUUUGAUGUAGACUUCUCUGAUUAUUAAAUUUUAUAGUAUUAAAAGAAAUUUCAACUUUAUAAACGCGUGAAGUGAAGUGUAGAUAACUUAUUUUUGACGGGAUUGGACCGAGUCUAUCCAUUAGUUCCAAUAAUGUGUUCGCAAACUACCUUGCCACCUUGGUUUUCACAAACUAACCAAAAAAAAAAUUCAAGAAAUCCAGAACCUUUUCUUUGUGAAAGAAGAAAUACAAAACUUUAGCUCGGUCUAUGUAUUGAUCUAGUCUAGAAUCAAUCAUUAUAUAUAUGGGUUUUGAACAAGAUAAAUCAUUGAAUCCUGAUGUUUAAUUAGUUCUGGUUAUCAUUUUUCUCAUAUAUAAUGCCAUAGCUAAACUGUUGUUACAAAAAAAAAAAAUGCCAUAGCUGAACUUGGUGAGUGAACAAAUUGCACAACAGUGAUAUUGCUCAGGCCAAACAAUGAUAAUAAAUGUCUAAACUAUUAAAAAUUGAAAAUUUUAAAUUUAUGGAGAUUUUAUUUAACGCAUGUACGCCAAAGAAUCUAAAUAUAUAAUACGGUAUGAUACAACUUCAUAGUAUAAAAUUUUGGCAAAUACGCUUAUUAAUCUUACUUCAGCAUUUGGCCUCUUGACCUAACUACUAGAUUCAUCUUAUUUUUGAGAAAGAACAAAAAUAAAUUUUUUGUAAAAAAAUCUAACAAUUCAUUUGCCGCAGAAGGUAACUCUGAACCAAACAGUUUCAAAUUGAAUGAGCUAUAAAUGUAGCAAAUAAAAACAUAACAAGUUGUACUUUAUUUCUAAGAUUCAGAUCUGGAAGCUAACCCACACACUGACGCAUACUCAUAAAUUCAGCGGAACUCAAGCUGACAGGCUGGCGAACGCCUCGACGACGAGAACAACUCCUUGAUCACCUCAAGUUUCUUGUCAGUGUCAUUGGUUUUACUGUGGAAAUUAAUGGUUGCCUUCUUUAAACACUUUGCGCUUCUAAAAACAAAUGCUACUACUUCUUUCUCUUCUUCUGCUCCUUCGUAUUUUACCCAUUCGAAAGUUUCAAUACUUGAUAACAAACAUUCAGGAACUGAACUCGGUUCAUUCCAUGCCGGGUUCCAGCAUGGGCGCGGCUCCUUAGAUCGAAGGAAAUGACACUGAUACAAAGUACAAAUACAAUGCACUAGAUCAUCAAUCAUACUUAUAAACUACUGGAUAAUAUAACCUUAUUCAAAUAUACUUAUAUACAUACCUGGUGAAGUUUGAGAGCUCGUAGACUAGGAGAAUCUUUGAGCACACACAUAAGUACAUUCACCCAUUCUGUCUCACAUGUGCAUAUCUUCAAAUGCACAAGACUGGAGAAGACACUACCGGCAGGAUACAUAUCCUGCAUGCAACAAGAAUGGCAUUAAGUGCAUGGUCAAAUGUAAUCUCAAUAGUUUUGAUCACAACACAUAUAAAUUUAUAUAUUACGUUUAAGGAUGGUAGGCACAGAUAAAGGCGCUUGAACGAAGCAAUAGAACCCAACUUCUUCCAUAACUUCCAAGUAUUAAGGACAAGUUUUGCCUCCACAAUCUUACUCAUAUUGCUCUCAAAGGUACAAAACCCACUAAAAUGAAAAAUGUCGAAAUUUUCCAAAGAAGGAGCAUCUAUCACAAACCCAUGAGCAUCGUUUCCAAGUUUGUUUUCUAAUGUUUUCAAGACUAAACUCUUUAAAGAAGGCACGAUAACAGUGAAAAUGGUAGCAUUGUCAGCUUCACAUUGUUCCACAACCAAGUUUUCAAGGACAUGGCAGUUGGAUAAAAGCUUCUUCACAAAUUCACCACUUGGAUACUUCAUGGACUCAAGACUCAACGUUCUGAGGAAUGGGAAAGAAAUUGGUUGCUCAAGAUCAUCCACAAGAACUGCAUUGCGUAUAUUCAAGGUCACAAGCAUGCUACAUCCCCCUCUAUACAAGCUCCAAGGAAGUAAGACUGAAUCAGUAUCAGUAUAAAUCUUGAUAGUCAGCUCACGCACACAACGUUUAUCAGCAGAUCUCAUCCACGCUUGAAUAUCUUCACUACCACAAAUACUACCAAGUUUGAAAUGCAAAGCUUCUAUAACUGGAGCCUCGUGCCUAAAGAAAGAUCUGUCUACAAACAGAGAAAAGCUUCCGUACUUGGGGUUCUUAUAGGUAUCUUUGUAUUUGAUUCUUGGAACCAUCAUCCAAAGUAACUGCCAUCGCUUUGACAAAAGCAUAGUGUCCACAACAUCUUUCAUGGUAGGAAGCAUUGCCAAUAUUUUCAGUAGAAGCUCAUCGGGCAACUGACUUAUCCUGUCCAUAAUUAAGAGCUAGCUUCCGGACAGAACCUAUCGCCUGAAAAACAUUCGAAAAACGAAACGAUAAAAAACCCUAGCUAGGUGUAGAACAAACCUUUUUUUUUUUUUUGAACACGGUGUAGGACAAACCAAUAUAAGAAAAGAGAAGCACAUGAAAUCUAAACAAGACGGGAUUCUCAAAUACCUAAAUGUCAUUCUGAUUUUAUUUCUCAAUAAUAAAAUGAACAUUUUUGGUUAAAAUAUGACUUUAUUUAUCAUUUAGCCAAAUUAAAGCUAAUCUUUGUGUUUGAAUCAUUAUCAUCUAAUAAUUAGUUAUGUGUAUAUAAUAAUAAAAAAGAUUGUGUUACAUGUGUAAAGACGAUAAUGAUGCACAUUUGAAGCAGCAAGAAGAGAACUUGGGAUUAAUAAUGUGUUUAACUAACAAGAAAAUCAAGACUUUAACUCGGUCUAUGCAUUAAUAUAGAAUCAAUCACUAUAUAUAUGAGUUUUAAACAAGAUGAAUCAUUGAAUCCUGAUGCUAAACAUGGUGAGUGAAUAUACCAACUUUAGUGAGUUGAACUGAUUGCGAUAUAUUGUUCAGGCCAAACAAAUUUUUUUUUUUUUUUGAAAAUUGGCUUUCAAAAUUAAGAGCAAAAAAGAAAACGUUUACAAGGCCAUUAAGGUCUUAAGUGAGCAAUACCCAAUAGUGAAACUAAUAGUUUAGAACUUUCUUUAGCCCUAAGCCCAGUAAGCCCAUUUGAUGGAGAAUGGUUAACGACUUCUGGUAUUUUCCAGCGGAACAGAGAUGAUCAACGAUCAUACAGAGGAAAGCGGUCGCAAGUGAGAUGGAUGAGAGAUGAGGCUUCAUGCAAGAUGGAACCAUGUCUGCAUCAUACUAGAAGAUAGGCGUGGGUUUGAUUCUCUGAAACUUUGAAUCCUGUUUCUGAUUUGUAAAUCUACAACCCGGAAGAGGCGAUCAGCAGAACGAAAGGAGUUGGAAUGCAGUCUGGCGUUCCUUUCAUUCCAGAUCCAGUAUAUUGUUGACUGCCAUGCCAGUAGGGUGAGUAAUCGAAGUGCCCUUGAAGCUCUGCUAGUUGGUAAUGUAAUCAUCUGAUUAAGCGCGUCCGGCCAGUUGCGUGAGGGUGUAAGGGAACAUCUUCUGGAGCUUUUCAACCAUAAGUCAUAAGCAAAUUCACACUCAAAAUAGAGAUGAUCACGAGUUUCGGGGAAGCUGUUACACAGUAAGCAGACAGGCGGAACCUGAAGGCCCCAACGUAGAAGACGAUCCCGUGUUGGGCAGCGAUCCAAAACUACUAGCCAAGUGUGAAAAUUAUGUCGGGGGAUUCCGUAAGAUGUCCACACCGCAGUCGUCCAAUUUACUUCGUCAUGCGCCCCUCUCAGGUAAUGAUACACUUCACCAGUAGAGAACUUGCUGGAGAUCCUUCCUUCUAUCUCCCAUUCAAAGUAGUCUGGCUCAGUUGUGAGGUUGACUGUGGUUAAAUGUGCUUGAAGUUGUAGCUGUUGCUCUGAUCUUGCAGGUGGAAGACGCCAUGAUCCAUUACGGAAUAGCGAAGCCACUGUUGCUUGUUGAGGAAUGCCUAACCUUGAUGAUUGAGCGUUCAGCAGCGUAGCAACAUUACCUAGGGGGGACCAGUUGUCAUGCCAAAAUCUAGCAGAUAGUCCAUUCUCCAAUCGCAGUUUAAUCAAUGGGUAGACAACAUCUUUGAAUUUGAGGAUCUUGUUUGCGAGCCAAGAGAAGGAAGCCUUUGGCUUGGUAGUCCAGUAGUUGUGGAUCGAUCCCUUAGGUAAUUUAGAAGCACUAUGAAAGAACAAAAGGUUAAACCAAAAAUGUUUAAUAGAAAUAGCAAAUUUUGAAUGUAAAUUGAUUCCCAAGCGCAAGGGUUGAUUACUUUUUUGUUAAUUCUACAAAUAAUUUUAAUUAUUUUAAUUAGAAAGAGAAGAAAUUAUGUUUAAAUUUUCUUUGGAAUUUUACAUAGAAAUGUAGUUGAUAUAUUUCCUUGAAACCAAUUUUAAAAAAAAAUCAAAUAGGCUAUUACAAAUUGGUAUUUAUAAUUCAUAAAGAUAAUAAAUAUCUAUACUAUUCAAAAUUGAUAAUUAUGGUGAUUUGAUUUAACAGAUGUACAAGAGAGAAUCCAAAUAUAUAAUAUGGAAUAGUACAACUUCAUCUGGUAUAACAUAAGUAUAUAUAUACUAUUUUCGUAUCACUUUUAAGUGGUGUUUACUGAUUUUUAUUUUGUUUCAUAAUAAAUGGUGUUCUUACUAUUCAAAAUAAAAUUUAAUGUAAUUUAAAAUUUGUGACUAAUUAUAAAAUAUUAUAUAUUUUUAUUGGUCGAAUUAGUUUUAUUUAAUGUUAUUUUUAUGUAACCAGGAUAAAUUACAUAAUUUCUUUUUUUAAUAUUUGUGUAAAAACCUUUAAAAUCAUUUGAAAUGAUACAGAGAGAGUAUAUGUUAUGAACGAAUAUGCUAAAGAUUGACCAAAGUUCUUAAAUUUUAUUUUUGUAAAUAUCACCUAUUAUUUAGUUUAUAUUAAAAAAAUUCAAAACUAUGUUGAAUGUAAUGUGACACAUAAUUUUGGCAAAAUAUACUUGAAACAUAUGUAAUUAUCUUACUUCAAAAUUUGACCUUUUGACCUAACGACUAGAUGCAUUCUCUUGGAUUUUCUGUGAAAGAAAAAGAAGAUUAAACAUUUUGGGUAUAAAGUCUUAUCAAUUAAUUUGCUGCAGGAGAUACCUGAAUCAAACAGUUCAAAUUGAAAUGAGCUAUAAAUGUAGUAGAAAAAAAAACAAGUUGUACUUUCUUUCUUGUCUAAGAUUCAGAUCUAGAAACUACCCAAAAGAUGUUACUUGAUUCUCACUCAUAACUUUAGUGCGUAACUCAAGCAGUCAAGCUGACAGGCUGGUGAAAGCCUUGUUGAGAACAACUCCUUAAUCACCUCAAGUUUCUUGUCAAUGUCAUUUGUUUUACUGUAGAUAUUAAUAGUUGCUUUCUUUAAACACUUUGCGCUUCUAAAAACAAAUGCUACUGCUUCUUUCUCUUCUUGUGCUCCUUCAUAAUGUACCCAUUCAAAAGUUUCAAGACUUGAUAAAAAACAUCCAGGAACUGAACUCGGUUCAUUCCAGGAAGGGUUCCAGCAUGGGCGUGGCUUUUCAGAUCGAAGGAAAUGACUCUGAUAUAAACAGGAUUAAAAAGUACGAUGCACUAGAUCAAUUAUACCGAUAAACUACUGGAUAGUAAACCUUAUUCAAAUAUAUGUACCUGUUGAAGCUUGAGAGAACGUAAAUUAGGAGAAUCCCUGAGAACACGCAUAAGUAGAUUCACCCAUUCUGUUUCACAUGUGCAUAUCUUGAAAUGUACAAGACUGGUGAAGACACUACCGGCAGGAUAAACAUCCUGCAUAUACCAAGAUUGCAUUAACUGCAUGAUCAAUAGUUUACAAUAGUUUUGAUUAAGUAAAUGACAUUCAUGCAACAAAAAAAAUUUAUGUGUUUAAUAUCUUGAUCAUUGUAUUUAUAUAAUAUUUAACUCCAUUUAUAAAUCAUAAUAAGCAAUAGUUUUCAUCACAAGAUAACUCUAUUAUUCGUAAUGGAUUAGAGACCUCAUUCUUUUUUCUUUUUUUUUUGUGAACAUACUAGAGACCUUAUUCAUUGUUUAGACUCAAAGAGAAAACCAAGAACAAAGAGGGCAGAAGGAUGGAAACAACAGCAUAUAUACUACCUUUGAGGAUGGUACGCACAGAAAAAGACGCUUGAAGGAAGCAAUAGAACCCAACUUCUUCCAUAACUUCCAAGAAUUAACGUCAACAUUUGCAUCCACAAUCUUAGUCAUAACAUUCUCAAAGAUACAAAAUCCACUCGAAUGAAAAAUGUCCAAGUUUUCCAAAAAAGGAGCAUCUAUCACAAACCCUUGAGUAUCGUUUCCAACUCUGUUAUCUAGUGUCUUCAUUACUAAACUCUUUAGAGAAGGGACGAUAACAGUGAAAAUGUUAACAUUGUCAGCUUGACAUUGCUCCACAACCAAGUCUUCAAGGACAUUACAGUUGGAUAAAAGAUUCUUGACAAAUUCUCCACUUGGAUACUUCAUGGAUUUAAGACUCAACGUUUCGAGGGAUGGGAAAGAAAUUGGUGAAGUAAAAUCAUCCACGAGAACUGCAUUACUUAGAUUCAAGGUCACAAGCAUUCUACAUCCCCCACUAUACAAACUCCAAGGAAGUAAGACUGAAUCUUUAUCAGUAAAAGUAUCAACCUGAAUAGUCAGAUCACGCACACAACGUUUAUCAGCACAUCUCAUCCACGCUUGAAUAUCUUCACUACCACAAAUACUACCAACUUUGAAAUGCAAAGCUUCUAUAACUGGAGCUUCGUGCCUAAAGAAAGAUCUGUCUACAAACAGAGAAAAGCUUCCAUACUUGGGGUUCUUAUAGGUAUCAUUGUAUUUGAUUCUUGGAACCAUCAUCCAAAGAAACUGCCAUCGUUUUGACAAAAGCAUAGUGUCCACAACAUCUUUCAUGGUGGGAAGCAUUGCCAAUAUUUUCAGUAGAAGCUCAUCAGGCAACUGACUUAUCUUGUCCAUAAUUAAGAUCUAGCUUCCGAACAAUACCGAUCUCCUGAAAACAUUACAAAAACGAAACUAGAUAUCAGAAUCUCAGCAACGACACACUGUGAAUAAUCAAAACCCUAGCUAGGUAUAGAACAAACCAAUAUAAAAAAAAGAGAAGCACAGGAAACCUAAACAAUACGAAAUUUUAUUUAAGAAUCAAACUAGGUGUGGGCCAUCAUGUCGACUAAUAUGCCCAAUAAAUUUUGAUACAAAUGUUAGUUUUUUUUAAUUUAAUUUAUUAGAUACAAUUUUAAAUUAAUAUUAUAAAUUAUCUUAUUUGAAUAUCUAUAUUGACAAUAGAUGUAUUGAUCGUAUAAACACAAUUUAUUUGCCGCAGAAGAUAACUGAACCAAACAGUUUCAAACUGAAUGAGCUAUAAAUGUAGCAAAUAAUAACAUAACAAGUUGUACUUUCUUGUCUAAAAAGUCAGAUCUGAAUAGUCAGCUCACGCGCACAACGUUUAUCAGCAGAUCUCAUCCACGCUUGAAUGUUCCCGCAACCAGAGAUAUGAUCAAGUUUAAAAAGUAAAGUUUCUAUAAUGGGAGCCUCGUUCUUAGAAAAAGAUUUGUCUACAAACAAUGAAAAGCUUCCAUACUUGUGCUUACUAUAGCUAUCAAGCGUAUCAUUGUAUUUGAUUGUUGGAACCAUCAUCCAAAGAAACUGUCAUCGUUUUGACAAAAGCAUAGUGUCCACAACACCUUUCAUACGAGGAAGUAAGGCCAAUAUUUUCAGUAGAAGCUCAUCAGGCAACUAACUUAUCUUGUUCAUAAUAAAAAGCUAGCUUCCUCACAAAACCGAUAGCCUGAAAAAACAUUUUUGAAAAGGAACUAGAUAUCAGACUAUAAGCAACGAGACAUGGUGAAAUGAUCAAAACCAUAGCUAGGUAUAGAACAAACCAGUAUAAGAAAAGAGAAGCACAGGAAAUCUAAACAAGACGUGAUUCAUAUAAUAAGAAAAAUUAUAGCUCAUCUUCGAAUUUGAAUAAUUACCAUCUAAUUAGUUAUAUACAUAUAAUAAUAAAAAGAUUGUGUCAAAUGUGUAAAGACGGUUAUCUUGGUAUUUGAUAAAUUCAUCAUUAAGGUUUUGUUUUACCUCUCCCUUUCAAUAAUUUUCAAAAACAGAGUAAUUCUAUUGAAUUUUUUCAUAAGAUAAUUACUCAUAUAAUCUUGAAAAUUAAGUUGCAUAAUUAUAAAACAUCUCUUAAAAAUAUUACUAAAUUAAUGCUUAUUAGUUAGAUAAAAGACUUGUAACUCUAAAUUUUAUUUCAAGUUAAUUUUUUUUGUCUCAAAUUUCAUUGCUCUGUAUUUGCAAAUCAAUCUCUUGUAGAAGUUCAUGAAUCUUUACAGCAUGAGGAUGUGAAAAAUCACCAGAGAUAAAUCUAUAUACUCUGUUUUCAACUACAAUAGAGCUUUCACCAGCCAUCUUCUUCACACCAAUCCCUUUCAUCAUCUUCCUCAUCAUCCUAGACUCCUCCCACUUUCCUAAAUCAGCGUACAAAUUGGCUAAAAGCAUAUAGUUACCGCUGUUAUUCGGUUCCAACUUAAUCAGCUGAUUCAAAGCUCUUUCUCCAAGCUCAACAUCAUGAUGAACAUUUGAAGCAGCAAGAAGAGAUCCCCAUAUUGCAGCAUUAGCCUCAAAUGGCAUGGUUUUAGAAACUUCUUCUGCUUCUCUGAGUCUACCUGCUCGUCCUAGCAAAUCUAUCAGACAUCCAAAAUGCUCAAUGUUCGGUUCAAUCCUGUACUCAGAUCUCAUUGAGGUAAACAAACGUUUUCCAAGAUCAACCAAACCAACAUGGCUGCAAGCUGAAAGGACUGCAAUGAAAGUAACACUGUUUGGUUGCACGCCUGCUUUAACCAUACGGUUAAACAUCGUUAAGGCUUCACCUCCAAGCCCGUGCGUAGCUAGUCCUGUGAUUAUAGUCGUCCAAGUAACCACGUUUCUCUCGUCAACCCUCUCAAACACCUCCAACGCCUUUGUUAUAUUCCCUGACUUCGCAUACAUAUCAAUGAGUGCGUUGUUCAACGAAACACCUCUCUUCAUCCCUCGGUGAUCAACGUAGCUACAUAUUCUUUCUCCCAAUUCAAGCGAGCCAAGAUCAGCACAAGCUGAGAGCGCUGCCAAAAGCGUAACUUCAUCAGGCUCAACAUCCUCCAUCACCAUUCUCUGAAACACUUCAAUAGCUUCACUAGCUCGUCCCUUCUUGGCGUAAGCCGAGAUCACACAAGUCCAAGAAACAACAUUCCUUACCCAACAAGGCAUCAUCUCCAGCAACCUCCUCGCUUCAUCCACCUCACCCACUUUUCCAUACCCGGCUAAUAACGCGUUCCAAACAGUCACGUCCCUCACAGGCAUUUCAUCGAACACCUUACGCGCAUCUCCCAGAACUUCACAUGAACAGUACAUUUGAAUCAAACUUGUAACAACAUGGACACUUGAAUCAAACCCAGAAACCACUGUCUGGGAAUGAACCUGUCUCCCGAACCAAACAUCAGAUAACCGAACAGCAAUUUUCAACGCAAAAGGGAACGUAAACGUGUCGGGCUUCGGACACAAAGACCAGAACUUUCUGUAAACCAGAACCGCCACUGAGUGCGCGUUGGGUUCGUCGACGAGAGACAAAGCUCUGAUCAUGGUGUUGUGGAGAUAAGUGUUGGGAAAUGGCUGGUGGGUGAAUACAGAGUAAGCGUAUCGGAGAUGUCCAGCGACGGAACACGCCUCGAUGAGUUUGGCAACGAUGAGGUUGUCUUUGUGCAAACCAGUUAUGAUCAUGGAACAAUGAGCUUGCUUUAAUGUUUUGAGGUUGGUUCCUUGUAUUUUUAGAGAGGAAAGGAACCGGUUUAUGUCCGAGAGAGUGGAACUUCGGCGAAUAUGUAGCUGACAUGGGAUAAAGCUCUGUGCAGUGAUUCGUCGCCACAUUCUACUAUCCUUGGACAGAACCGUGGAAAGUUGAGUUUUUAACUUUUAAACGUACAUUUUAAUUUCAUGAACCACCAAGAAAAGUGAUGGUCAAACAAUAUUAAUUAUAUCUUUUGACUAGACAAACCAUAUGGUUAACACGAUAUGUAUUAUGCAUUAUGGUUAAUAUUAAUCAUAAUUUUUAUUGUUACGGACUUACGGGAAGUUGGAAUCUAAUCCAAUAUAAUGAAAAACUGUGUUUUAUUUUAAAAAAAUUGACACAAUCCUAACUAAUACAAUGACAUAUAAAUUGAUAAAAAUAAAAUAAAUCAAUUAUCAUAUGAAUUUUUAUUAUUAUUAAAUUGAUCUAGACGCCUAGUUUAAUUACAAACUUCUUAUUUUCUCAAAGAUAAACGUGUAUUCCGAACCCAAAAAAAAAAACUAAUCACAAGAGUGGGCACCGGGCAGUUAUCAGCUACCUUGUUAUCUUAAUUUUUUUUUUGUCAAUUUAUCUUAAUCUUAUUAGAAAGUUAGAAACAUAUCGAGGGACUAAUGAAUCAAUUCAGAUUUAAAGUUUUUGGAAAGGUAAAAUAACCUUUUAAGAAUUUUUAACUCAGUCUAUUAGUGUGUUUAUACAUAAAUAAAAUUAUAAAAAUGAUGCUUUAUGCUUACAAGAUAUUCAGUUUGUUAAAUUCGAUAUGCAUGGCUUGAUUACACUAAACUUGGCUUGGUUCGGUUUUUGCAGUAUUAAAUAAUCUCUUUUGGCUUAUAAUGUCCAACCCUACAUGUUCCAUAUACACGUACCCCAAUUCCAGUUUACAUUCUCCAGCAAGUAAACGCGACACACAUUCAUAUAUAUUAAAACAAACGACAAACCAUAUAUAUAGAUAAAUACGAACAAACACAUUUCAUACAUAACGCUAUAAACAUAUAAUCAUUCAAUUCGGAUGGCAGAAAAAGCGACGACUCCAAAGAAACAAGUUAUAUGAAGAAAUUCUCGGGUUGUAGAAACCCGGUUUUCAUAUCUUUUGAAGAGCUCAUCGCAUAGGUCCGGUCCAAGGUAGACGUCGACCAUAGGACGAAUAGCAGCUUGGACCAAGUUGGUCCUGGCUCGUCCGUACGAAACGGGAUCUUUUUUCCACUCCUCAUGUUUCUCGUCGGAGGAUUCAACGAUUUUCAUGUAUUCCAUUUUCUCUAUCUUGAAACCACCGAUACGGUCUAUUCCGGCAGCCACUUCCUCCGGACUUCUCAUGUACGCCGGUAUGUUGAAUCCGUCUCUUGUCUCUUCAUCUAUCAAACCCUUUUAUCCAGACAAAUCAUAAAGCGUUUAAUUAGUUUGUGUGUGAAAACAUAUAAAGUUAUAAGUUAGCCUUUUGGUAAGGAAAAACUGUGUUUUCAAAAUUACGUGAACAUGUGUGUUUAGCGGUUGUAGCAAACUAUUAUACUAAAACAAACAUAACACGUUACAUUUUAAUGGUAUUCGCCAUCAAAUUUAGCUGAUUUGAGAAAUUUCUAUGCAUUUUUUAAAGCAGGUGGUAAAAAGUGGUGUUUUAGCAGAAAAAAGAAGUGAAAAGAACAUUUUGUUUUGACACCAGUGAAAAGAACAGUUAAAAACUCCAAAACUAUCAACUGGAGAGUAUCAGAAAAAAAAAAAAACAAAAUAUUCACAACAACAAAACUCAACGGACUACCGUUAUAAACAAAUUCCUUUGGCAAAGAAAAAAAAAACAAAUUCGUCAUUACCUCUUACCAAGUUAAUUAAUGCGAAAGCCAGAAACGGUCCACUAGAGAUAAAAAGUGAAACGUCAUCUUGAACGGUUUUGUAAUGAAAACAUGAAAGAUACCACGCAUUUGCAUAUAUACAUAUUAUGCACCCACACGUGUGUAUACAGAUAAAUUUACCUCAUCUAUUAAAUCUUGCCAAGCUUGUUCCAUGGUAGUUGUGAAAGGAUGUUUGGCUCGAGUAUCCUGAUCACCAAAUUGACUACUUGAACCUGAAGGACGACCACCCAUUAAUACAAACAACACUCCUCCCUCCACCAUUUCUUCUUUCCGACACUUCAAAAAAUCAUCCAAAUCUUUGUCUGAUUGCUCUGUGUAUGCAUCAACCACUUCUUUCUUCGCCCCUUCGAUCCACGUUUUCCCUUUGUUCCAUGUUCUUGAUCCUUUCUCCAGUACUUUCUCCGGUAUCUACAAUACCAAAAAUGAUCUCUCUUUCAAUGCACAAAUUUUAGAGAUGGUUUAUACGUAAUAAAGCCAUAAGACGUAUAUCUCAAAUAUUAGAAACAUUUUAGAACCUAGUUCUCAUGGUAUUAUGUUAUUGUUUUGAGAGUAAUAAAACUAAUUAUUCAAAAUAAUUAUAUUCUUCGAACAUGUAGAGUUUCUUUAAUAAAGUCAAAUUGCACUUCUAAAUUCAUUUGGAUUCUGGAUAUUCUUCACUUUUUUUUGGUAAUCAUGUUAAAACUGGAUAUUCUUCAUUGUAAUUGUGAAUAUAACACAUGGAAUAUAUUUCUUACCACCAGACCGAGUAUAAUAAUCAUCUUAACAUAUAUAAACAAUAUUAUAAUUAAGUCAAAUGCCCUUGUAAAUUAAGUUGGAUGAUGGAUAUUCUUCAUUUUAGUUGUGAAUGUAACACAUGCACUCUAUUUCCUACCACAGACCAAGUAUAAUAAUUAAUCUUAAACAUAUAUAAACAUUAUAAUAUAAAACAUUAUUAGUAUGUAUUUGACCUGAGAGAGCCAAUGUAGAGCACUUAAGCUCACAGCGACAUGGAUCGUUCCUCUCGGGAAAAGCCGGUCAUAGAACGAGCCAGCGACGCCGCCGGCGAAAUAUUUGGACGAAUCAACUUUCUGUUUCUCAGACAACAAUCUAAACAACAUGUUGAAGUCAUUACUAGGCAAAUCACAGAAAAAAGCCUCAAACUCCAGCGAUCCACCACCGCACACCGUAGUGAAUAGCUGACGUAAAGUCUCAACCACCGUAUCCACGGUAUCGAAAGUGUUGGAGCCGGUGGCGCAGCCGAGGUCAGCUAUUCUGAUGAUCGGAGAGGUGAAGAGUUUGAUGGAUUGGAGAGAUGAGAUAAGGAUUGGUUUGCAUAAGGUUAUAGCCAAAGCUUGGCAAUCGGAAUUGUUGACGUAGCUGACGUCACCUUCACCGCCUUGCAUACAUAGUACACGGUGGAGACUGGUGGAGGUCCAGUCUUUUGCCGUUACUGGAAGACUUGGUGACUCCAUUGGUUAAUAUUCUAUUGGAUAAUUGUAAAAGAGACAAUAGAAAAAAGAGAGAGAGAGAUAGUUUCUGGUUGUGGAGUUACAAAGCUUAGAUGAGGUUUGUAUUUAUACCCAGCGCGCAUAUACAUAUUGACAUACACACAUUAAGCAUGCAUAUUCGAUAUAACUCUUUGACAUUGGAGUUGGUGAAUGGUCGUUAUUUAUAUUUUACAAAAGUCAUUCUUGUAUAUUUUAGUACUGGAAAGCGUUACAUGUUUACAUACAUAAAUAUGUUGUUUUUUAUACAAAUUAUAAUUAUUGGACCAUUUUAGAUUUGUAUGUGUCAUUUGGCAUAGAAUCAUGGUAAUAUUUAAUGUAUUACUUUAGAAUAAUUAUGUAGAAUUCAGUUUUAUCGGAAGUUUGCAAAAAAAAAGUUAUCAUGUGAAAUUUCUAUUGUUAUUAUGUAUAUAUCAUACACACCAUUCAAAUUUUGUGUCGUUCAAGUUUAUCUGAUAUUUUUUUUUCAGAAAUAUACACAUGGCUUUUACAAAAAAAAUAACAUACUGUAUAGUACAACAGAUUUGAUGGUUUUAUCAAUUAUAGCAGUUUUUAUUAGAAUUUUUAAGAAAUUUGAAAGAUAACCAAGUUCUGUGACUAAUGGUAAUUUUUGGAGGUUUAGUGUAUACCAGUGUCGAUUUUUGAGUUUGAUUCCCGCAUUUGUUAGUUUGGGUUUCGGUCUACGGAUUAAACAUAGUGAAUUGUAAGAUACGCUGGGUUCAUCAUGUGGCGAUAGUUAGAAAAUAUUCAAACAUGAGUCAAACAAUAGUAUUACGUUUUCUAACAAAAUCUACUUUAUAAUAUUAAAUUUGUUUUUAGGACUGAUGGAUAACCGAUAGGUUCAUAAAAAAAAUUUCGAAAGAUGACAAAAAUAUACAAUGCGGAAAAUACGGUACAGACAAAAGUAGAUAUACAUAAUUAAUUGAUGGAAGCGAAUAAGCAACUAAUUCGCACACGUAACAAAAUAAAAGAAUUAUAAUAUUUUGGUAAUUGUGUGUUUCUGAAUAUUCGCGUAGAAUAAUGAGAUAUAUUAAUUUAUUUUUUAUUUUUCGUUUAAAGAUUUUGAAUUGUUUUAGCUUUAUACGUAAAGUCGUUCAUUAUUGGACCGAAUGUAUAUAUUAGUUGUUUUUUUUUUUUCCGAAUGUAUUAUUUGUUGGUAAGAAAAUUGUAUUUUGUUUGUUUUCACCGAAGUUUUGUUUCAUUGUUGUUCAUGCAUGGCAGAAACGUUUGGUACAUGCACGAUCAAUAAUUGGAUGAAAACAGACGUUAUGAAAUAAAUAUAGUAAUUAAGGGGAAAUAUAAUAAUUAAGGAUUAUUUUGUAGACAAGAAAUAGUAAGGAAAUAAAUGUAUUAAACAAUGACGCAAAUUGUGUGGUCUACUUAAUUUAAUCUUAAAAUGCAACACAAAAAAUCUUCAGUUGCUGAAUAUUUUUAUGCUCAGUCAAAGCAAAGGUAUUCUGGAACUUAAAUAUCACACCGUUCGCGAAAAGUAAUUAACUUAAAUUUAUACCCUAGACAUUUUGAAUGUGUUCCACGUAAUUUAGAUAAUUAUCUAAUGAAAUAAUAUUUUUCCUUGUAGAUUUAUAUGAUAUAGCUAUUAUUUAUAUAUAUGUACACGUCAUGGUCAAUGUAUAAUAUAAACCAAAUAAAUGGGCAGGUAGGUUUACAUUGUAUAUGUAGCGUUAUUACGAAUGUCUCUGUCUCUCUAGUCUCUACUCUGGAUUCGUUUCCUCAUUGGAUUACAUUAUAGGACGAGGAUCAAAGUUCCCAUCUUUUAAGGUUUUUCUUUUUAUUUGUAACUUAGGUUUAUCUUUAUUUAUCUAGAAAGAAAUGGUCUUUUAUAAAUCCAGCCUUAUUUUCCUCACUUCAUCUACGAAUUAAUUAACCUUAUUUAGAUAUUGCUUGUAAUGGAUAGGUUAUUAGCAUAAGUAGACAAAAGAUUUCGUGUACGUCUUUUGAUCUUAGCUGCAUUUCACACUAUAUAUACAAUUGUUUUCGCAAAAUGUGAAUUUAUAACAAAAACUGAAUGAAACGUACUCUAAAUCAUCUCUCUUUUUUUUAUAACAUCUCCCUAAAUCAUCUCUUUAUAUUGUUAUGGCAGAACCUAAUUAAAGUAGAGUGAGUUUCAUUGUUUCUUCUUUGAUUGGACGACUAACGAAAAGAUUGUUUAUCAAAAAUAAGAAAGUUUGAGUUGUAAAGGUUUUGAAUGGUAUAUAUGGUGGUUGAUAGUUUACAUCCAUAUACUAUAUAUAGUUAACUGUCUUUGGUUUUUGAAUUUAUAAUAUGUAGUUUAUUUAGCUUGAUAAUCAUAAACUUUUGUCACGAACGCUACUUUCCGAUUUGCGACUUCUUGAUCUCAUACCUUCAGAUUAGACUUAUUUACUCUCUAGCUAGUUUUAGUUUUUGUCUCCAUAUAAACCCUUUUCGCCUCUCACAGCUUCAACAUCGUUGCAUGUUCAUAUUACAGGUUCUAAAUCAAUUAUAGAAGACAGUUUGCAUUCGCUGUUUCUUUAAAUCGUGGGUCAUGUUUCUUUAAAUAUUUCGUACUUUAGAAACUCUGGUUUGGUGUAACUUGUGUCUAUGUUCGCUUUCCAGUUAAUCUUCAGAUGGAUCGAGUGAUAUAGUACUUUGUUUUGCGUUGUCAUGUAGAAACUAAUUUGCGUUUUUAACUAGUAAAUAUACCUUUUAUAUCAUCUCGCUUUUUAGAUUUAGAUCGGACAUUGAAUUUUUUUUUUUUUGGUUUGAUGCCUUAAAUGGAAAAUAAAGACACUUUAUAAGAUGAAAGAUCACUAAUCUUAUGAGUCGCGAGAGCUAUGGAUCGAUGCCGUAACCAAUUGACUUUCCGGUUUGGAUCUAAAAACUUUAAUCGCGCCCAUAUACGCAACGUCCAUAGGUACAUAUCAAUACCUAAAAAAAACUAAAGCGACUUGAUCAAAAAAAAUAAAAAGUAAAGCGGCUUGGGAUAAACAACUUUUACAGAAAAUGGACCUUUGACUUCGUAUGGAGGUUUUAGAUGAUGAAAUGGUCCUUUAUUACACCUAUAUAGAGUGAUUUAAGAGUUGCCAAUGUCCUCUUUUCAAUCGAUGGUCUGAAUCCCAACUUGCUUCCACCGAUUUUUUUGCUUUAAAAAUAUUGUAUAGCCGCCCUAUGCGAGCACUUCUAAUGACUUUGGCAUGACACAGACUUAUCCAUGGGGAACUAUACCAAAAAAAUUCUUUAAACUUAGUGAAAGCUCUUUAAACUCUAUUUAACAUAAAAAAAAAUUAAACCUUUUUUGUCAACCCAAGAAAAAAAAUGUAAACCCUUUCUUUCAUCAAACAUUAUUUCAUGAGAACGGCUGUUCCAUUCUAUAUAAUUUCAGUGAAGUGAAUGAUGAUAAUGUGAAAUGGGAUAUAUAACGUUAUACGAACAAAAGGAGAAAAUUUAUAGAGAACAUUGAGGUCUGGACUAAACGACUUUCUAAUAUUAUAUACUAAUAAAAAUUCAGUAUUGCAAAUCUCUUGAUAAGAUUUUUUUUUUUGUUUGGAACACCUCUUAAUAAGAUUUAAAACACCAAUAAAACAUACUAAACAAACAUUUUAGUUAAUUAUUUUAAAAUUAAAUAAAAUAUGUUAUUACAUCAAAAGGAAAAGACUAUCUAUCACAUCAAACUCAAGUGAUUCGUUUUUCUGAGGUGUGAACGCCAAAGGCGUACGUGGUGGACCGGUUUAGAUCCAUGACUGAUCCCUAACAAGCCUCGUCUGGCUGUACCAUCACAUAACUGCCAGGUCUAUCACUACAUCCUAUAACUCUUGAAACGGAUUAUGCUCUUUGAAUAGAUCGAUCGUUGAUGACAGCCUAAUGGGUUAGACACACAAUUGACUGGUCUACUGAAAUGGGUUAAAUGAAAUAAGAUGCCUAGGUUUAUAAACAUUUAUUUUUAGUUUCUGCCUACAUUUUGAUAAACAUUAAAAAUUGAUUAUGAAUAUAAUGACUACGACAACAAAAUUAAGAAUCAAAUUUAGAAAUCUUAAUUCUUGAAUUCUUUUAUAUUUUAUGAGAUAACCCGCAAGAUAAUCGAAUUAACAUGAGCCACGAGACUCAAACUAAUUUCCAAACUAAAUUGAAUCGAAAUAUGAUAUGAAAUAAAAUGUUAUAAGUUAUGGAAUAAUAUAUGUCCUACUCUGGUACCAUGUAGGGGGAUAGUGUUCCAAAUUCUUGCAUCAAAUGAAACUUAGCCACGAAGACGACAUUAAUUAUUUUAUAUAUUUAUAUUUAAAAAAUUAUAAAUUUAUAUUGAGCCAAUGUAUAUUCAUGUAAUUCCAGGUAUAAUUUGAUUGGUCCAUCAUAUUGCAGCCAUAUCUUCAACCUUGGUAUAAAUCUCUAUAUAGUUAGACCUCAUCAAACCAUGAAACUUUUAUAUAUUAAAAGGACACUUACAGCACAGUGAUAUGAACCAAUGAUUAUAUGUAUAAUAGUAUAAUACUGUAUUGAUUCAAAACCAAGUUCCUUUUCCAUCACUGACACUACAAAAAGUCUUCACCAAAUAUAUAUGCGCAUUUGUCAGAUAAAGUGAAACCACUUGCAUGAAAACUAUGGCUCCCAAUGGUAACAUCCGUCCCGUACCGCACCGCAGUUAACAGUAACAAAAAUCUCUGUAUAUAAAAUAAGGCUUCGAAUGGUGACCAUUGUCCCGCCCCGCCCCGCAGUUAACAGUAACAAAAAUCUCUACAUAUACUAUAUAUCUAUACAUUUUUAUAACUGUUAAAAUCGCAACGCAGUUAAACCGCUUAUCCCGCACUGCUCAAACCGCAGUUACCAUUAGGAGCUUAUAUUUAUACAUUUUUAUAACUAUCAAAACCGCACCGCAGUCAAACCGCUUGUUCCGGACCGCAGUAUCCGCUAUAUUUAUACAUUUCUAUUUUUUGUGUGUGCGACUGAAUUGCGUGCUGAAAAAAAUCCAUCAGUCAUAAAAGUAAGAAAUCUUUAUCUAAGGAACUGUAGCUACGUACUCUCAUUAGCUAUAUAGCGUAUAGGUAUAGAAUGAGACUGCGAUGGCUAUAGAGUAUAGAUAGUUAGAACCCUACGAAGCACGUGAUGAGUUGGUCAGAACUCAGAACCAUACUGUAACACUACUAUACUAGUGAUCGUUUCAUUGGCUAUAUUGCGACAGCUACUUCUGUUAGGCUGUACGCAAUCGGUUGGUUAGUCUGGUGAAAGUUUGGUCUGAAAAGUGUGAUAAAACAUAAUAUCUACAGUUACAUAGAAGAAUGUAAGAGAAAAUUUGUAAAUUAACAGAACGAAUGGCUACAUGGCUUUUCAAAGCAUCUUCUCAUGUAUGCUCUUGAUUUUCUACGUUUACUUGUAUUAGCUCAAUAGCCGUCUAAAACCCAAACUCAUCUCCUUGGAAAUUAAAGUUUAAUUUCCAGUUGAUUAUAUAUUAAACUUUUCAAUUUCAAAAAAAUUUAACAUACGUAUAUGUGUCGGUAUAGCUAUUGCCUAUUGUGGUGUUUAUUGCAAGUGACUCGUGGUCGUAGGUACGCUUAAGCAUGGGAGUGUCUUAGUACUACUGUCUACAAACUCGAGCGAUCGAGCACAUACACAUCAAACAUUCAAACUCAACAACAAAGUCUACUGUCUUUGUAAUAAGUGGUUCUUGUAAGUUUUUUUUUUUUGGUAAAAAUGUUAAAUUUUUUUACCAUUUUCAAUUUUUUUGGUUCUUGUAAGUUGUAACCACAAUUCUUGUAAAACGAAAAACUUGGUAUACAUUUUAACAUUUGCACCAAAAAGCGUACUGUCUUGGGUGGCAUACGCACGUGUAUAUGUUAUUACCAAUUAGAGUUUUAGUUCGCUGUAUAAAGAAAAAAAGCAAUGUGUAAGCCUUGUGAACUUUAAGCAAGAAAGUUAAUUCAAGAAACCGUCAUCAUUCUCAUUUUUUUUUCUGAAGCUCUGCUUUAACUUUCAAUAAUUGACUGGUAUAACCUACAAUGUUUAACGUAUAACAUUUCGGUGAAUGCUUCACCUAUGUAUAUAUGCAGCUCUCUCAAAGGGGAACGUGGUAAUAAUUAAUAAAAUUUCUUAGGUCUUGAGACGAUAACAUAUUGUUCUGAUGUCGGAGAGACCGCAUUUUCGGAUACGGUAAUACAUGGACGUCUCUUUCCACAAUUUCACUCAAAAGCCAAGCUUGUUAGCUUAUCCUAGGUCUACGUAGCUACAUCUUUAUAUAAAAAUGCACCCUAAUUAAUAUUUUAGCACGUGCAAGGGGAGCGGUCGAACAGGGUCUAAAAUUUUAGAGGGCCCAUAAUUUUUUUUGUUAUAGUAAUAGUUAUAAAUUUAAAAAUCAGAUAACUAUAUUUAAGUUUAUUUUUCUAUUUACUAACCAAUAAAUAUAUAUUACAAAUUUGAUUUUGUUUACAUAACCAACAAAAUGCAAUAAUUCAAGAAGUAAUUAACAUUUAUAUCAAUUAUAUAUUUUGGAAAGUACAAAAUAGUUGUCGGUGUUUGUUUUAAUAUUCAAUGUAAUUUUAGAAAGUUCAAAUUCUAAAUUGAUCAUGCUUAGGAAAAUAUGAUUAAUUAGUGAUUAUAAAUAAGGAGAGAAAAGUUUUUAUUUUAAUAAUUUUUACAAAAAAUAGUAAACACAAACAAAAAAGACUAGUCUAAGCUUCUGUCUAGAAGAAAAAUAAAGAGUCCCCAACUACUUGUUUAAUCAAAUCAAGAGUCUAUGGCUUUUUUUCUAACGACUAUCCAGAUUCUUUGCUUUUAGUUUUUAUAUAGAUUAUAACUCCUAAUUAUGGAUACAAAAAAAAACUCAAAAGAAAAAGAAGUUAAAAAAUUCAUAGUCUCAAAAAGGUGUUUUUCGUAAGUUUUUAAUCAUAAAACUAAAAGAUUUUUCUUCUACUUAUAUAUUAGAUUGUGUGUAUUUAUUAUAUCUUAUAAUAAUAUUUUGUUAAGAAAAAACAUAAAGUAUUUAAGUUAUUAUAGAGGGCCUUGUUUUUCUUUUCUGAACAGGGUCUCGAUUGAGUUUAAGACGGCCCUGGUCCACUACCUUCUUCUUCUUUUUGAUGAUUGUUACCUCUAUGGUCUUUUAGGUUUAGGUCCAUAGAGGAAGGAUCCAAUUAAAUCAUCACGGUUUUGCAGAUUUUUAGUGUAUUUAGGUCCCAUGCAUAGCGUUCAAAAUAUGUAACUAGCUAGUCCACCCAUGUACACUUUUUAAGACAAAGACUAGCAAUGAUUAGCGCAACUAAAAAACAGCUGAUAUUUUCAUUUUUUUCUCAACUAUUCAAACUAAACAUUACAUUCGAUUCGAAUUAGAAGAGGAAUGACAGAUCAGAUACCUUCACAUCCCACCACAUUUUAUUUUGUUUCUCAGUACAUUUCUGUAAAAAUUGUAUUAGUCAGAAGAACGGGACACCACAAAACUGAAAUGAAUUCUCUUGAAGCAUUAUUAUUAGCACUUCGUGUUAUACAUUUACCUCUACAUAAUCAUGUAUUGGUAUAUCUACAACAUUACGAAUGUAAUAGUAUUAAAUCCUUUUUCUUAUUUUUUUUCAAGUUCCCGUAAAAGAAAUCGACUGUUUAACCGGUAAGGACCACUCGGACUUUCAAGGGUCUGAAUCGUCUUUAGCUUCUCUACUCAAAGUGGGAACUCUUUCUGCAAGAGAUCGAGAUUCCUUGCCUCACAAGCUUCGAUUAGGUCAUGUCUUGACGCACAGCUACAUAAAGUUUUAAAAAAACUUAGAAAAGUUUCAAACGACAUAAAUAGAUUUUCUAGUUCAGAAGCUUUAAUACAUACCUUAACGAGAGCCUCAAGUAUUGCCAAGCGUUAUCUGCCUUAGGAUUCAUCGCAAGGGCACGAACAUAAUAAGGGAUUGAUUCUUUGUACAUCCCCUGUUACAUUUAGAAAUUACACAAUAGCAUACAAAACUCACGUUAGUUCCAGUACAGACAUUUGCUUCUGAUACAAGUUACAAGAAUCGAACCUGGUUUGCGUAACUGAUCCCCAUGUUUGCCCAGGCACGAACGUAAUUAGGUUUUAAAUCCAGAGCCUGCCAGUAGAAAAACAGAACAAGACAGUUAAACAGUAAGAGAAACAAUGAGAUUUGGAGAAGCUUUAAUUUCUGUGCAUCGAAGAGUUUACCUGUUGAUAAGCAGAUAUGGCAUCAGCACUCUGGACACUGUUGGCUUGAGUUGCGCCAAGCUUAUUCCAAAGAGAAUAAUCGUUUGGUUUCAACUGUAAAGCUGUUUGGAAGGAAGUAAUUGCUCUAUCGAAUUCCCUUGACAAAUUGAAGAGAACACCUAGCACUAUAUGCACAUCGGCGUCCUCAGGAUUCAUCUGAGAAGCUUCAGUGAAUAAUCUGGCAAUCUGUUUAUACAUGGAGAAGGAAUAGUGUUUCAAUACAAUUAUGAUAUGAGUUUCAACUGUGGAGAAUGGCACUUACAUCAGCAUGGUACAGGGAAUCUGCAAGCUCUGGAGGUGCGAUUGAUCCAUACUUGGGGUGAUUCCGCAGCCAUCCAUAUAAGUACUUCAAAGCAGUUGCUUGCUCCAACUCUGUUAUGACAGGGUACAGCAUAUUAGUCACCAAUCUAAUUUCAAAAACGUAUGGCCACAAGUAAUCUUAUUGAGUAACAAGAUAAUGUUACAAAAACAAACACAUAUUGCUAGAUUUCAAGCACUGACCGUUGGUAUGGCUCACACCAAGUGCAAGAAGCACCUCUAGAUUUGACGGAUCGGCCUCCUGUGCCCGCAUCAUUGCAGCUAUUGCCUGCAUCCACAAUAUUAAAAGAUUUUAGCAACCUCUUCUUCUUUAUUUAUGUGCCAUGUGUAAAUAACGGUUCAUGUAAAAUUAAUCUGAGUAACCUGUUGAUCAUCAUCGUUCUCUGCGUGUGUGACCCCAAGUAAUCUCCAACCUUCAGCAUUCUCAGGAUUUUUCAUAACCUCAGCUUCUAGAGCAAGCGCUGCUUCACUCAGAAGUCCUUUGCGAAACAAUUCCUGCCCUUCUUUCAUAGGUUCCGGGUGACCCACAUAAGGAUUCAUGUCAGAGAAGACGUAUACACCACUAUUUUGUUUUUCAGCAUUUUUUUCCGUCAGAAACCUGGAGAGGGAAAGACUUAUGUUAGAUUGACUUGAAAGCCGAAGAUGCAUGUUGGUUAAGCAUUGUGUCAAGAUCUCCAUAGAUAAAAACAAAAGGAGGUAAUCAAAUAUAACCCUUGACUAACUAGGCAAAGUAUCAAUUGUACAAUGAAACGUAAAACUUAGCUAUAGAAAAGGAAUUGCAUAGUUGUGAAGUUUCUGUCUACGUAAACAACAAGAAACCAGAGAAAUUGCACAGGAGAGAAGUGAAUAAACGACUUAAAUGAUUUAAGAAAUGGAAUUGGAGAGGGACCAUUUAAUUAGUUGAUUCUUCAAAUUUGUGAACGCACAAAGCACAAUGAAAAAGACAACUUAUAAAAGAUCCAUUAAAUAAUAAUGAACUUACUCAUCAUAAGCAUUUGCCCAUGCAUCAGCCGAACUCCCACCCGCGGGCCCUUCAGCAAAUUCAUCUACCCAGUCAUCAACAUUCAACUUUGAAAACUCAUUAACCCAUUGGUCCUCAGCCGAUUCUUGCUGUCGGUUAGCGGAAGCAAACUCAUCAGCCCACUGUUCUGGUCCACGUGCAAGCUACACGCACCAAAAUAAAAAGCUUACGUUAGAUGCAGGAUGAUGCUUAUAAUCGAAAGGAAAAGAGACAAUAUGUUGUAGCUAAACUUUCUACCAUGUCAGAGACAUCAGAUUCUCUAAGUAAUAAGGAACCAUUUUACUGGAAAGAAGUGUACAGAGAAAUCUACGCUCCGCCUUUCCACUACAUUGCAUUUCUAAAAUACAAAAUGCAGGAGAUCCACUACAACAGCUAAGCUAUGCAAGAACGGAAUAACAUUAAAUCAAUUUGCACUAGCGUGCUAACAGUAGCGAGUAGACCCUAAAGCAAAAACAUACAUUUAUUAACCAGUACAUACUUUCUCAUUGGCAAAUUGAUCAGCCCAACUUGGCGGCCCCAGAUACUGCUGUUCAUAUUCAGUAGCCCAGUCCCCAGGGGCAGGUCCAGGCUUGACCUCAUUCUCAUCCAUAAUGAGUUCACCGCGGCUCAUCUUAGAAACAAACUGAAGGAAUCUUGAAUUCUGCAUUCACCAAACACAUUUUGCUAGGAUUUUAGAUAAAUCCCAAGAGAACUGCUCAGCACAACAUCCUUAAAUGCAAAAGCAAUUUUUGUGAUAGUUUCGGAGAUGUUCAAAUUCUGGGGCACAAGCCCAAACAUCGCCCCAAGAAGUUCUCAGCAAUGGAAAAAAAAAGGGAUCAGAACAGUCUAGAAAAAACAGAUGUCGUCCAACAGUACAGUCUACUACAAACUUACUUACUGAAACUAUGAUCAAGGAAAUGAAGGAGUUUAUUUCUACACCAACCUGAAAUUUCGGAUUGACAUCCUGAGACAGUGUAUGGGCAAGCUUACGAGUCUGCUCCAUUGCAGCUAAAUUUUGCAUAUUCAUACUUCUCAUUUGGUUUGACAUCAGUUGAGAUUGACCCUUCAAAAAAUAUUCAACCAAAAAGGAAAUAGGUGAGACUCAACGGUUUUCAGAACCUGAAAAGCUAAGGUGCUGUCAAAUUAAACGCGAGUCAAACACUGAUGAAUGAUAUCACAAAAAAAGUUGCAACAGAUUCAGGCUUUUGAACAACUAUGCCAUGGGAACUAGCAAAUCAAAGCCUAUACUCAACCAAAAAUAUAAGUCCUCGAUAUUCUGUUAUACUAACUGCAAGCUUGUUAAACAUGAGUCUGGUUUGGACAUUCAAAUAAAAUAUAUCAGACAAUUGAAGGAGAAAGUACCUGCUCGAACUCGGUGGCCCACCCAUUCACACCAUGCUGUUGCUCAAAAGAGUUGACCCAUGCGUCAGGACCCCCAUGAUUCAUCCCAUGCUGAUGCUGGUCAAAUUCAGUCGCCCAACUAUCCGCAGGAUGUAAACCAGGCUUCGUAACAGCCUGAGACUCAUUCCAGUAAUCAUCUAGCUCCCGAAAUCUCCCAGGCAUAUGACCUCUAGCUUGAAUGCCAUCAUCGAUAUCUAACGACGACAGUAAUGCAUUUACCUAUAAAAACAACAGAGGACAAUAUAAGCAGCCAACAAUUGAGAAAAGAAGUUGCAAACAAACACAAAAAUAGAGCAAUAAAAGUAACAAGUAACACAACAGUAAGGGUUCUAAACCAAAGCCCUGACCCUCAUUUUCAUUCUAAAAUGUAAGAUUUAAAAGCAAAUUUAGGAUCAAGGAAGCCGGACAUAAACUAUGAAUAUCAUUAUUACACUUCAUCAUAAUAUUGAAUUAAUUUUUAAUUGCUAAAGAGGGACGACAUGAAUGAUAGUACGCCAAAACGUUAAGCACAUAUCGUAUAGCUAAACUUGACCCUUAUAACCCAAGUUGAAGGCAUACGACACAAUGAUGCAGCUACAUGAAACUAUCAGACAAGACAGCAAACCUGAGAAUUGAUAAAUUCUUCUCCCCUGUCGGCAAAAAAAUGCCGGGCCAUUAUGCUACUACGAUCACGUAUGCAUUGUUUGUCACUUUGUGACAAUCCCAGCACAGGGACAGGUGCUGGACGAAAAGGAAUGCCACCACGGCUACUCUCAACAAAUGAAUGCAGAAAGUUUGACAAAACUCUUUGAGGGGGUCCUGCAAUGGAGAAAACAAUUUUAAGCAAGCAAGCACACUUUGACAAAAGCAAUAAACAAUGACAAGCCAAAACACGAGACGGCCAUCUGGGAGAAUUUGAAGGAACUCAUAUGCAGUUCACUGCUUUUCUUCCUACAACUAAAGAUGUUUACUUUGUGAUUGAAGAUGUUACCAUUCAUUAAACAUCAAAACCACAACAUCAAUCCAUUUUGUACCCGGCUCUAAAUACAUAUGAUAGGAAAAGUAAGAGUGAAAUAAGAUCAGAAACCUUCAAAUGUGGGCUGGACAGGCUCAUACAUAGGUCCCAUAGGAGGCAUAGGUCCACCACGCUGCACUUCAUCCCAAGCUGCACCAAGACCAUUCUGAUCCACAGAUCGAAAGCCACGGAAGAACUCUGUCCCCUGAUAAUUAGCAGACCCAUCAGAAAGGUAUAUAAUCAGUAAAUGCUACAACUUUAUUAAAAACAAAAAGAGUCAAAAAUUUGCAUAACAUUAAUAACCUGAGCACCAGGUUGGAGAAGAGGCUGAUCUAACUCAGAACCAGGAAGCGAGCUUAAGUGUUGGUCCUGAGAGUAAAACUGAGGCCCGGGACCUGAACUGGUGGCAUUAGGUAUCUCCUUGAGCCUUUCCUGCCCCCACCAAAAUCAGCAAUCAAAGUCAGAGAUUACGUAAUGCUUUUUAGCGAUAAGGACAAACAAUAUCUAAAACCCCCCCAAUAUCUCGAAUUCGACUUUGUUCAGCAUGAAACUGAAUCAAGAAGCUAAACCUGAGUUUUGGAAGAGGAACCAAGUAGCGCGUUGGUGAGAGCUCCGAGGGGGUUGGAAGAAGAAGAAGAGCCGGGAACUGCGCAGGCCGCUCCGCCGUUGACAAGGUCUCUCAUCGCCAUGCUGUCAAGUGAUUACUACUACGCCGCAAUAACCGUCGUCGAGUUCUAAUUAGAAUUGGUUCCUCCGUCCUCUGAUCACCUCCUCCCAAAUCGCAAUCUAUCGUUUCUUCUCUCGUAGCGGUGUAUUAUUAUUUUUUUUGUGUUUGGCCACAGCUUCGUUGGUAUUUAAUAUAUUUUAUUUAUAUAUUAUCCACACCACACACAUUUUUAGGCUCACCAACGCAUUUCUUUUUUAUUUUGUGAAAAAGAACAAUUUUACUUUAUUAUCCAUUGCGAAAACUGUAUUUUUGGUGAACUCUGUUGCAAUUUGCAAAUAUUUUUUAUUUUUUUUUAUUAAAAAUGAAUGUAUUCAAUAUUUUGUUGCAGUUUGCAAAUUGUUUUUGUCUUAUUUAAAUUAAUUGGCUCAAUCAGAGCUCCAAUCGGAUUUCGGUUCGGGUUCAUUCGGGUUUCAAAUUCAUUAAUUUUAAAUUUAUUUAGAUAUUGCAAAAGUUGGAAUUGGAUUUCAUCCAUGUUUAAUCGGGUUUCAUUUGGUUUAAUUGUAUGUCGAAGCUCCAAUUAAACCCGAAAUAGUUUUGAUUUCUUGUUUUAAUUGGGUUAUCAAUUCAAAAAUAUCAAUUUAUACUUGACUAAACUCAAUAUAUUUCCAAUAUUUUCAAUAAAUUGUGUAUGUGGCUUUAUCAAACCUUUUUAUUGUCCUUCAUAAUAAUUUUAAGAAACUCGUCUAUCAACCAUACGAAGCUCAUUCUUGAACUAUAUGUGACAAUAUCAUACAUAUCACAAUUCAUGACAAAUUACCCUUGUACGAAUGUGAAUCAUAUGUAAUGAAAUAUAAAUAAAUUAAAAUAAACAACUAUCAACUCUAUAAACGUAAAAAAUAUUAUUUAAACCCUUGUAAAAAGAAAAUCGUUUAAACUUCAAAUGCAAAUUUAUUCAUAACUAACUUCAAAUGCAAUUGUCAAAACAUAAAAAAAAAAAUCAAUAUUAACCAAAUACCAAAAAUAUAAAUUAGACUAAGUAUUUUAAUUAUGUAAUAGAGAUUUAGACCAUCUCCAAUGGUUCACUCUAUUUUUUACUCUAAAAUAGAGUAACUCUAUAAUAGAGUUUGAGUUUGCUCCAAUGGUACUCUAUUUUAGAGUAGAAAAUAGAGUGAUGAACAAAAAAAAAACAAAUUACUCUAUAUUUGGAGUAAACCUAUUUUUUACUCUAUUAUAGAGUGAGAAAUAAAGUACCAUUGGAGCAUUCUUUACUCUAAACUCUAUUUUAGAGUGAAAAAUAGAGUGGGGUUGGAGAUGCUCUUAGAUCGGAUAUGGCACAAGUUCUUUUUGGGGACUUUUGAAAUUUUGGAUUUUUUUUCAUAUUCAUUUGAUUGUAGAUUCAGUUCGCGUAAAACUAUAAUCCGUGAUACCGUAUAACCAGAUCCAUUCAGUAUUUAUGUCAGGUUUGGAUCGAUUAAUAUUUUUUUUUAUUCGGUCGGGUUCGAUUCAGUUCGGACUUUCGAAUUCGGUUUAUUUUCAUGCCUCUGAUACCAUCACCUUUAUGUUUUUUUUUUCUUUAUGUUCUUUUAUCAUUCUUGGUUAAAUAGUGACUCUGUUUCAUGUCUAUUUGUUCAAUUUGCAGAUGGUCGACAAAUUCAAUACUGCGUAUGACAGAAACACUCGAAGAGGUGGAAGAACUGCGUUUUAUUUUCCAACAAUUCAAGGUCUACAAAAUCUACUCUUUGGUCCUGAAAAAACUAUUUGCCUCUGGGAGAGUCAAAGGAUGUUUGCUGAGAUGCAGAUGUAAAAUUUUCUAUUUGAUAUGUAAACAUUAUCAUAUAAUUUUGACUCUCUAAAUAGAACUAUUUUUCCUCAUUUCUUUUCUUACUACCUCUUACUAGCUUGUAUAACUUAUAAAUAUAUCAAAAAAAAGAACGGAAAUGGUAACAGCUUUUAACCUUCCCCAAUGUUCCAAACUAAUAAAAAUUAAAGAAAAUGAAACAGAAAUUAAAAUUUAUCAUAUGCAAAUGCAAAAGAAAAGAGAAAAAAUGUUCAAAUCUGUGGUAAUCUACUCAUUAUCUGGUUAUAUACCGAUUGUCCUGUUUCUGAACCCGGUUCAACCUUAGGCUCCAUCCCUCUCUGCAUCAUCGCUUCACUCAUCCCACCCGGUUGACUCAGGUACUGGUAAGGUAAACUCGGUAACUUCCCUUGACCAAACGCUAAACCAGGAAUCGAAAAAUUACCCAAACCGGUUUGUCCUAGACCGAACGCAAAACCGGAAGGAGGACCCAAAUGAGGCUGGAAGCUAAAGGGACGUCCAAACUGAGACUGGUUGAGCUGUCUGUCAUAUCUGCCACGUGGAGGCUCUGAGUAAUGAUUAGUUUGAGCAGCUGAAACGCCGCUGUUACCGUUUCCACCGCCGCCACCGUGACUACUGUUACGUGCGGCAGGGACUUCGUGGUCGUGUUUGCCUUCGUAAGUGGUUAUAACGGAUUUGAGGUCAUGAGAAGCUCUCUCUACAUGUUUCCUCACUGUACAUCCAGGUGCUGUGCAUUUGUAGUAACUCCUACAAAAAAGAAACAUUGUUUAUUACAACAAGAGACCAAUUUGUUUUAAUGUUAUAGAGUUUUGUAAGAACCUCGGGUUUGGAUUGCCUUUGACAACUUUCUGACCAUACUUUCUCCAGCGAUAGCCAUCGUCGAGAAUGUCAACACCACUCGUUGUCUGCACAACGACUCUUGGCUCGCGAAUAGCUCUUGUUGCUCCACUCAUCUCUAUUGCGUAAGCCUCAAGUUUCCUGAAACAAGCAAAACGUUUUUUUUUAAGUCGGAACAGCUGCAUAUGUUAGAUUGAUGAUUCUGUGUUUAAAGAAGAUAAAGAACACCUUCUUUUCGAUUCGGAUUCAUCUUCUCCACCUUCUCCAUCUCCUCCACCUCCAUCAUAUCCCAAAGAAGCACUCCCAUGAGUCCCUCUAUCAUCUUCAUCUUCAUCAUUAGAGAAUGUUGACGAAGCAUCAACCACAAUCACAUCACCUGACUCAUAUUGACCUCCGGUUUGAGCAGAUUGGUUUCCCUCUUCGACGUUGUUCUCAUUGCUUCCAACUUGUUGUUGAGUGUUAUCUCUCUGCUGCUGCUGUUGUUGUUGUUCAGCUUGUUCAGUUCCAUCUAGUUGCAUUCCUGAGCGGCGGUUAGGCGGAGGUUUGGAGUGAUUAUGAGCUCCUUUGUAUAUAAUCUCAGUAAUGUGGCCUUCUCUUGAUCUCUCGACCUUCUUCUUCACCUGACAGUUCGGGUUUGUGCACUUGUAAUAGCUUCGUGGAUACUCGCUUCCUUUCACUAGCUUCUGUCCGUAUUUCCUCCAGUUAUAUCCAUCCUCUGCAGGUGCACCACCACCAACCAUCGAAUCAACACCUCUUUGCUCUUCUCCUUCUCCUUCUUCCACUUCUUGAUGAUCAUUGGUGUUUGUAGUGGCAUCAGAUGUCUUCCUCUUCAACCCACUUUGUUCAUAACCGAGUUUUUGAUGAGAAGAACUGUUGUUGUAGUUACUAUUAUCAACUGGCGUCAUCUCUGUAGCGUUUUGGAAGAAAGAGGAAGAGGAUGUUGAUUGAAGACGACGAACCACAGUCACAGCCGCAAACGAAAACUUUUAGUUCCGCCGCAAACAUCCAACUGGACACCGAAAAAAAAACAAAAACCCAACCGAUCCGGAUCCGAAUUUAGCAGUGGAUUACGAGAGAUAUGUUCCUCUUCCUGUCUCCUUCGUCUUCAGGAUUUUCUCUCUCCUAAACGAGAAAGAUAUGUUUUUUUUUGUUUACACAAAACAAAAUGAUGAUGAAUAUUUGACAAAAGAGCAAAGAUUUCAACAGUAUGAUUAGAUUAAUCACUGUGACUUUCUCUCCAUCGACACGAAAAUUAUAAUAAAAAAUCAACUUUGCGUUUGUUAUGCUUUGAAUUUAUAAAAAUUAAUAUAAAAGAGGAAGACAAAAAAGGAGACAAAGAGAGAAUUAUGAAACCAUUUGAUCUUUGUUUUCUGAUUGUUACUGAAGACAAGGUAGACAAGGAAGAGGAAGAAUGAAAGUUUUUGCAGAAAUGGUGAAGAAGAUGGCUAUUUGUGAUUUUGUGUUACACAAAACGUUUUCUGUCUACUGAAUUUUCCUAUAACAACACGCCACGUGGAGUAAUCGAGGUUGAGAGAAUAAGAUCGUCGGCUAAUCGGUUUGAUGUGCGGUGAGGUGUGGCGCAGGUGAUCUUUAACAUUUAUUACUAUUCCAGUUUCAUUUUUUCGGGUUUGGCUAUUAAUAGGAAUAAAUUUUAUUAAAAGCGGGAAAAUUAUUGCCAAAAGUUCUUACUCUGCCACAUGUCGAAUGAAGAAAAAAAGAUAAUUAUUAUUCUAUUAUUGCACUCUUAUUAUAUUGGUUCGAUACAUAUUCAGAAACUGAUAGAAAAGAAAAACCGAAUUAUCCUUUGUGGAGGAGAACAGAUAAAAGUUAAAUAUAAAGCAGGUUGUUGUUUGUUUUUACUAUAAGUGUCACAUUGUUAUAAAAUUCUGGAACAUAACAAAUCGUAUCUGCAAGCUAUUUAUAGUCUAUGUAUGUGAGUAACUAUGCUAGAAAAAUUAAGUGAAAGGGAUAUAUAUAUACUUUGCCAAAAUAUUGGUACCAUUAACAAGUUGUAGAUUAAAGCAUGGCAAGAACAAACACAAGGAGUGGAUUAAUGUACAGAAAAUUUGUCACUUGUUCUAACUUAUAUUGACAUCCAAUAGUCAAAAUAUGUUUGUGUCAACCAGUUACAACAAUAAGCAAUUUAAAUAAUCUAUGUUUUUGUCUUAUAUUGAGAUUUAAUUAGUCGAUUAUUAAUUAUUAUGCUUUUAAGUACACAAAUCAUCGUUUAGUCGAAGUUCAAACUAGUAGUAUAUGAAACUAAAGACGUACAUUUUGAAAUUGUUUCAUUUUGAAAUUGACAUGUUCUCGUACAUCUUUCGACUUAUAUCAAUAAACGUGUAACUGUUUAGUUUUGAAUUUGACAUGUUCUCAUACAUGCAUCAGGCAUGUGAUCUUUUAUUUUCUAAUUGGUAUUUUACAUGCAUGCAUAUGAUUUGAUGAAACAUAUACUCUUAAAUUAAAACAUAUCCAGGAGAUACUUUUAAGAUACAUUGUAAAAUUUAGAGGUUGCUUGCAUUAUUGCAUAGAAAAAUGACUCAAAAUAGAUGAAAUGUGAUAUACUACCUGAUGAUAAACGGAUCAUGAAAACUGAAAAAUCAUCAAACGAACAAAACAACUCCCGACAAAGAUUCUUUACAAAUAGUAUAUUCAAGAUACGUUAAAUAUUUAUGUCUGCGUAAACCCUAAAUACACAAUUUUAAGUACCGUUACUAUCAACUACGGAUGAGUAACGUACGUCAAGGGCUACAUAACUUGCGGUCUCAGAAAAAUAUAGAGAGACUAGAGUAUUUCAGUUUAUGAAGACAUUAAUAAAAUAGAAUCAUUUAAUACUAGAUUUAAUUAUAGAGUACUCUUAAAUCUUAAUUAUACCUUAAACUAGGUAUUUUGCCCGCGAUGCGGGCUUAAACAUUUUCAUAAUUUUUAAAAGUUCUUUGUACACUAUAUUCAUUAUACUAAAAUAAAUCUUAAAAUAAAUUAAUAUUAAAUUUUUAAUUAUGUAAUUAAAAAUUAUUUGAUUAAUAUGUAAUUAUGUAAUUUAUGUUUUUAACUUUUUACUAAAAUACUUUUUCAGAUAACAAUACAAUAUAUAUAUAUAUAUAUAUAUAAUCUUUUUUAAUUAUAUUUUUUGAUUUUGGAUAAUUCAAUAUUUUAUUUUUAAUUAUAUAAUUACGAAUUUUAUUUGUUUAAUAUUUAGUUAUAUAAUUCAUGUUUUUAACUUUUUACUAAAAGACUUUUUCAGAUAACAAUACAAUAUAUACAUAAAUUAUCUCUUUUUAAAAUUAUAUUUUCAGAUUUUGGAUAAUUCUUACUAUUAUUAAUUUUAAUCAAUUAUCUAAUCAAAUAAAUUAAAAUAUCGUUUUUAUUUUUUUAUUUAGUUAUACAUUUUAUUCAUUAAGGGUAUAAACAUUAUUAACCACUCUAACUUUUAACGUAAGAGCUCGAUUCCAAAUAUAUAUAUAUAUAUAUAAUCUUUUUUUUAAUUAUAUUUUUCUAUUUUGGAUAAUUCAAUAUUUUAUCUUUAAUUAUAUAAUUAUGAAUUUUAUUUGAUAUUUAGUUAUAUAAUUCAUUUUUUAACUUUUUACUAAAAGACUUUUUUUCAGAUAACAAUAUAAUAUAUACAUAAAUUAUCUCUUUUUUAAAUUAUAUUUUCAGAUUUUGGAUAAUUAUUACUAUUAUUAACUUUAAUCAACUAUCUAAUCAAAUAAAUUAAAAUUUCAUUUUUAUUUUUUAAUUUAGUUAUACAUUUUAUUCAUUAUAUAAUUACGAGUUUUAUUUGAUUAAUAUUUAGUUAUAUAAUUCAUGUUUUGACUUUUUACUAAAAGACUUUUUUCAGAUAACAAUACAAUAUAUACAGAAAUUAUCUCUUUUUUAAAUUAUAUUUUCAGAUUUUGGAUAAUUCUUACUAUUAUUAAUUUUAAUCAAUUAUCUAAUCUUUUUUUUUUUUACAUAAUCAAUUAUCUAAUCAAAUAAAUUAAAAUUUAGUUUUUAUUUUUUAAUUUAGUUAUACAUUUUAUUCAGUAAGGGUAUAAAUGUUAUUAACCACUCUAACUUUUAAUGUGAGAGCUCGAUUCCAAAAAUUUACUUCGCAAAUAAUAGUAUAGAUUGAAUAUUUAAUUGGAAAUGGGGUGGGCAGUUUUUCCAAAAAACCCGGUCAAAAAGAGACAUUGACCAAGCCUUUAAUGGUUUUUAUUUUCUUUUUCCUUUUGUUCCCUUUAACAGCCUCAAAUAAUCACGUUACAGCGCUGUGACACAACACUCAUGUGACAGCCGAAGCACGACUGGCGUGGAGUAAUUUCUUUCUCUCUCUAGUGGGAGCCCGCAAAACAAACUUUCAGACACAGAGGAUCGACGGCUCUGAUUUCUUGUCAGUUCUUACGUCUAUAGUAGGCCCCAUAGUGUAAUAUGGACCCACACUAAUGGAAAGACCAAACAUGGGUUUUGAAAUUUUACACUCAGCCCAUUAAGCCCAACAUGCUUGAAUAAAUUAUAAAAUAUAUAUUGGUUGACCUAACUGACUUGUUCUGACUGUCGGAUGAGCGAACCAAAAGUCAACAACUUGAAAAAGGUAAAUGACCCGACCCGACGUAAAAGACCCGCACCGACAAAGUCACGAUAGGAGCCCAAGUGGCUGUAGUGGCACAACUUUCUAUAAGGAUUUUCAGUGCGUUGGAUUAGCCUGACACGAGGAAGCUGAUCUCUACCCGUUGCUUGUGUAUGCAUCACCGUUUAAAAAUCACUCAGCCGUAGUAGAAAGUCCAAAACUUUAGAAGCUCUUCUCUGUCUAUCUCUUUGGUAAUUUUUCUUUCUUCGUCUUCCUUUGCUUGUAUAGUUUUGUUGAAACCAUGUUAUGAUUUGUUUUUUUUUUUAUUUUAUUUGAAGAACUUGAAGUGUUUCAGUGUUUGGUGUUUUUCUCUUGAGAAACAAGUCUUGUCUGCUACUCUGUUUUCUAGGAAGGAUUGUUCGGAACUAGCUGUUGUGUAGUGAAAUUUAGUUAUAUUUCCGCGGUACGAGUGUACUUGGAGCUUUCCCGCCGUAUAACCACGGAGCAGUGUUCUUUGGACAAAAAUAGAAAUAGUUCAUGUUAGUAUGUUAUUCAAAUUAAUAGCUUCCUACUGUAACCAAAAGAAUUUGACUUUUGAGAUUUCAUUGUUUUCUUGUUUUAAUAUAUAGUCCUUGAAGAUAAUCUUUUUGUUUGUUGUUGUUAAUAGCCUCGUGCUCAAUCCUCAUAAACAAUCCGCAAGGCAUUUGUAUUUAACAUAUAGUAUUAGACGUAAGAGUCUAACAAACAGUCAUCAAUUCAUCUGCAUGUAAUGCAAUUAAUUAUAGAAGUGUCAGUUGUUAGGAAUCGUAUAGAGGAUUGCAUUUAGUAAGUUGUUUGCAGUUUGAGUCUUGCUUUAUUUUCUUGAACCUGAGAAUUUGAUCUAAAUCUUAACUACUUCCAUGUCUGGUUUUAACACCAUAUUAUAUACAAAGAGUUUAACAAGAAUCUUGUUUAUAAACAAUAUAUUUUGAUUUUAUCUUGUUCGCUGCUGUGGCGCAUUUAUCUUGAACUCACAGAUAGUUCUUUAUGGUUAAUAUUGUCAUCUGCUUUUUAAGUGCGUUUAUCUAGUGUUAGUAAUAUUUUUUCUGGUAAAAAAUGAUACAUCCUUUGAAUCAUUCGAGUUCAUGUUAAAGAAGAAACGUCCCUUGUCUAGGCUUUCUUUGUUAUACUAUUGUCAUCGUUCUUUUAGCCACUUACUCUAGCCCCUUGUGAUUCCAGUGCAGAACACACGAAACAAUCUCACAUGGCUGCAUUUGCAACCGCAGAAGCGUGUGACAGUAACGCAGAACUAAUAUCAAACGGAGACCUACGGGCCCUCCACCCAAUCUUCAAGAUCUAUGGCCAAAGAAGAUGCUUCUCCGGACCAAUCGUGACACUCAAGGUCUUUGAAGACAAUGUCCUAGUCAGAAACCAACUAGAGACAAAAGGAGAAGGUGCAGUCUUAGUUAUAGACGGUGGUGGAAGCAUGAGGUGCGCGCUUGUUGGAGGAAACCUCGGACAGUUAGCUCAGAACAACGGGUGGGUGGGGAUUGUGGUGAAUGGAUGCGUUAGAGAUGUGGAUGAGAUCAAUGACUGCGAUGUUGGGGUUAGGGCAUUGGGUUCUAACCCGUUGAAGUCUAGUAAGAAAGGUCAUGGUGAGAAGAAUGUGCCGGUUAAUAUUGGAGGGACUUUGAUCAGGGAUGGGGAAUGGCUUUAUGCUGAUAGUGAUGGUAUCUUGAUCUCCAAGACCGAACUCUCCGUCUGAGUCAGAGUGUUCAUCUGCUAAAGUGCUAAGAGACUACUGCUGGUUUAUUUCGAACUUAUUUGUAAUAAUCGGUUUGAUAUUCUAAAAAAGAAAACCAUUUUGUGAGAUUUGUGAACUAUAUAAUAAUAAUAACAAAAUUAUUAUUAGUUCUUUUUGAAAUGAGCUACAAUAUUUAUUUAUUUUGCUACUUCUCUGCUUUAUUUAAUUUUAGAAGAUGUGAAUCAUGUGACCGAAAGGGACAAAUGGUUAAGGAAAAGUUGGUAUAACCGUAAAGCUAAUACUAUUAGUUUAAAUAAACACUUGGGUACUAUGAUUAUACCUGAAGUCCCAUCUCCACUGUCCCUCUCUGUGUUCGAGCCACUAGACGGACCCUGCCUUGCCGUCUCCGAGCCAUUAACAUCUCCACAAGCUUCUUCAGUGUUUGUCCAUUGGUCCAAAUUCUUGAAGCUGAAGCACAUGUUCCAAGAUCCACAGAACAUCACCUAUCGUUGGUCUAUCCACACCAUAAUCCGCACAGCAUUUCUCUGCAGUUUCCGCAAACUUCUUCAACGAGCACGGUUUGAUCUGAUCAGCGAUAUUCGGAUAAACCAUUUGAUCUAGCAUUCCCUUCUUUUGCCACUCAAUAGUCCACUCUGCUAAGUUCACUUGCUCUCUUACAAGCAACGGAUCAACAGCUGGUCUAGCGCAGAGAACUUCGAAUCAAACAACUCCAAACGAGUAAACAUCGGACUUAUCAGUGAGUUGUUCAAAAAAAUAAAAAUAAAGACUUGAAUGUAGUAUACAAGUAAAACAGUCUAAAAUAGAUUAGUUAACUAUAUUGCAUAAUAUAACUUUGAUUUGUGCCACCGCACGGGUAAUUUGUUUCGCUUUUAUAAAUAAUUUUUGUUUUGUAUAAAUAAUAUAAUAUAAAUUUAUUGUGGUAACUAAUUAUAUGAUAAUUAUAAUAUGUAAUAUAAUUAUUGUUGUUGAUAAAUGAUUUUGUUUGCAAAUAUUUUGGUUUCAAAAUCUUUUGAUUAAGGGUAUGACUGGUUUUCCCGCUACCACCCGCAAACGCAGCUUUUGCGGUUGGUAGCGGUUGCUGGCGUUUUGCAACAAUCGCUCAAACCGCUCUAAACCGCUCCAAAUCGCUCCAAAUCGCUCUGAACCUCAUAAAUUCAAAAGCUGGUUCCAGCUAGCGUUUGCGGUUGCGGGCGUUUGCGGGAGGAUAAAAAAAAUUAUUUUUUUUCCAAAACAAUAUAAAUACAAAAAUAAAAAAAUUCAAUAAAAAAUUAAAAUGAAAUUAUAAAAAUGCUAAAAUAUAUCAAUUAAUUUUAAUUAAUAUUAUAAAACUUUAAAAUAAAAAUAUUUUCUAUAUUUUUAAAAAAUUUAAACUAUAACUUUCUAAAUAUAAAUUUUAUAUUUAUUAUAAUAUUAUUAUUUUUGAUAUUUUUAUAAUUGUAUAAAAUGUAAAUAUUGUUAAUUUAUUAUUUAACUGCUGUUGUAUUUGGUAGUUAACCAGUCAUAAGUAUCCCGCAAACGCACAAAUUUCUAACCGCAUAACCAGUCGUACAAAUCUCUUAAAACCGCUAGAAACCGCAACCAUCCGCAUCCGCAAACUUCCGCAACCGCAACCGCAACCGCUGCGGUUAAACCAGUCAGGCCCUAAAUAUAUGUAUAUGAAGUAGAAAAAUAUAAGGAUCCAAAAUGCUAUUUAAAUAGUAGUUAUUUAUUUUGAAAGAUAUUUGUUAUUAUAUUUGAAAAUUAUAAAUUAAUUCAUCCGCAAAUGGAAAGUAUUAAAGCGGAAAAUAGAUUUUUGUAUACCGAUAAUCAUUAAAUAAUACUAAUAUUGCUUGCAAGUAAAAUCAUGUAUAUUUUUAAAGAUUUUAUAAAUUGUAGUUUCAAAUUUAAGCUUGAUUGAUCGGCAAGUGCAGAUAUGACUAUGUAUAAUUAGUGAAAAAUAGUUGUUUAUACUUAUAAUCGUUGUGUAUUAAUGUGAUAGUCAAACUAUGAAGGAAGUCUUUUCUAUUGCAAUUGUUAAUAUUACCUUAAAUUUGUAACAUGGAUUUGUCUGGUUGGUAUUGUGUUAACGAAAAAUAUGAACAUUGAACUUUUGAUGUUUGUUUAUAAAUGACAUAAAAACGAUUUUUGAAAAUCCGGUAAUUGCUCUGUUUUUUUUAAGUUCAAGUAGUAAGAAGUGAAGAAUAAAGCAAUGAUGUACUUAUAAAAGGAGGAAGUAUAUAUUACGGAGGCGUUGAGUUGAUAUUUUUGGCGUUGUUUCAGUUUAAAAAAAUUAAUUUCGGAUAGAACAUUUAUUAAUUCGAAAAAGACAAAGAAAACAUAAAUAUAGAUCCAAUUAAUACAUCAAUGACAUAGGAGUGUAAAUAACUUGCAAAAUUAAGGAGUAAUUUAAAUUUGUACUUAGAUUUUUAAUGGAUUAGAUAGAUAUAGAUUUAUCUUCAAUUCUUAGUAAUCUGUAUAAUUCUUUUUAAUGAAUAUACUUACGCAAUAUACUUACACUUUGCGAAACACUUAAAAAAACACUCUCUCUUUUUUUUUGUCAGCGUGAAACACUAUUACAUAUACAAAAAAUACGUGUUUAAUCGAGUCCAAGUGAAAUAACAUUUCAUUUUAACUUUUCUUUUCAAUUCUUCGACUUUGAAAAGAUGUGUGAUUCACGUUAAAAAAAAAGAAAAGAUGUGUGAUAGGAUAUGCAGUAAAAGAAAAGUCGGGGAAGCCCUAAUGGUUUGAUUAAUGGUUCAUUAAUAACUUUAUAUCAGAAUAUUUGGAAUUUAAACCCUAGAAAAUGCAAAUUAUACAGAUCAUGGAGAAAAAAAUUAUAAUAAGUUUUCAGCAUGCUGCAAGGCGUAUCAUCGAACAUGAAUUUUAUAGGGCGGUUCAUAAUAAUGCAGUCAGACAUGCAUUUUUAUAUGAGGGUAGAAUUGUCGGCUGUAAAAAUGUUUAUAUAAUAUUUUUCAUUAUUAUAAUAACAUAAUUAAUCAGACGUUAAAAAAAAUGUGUGAUAAAAUACACAGUAAAAGAAAAGUUGCGCUAAACAUUAAAUAAACUUUUUUUUGAACUUAACAUUAAAUAAUCUUAAUAGGUUUCAUUGAAUUUAAAGAGAUCAAUAAGUCAAAACACAUGCGUAUAAGCAAGAAUUUUUUUCUUUCUUUUCUACAUGAUUAUAUUCUUGCAUAAUUGCAUUAACAAUAUCACUAUGCCAAUCUCGGGUACAUCUUUCAUAUUACUUGUGUAAAUCACUGUAGUGAUUUAUGGUUAUUCUGAAUUAAAUAGACAAGUAUGAAUGAGACCGUACCAUAUACAUGAAUUUGAAUUUAUGAAACAUGGAAAUUUGAAAGGGUGCAUAUCGUGGUGGACCAACCACCUUAAUGGAAUUUGAACAGUUCAAUGAAUUUCAUCUCAAAAUUAAAUUAUUUUCAUACCUAACCAAAAUAGGACCAGAUUUAUUUGUCACGUUAAUCUCGGUUCUCUCAUUUUUUCGACCCACAUACAUCGUACGGAAUAUCGGUGCUCCCCCGUUAACAAAAAUAAAAUUCGGUAUCCCUUUUUUUUUUUUUGAGCAACAAAAUUCGGUAUCCCAAAAGAGCGGUGUAAAGAAAUACUUCACUAUAAGAAAACAGUAUAUUCUCGACUAAAAAAAUAUUUUGAAAUUGUGUAUUCAUGUUCACAAUAAAUAAAAGCAUCAUAUAAAGUUAUACAGACUACACCAUCCCCAAUCACCAUACCAAUUUCAUAAUUUAACGUAUGUGAACAUUUCAUAUUUUCUCUUAUAAACCCUCCUUUGUUUUCUUCCUUUACAUGGUAUAUAUAAUAGUCGGUCCUCAUUUAAAAUAAUAUAUUUAUUUAUAAUAUGUAUCUAUGGAAUCUUAUAAGUUUUAAAUCAAACAUUAUGUUGCCAAAAAAAAAUCAAACAUUAUAUAUGUUAUCAGUAUUUACACAGUCAAUACUUUUUAAUCACAGUACAGUGCAACACAUACAUAUUGAUAUUUUAUCAAAUGCAAUUAUCAAGUUUUUAUAUUUUGGAGGGUACUCUAAACAAAACUAAAUAAAUUCUAUACACCAUAUAUGUUCAUUUUGUUUGAUUUUUUUGAUUAACUUCAUUUUGUUUUGUUGAUUACUUAAAUCUAUUUACUUGUCGACUAGAUUCUGAUCCGCCCUUUUUAAAUGUAGAUAUAUUUUUUGUUUUAUAUUUUUUUAGAAAUUUAAUUUUUAUAUUUGUGUGUGUUUUAGUUGUAUUUGUAUUUUUUUGUUUAAUAUUUUUCUUAAAUGAUUAAUAAUAUAUUUUAAUAAUUGUAUAUCAAUAGAUGAUGUUAUUAUUUUAAUAGAAUAGAUUUAUCAUUCACGAAAUGGCGUGUAGCGAAUAGAACGUAUGGGACCUCCCCUAAUACGUCCAUAGGGCAUGUGGAAUAUGGACUUAUGAGGAAAAUGAUGUUUGACUAAAAUCCUCAUUUGCUUCGCCCUUUACGUUUCCACAAAAUGACACCCCCAAACCUAUUUUAGUUUUGUUGAUUUUACUUAAUUUCUUUAAUAAUGUGAUGAUAAGUUGAUAGCGAUAACUCUGGAUGCUAAUUAGUGCAUCCCAUAACAAAGAACAACUUAUAAUUAAGGUGUAUAUCUCUCUCAUAGUUUAUACCUUAUGGAUCAUGUAAAAGUUCUACUUGUUUUCAAAUUAAGAGCUUGUGUGUUUUUUGUUUUUAUAAAACAAUAUUUUGAUAGAAUCAACACAUAAAUUUAUAUGGCUAUAAAAAAACAUUAUGACAUUUGACUUGGGUAUGUAAACGUGACAAAAAAGUGACAAUUGUCGUCAUGAUUCACUUGCUCAAAGAUCCAGCUAUUCGGGUCACCAGGCAUCCCGAGUCACAAGCCAAGAUCAUGUAAUCUCUAUACUGAAAAUAUGAUGAACAUUCGUUUGUUCUACAUGUAAUUAGGACCGGUUUAUACCUCAAACUGUAAUUAAUUGUUUCAAAUUUCAUGAAUCUUAAACCGGCUCUUCCUGUUAUGUUCUCACCUUGGUAUACUUUCGACUAUACACCUUCCCAUAUCAUUUGCUGGUAAUAUCAAGAAAAACAUAGUCUGAAUGUCAUGUGGAGCCAUCACCCAAUGAUGCAUGUUCAAGAAUCAUCAUUUGUUCAUAAAUUGUUUCGUCAAUUUAAGAAUUUCUUUUAAUCUUUAUAAAUUUUUCUCAAAGACUUGGUCCCAAAACUAAUGCUAGUCAACCCAUAUCUUAGUUAUAAUCUCAUUUGGUUUCUAAUGGUCGAACCAUCGUCUAAAAAAACAUUGGUUUCGCCUAUUCUAUUCAUAAGACAGCGGAAUUUUUGAUAAUUAUUGAAAAGCAAAGUAUUCUUAAUUAUAAGAAAUUUGAUAAAUAUAGAUAUUUUUAUAUCGUAAGUUAAAUUUGAAGAAAACAUUUACAUUUUGUAUAUAAAAAAUGGUAGAUAAACCAGUUACUAAAACACACAAUAAAUAAAAUAUUGGCCUCUAGUGUUUCGUUCAGUUCAGGUUCAGAAGUGGACAAUUUAAAACAUAUAAAAAAUAGUUAGGACCAAUGCUUAUAACGAUUAUAAAAUUCAAAACGGUUUAGGAAUUCACACAGCUCACUUACAGACAGACCAAAGGAAAAGAGACGAGGAAACAAACAAAAAAAUAUUUUCAUUUUUCUACUUUAACGUUUUCAUUUUCUAACUUUAGAUUAUUUUAUUAAAUACUGUGUAUAUUUAUUACUUAGGGAACCUGAUACCACUUUGAUGUGUUAGUGCGUGGUUCUUGUUCAUCUCUCUCUCUAAGAAAAUAUUUUCUUCUGCCAGGAAAACCAUUUUUGAAAUAAUCAAUCCUUUAAAUUCUAAAGGUUCGUGUGUAUUUAGUGUUUUUAAAAUCUCUGAACAACUCUUUCUUCUUCAACUUCUAUGUUUUAUUAUUGUGCCACUGAUUUACUGUUUCUUGUUCUCACUUUCUUUUGCAUCUUUGUUGAUUUUUUUUCAAAGAUCCAAACUUAUAUUCUUGGAACGAUGUAUGCAUGUGUAUGUAUAUAUAGAUCUGUAUAAGUUUUGUAUUGCAUGAUUAACAUUACUUUCUUGACAGUCUGUCCAUAAAGGGUUUGGUUAUGUUUUGUUUCUUGAUUUUUAUCCCCAGAUUUCUUUUUAAAGCUCAUGUUUCUGUGUGUUUCGUCUUCUUCUUUUAUCCACAGGUAGUCUUCAUUCUCUGGAACUGUGUUUUUAAUGGUUUGGUUAUCUUCUUUCUAUGUCUUGUUUUGUUUCUGUCAACAGUUUCUAAGAAGAAAAAAUUCAAUAUCUUUGGUCUAUAAGAUCACCCAGAUGCUUGUUUAAAUUCAUUCAUGGGGUUAUCUACAGUCUGAAUCUGUUCAUCUGUUGUUGUGAUGUCUUGAGUUUCAUGUGAUUCAUUGCAUAAAAUAACACACUCCAAUCAAACUGGAAACUGAUUGUUGUAGGGGAAAUUGAAAAUUUCUAGAUUAAAAAUUCAUUCUUUUAACUGUUCAUGUUUCUUUAGACCCCUCUAGAUAUUUGAAAAUCUCACCCACUAAUCUUAAUUUUAUUCUCUGUUUUCUCUUCUUCACAUGAAAUAAUAAUAGUAUUUUUUUUUUCUAGAAAUAUCUUCUCAACUUUCCUCUUAUGAGGUUUUCUUCAAACUCAAAGAAUAUAUAAAAAAAACAUUCUUUUCAACACUUGCAGGUUUUAUAGCCCCUCAGAAAUUUGACAUUAUAAGUGAUCUGAUGUUAUGAAGAAUAGCAGAGAGGUGAAUAGUAACAGUGGAAGGAUCAAAUGUUCUUCUUAUCCAUCAUUAUCUACUGAUGAAGGAUCUCCAAAUAAUCCAUCAUCUUCUUCCCAUUUCUUGCAUCUCACCAAGCCUAGUGAUGAGUUAGGUCAAUCACAUCUUUCCACUUUCUCCAUCAGGUAAUCUCAUAAGAUUUCUCUUUUUUUCUUUGAUUUGUUUUAUGAAGAAGAAGUCAACAGUUUCCUUCUUCACCAUUGUUUUAGGCAAAGUCAAGUUUUCUUGAUGAGUCUGAUCAUACUAGAUAGAUCUUUUCUUCUCAUCCAUUCAAUAUUCUUAAUGGGUCAGAUUCAUUACAAAUAAAAGAAAAACAAACUUCUUUUCUCUUUCACCUUCUGGGUGUUUGGGGAGCUUAAAUGAUAUUAUUGAGUGUUGACUAUUUCUUUUACUUUUCUUUGAUCCAUUGGUCCAUACCAUGUGAACUUUUGUUAUGUCUUGUCUCUCAGAAGCUUUUCUGAACCUUUGUUUUGUCUGGUUGUUAUGUACUCUACUAAUUGAGACUUUGGUUUUCAUGAUGGUUUUGCAGAGGUUAUGCAUUUAGUAACCGGACCAAAAACAUUCAGAAAAGCUGGCCUUUCUCUUCAACAAGUCUGCAACUUUGUUUAAAACAUGGCUUGAGUGAUCCAUUGCCACCUAUUCAGCCUCUUGGCCCUAUGAUAAGCCAUCCUCCUGAAGCUUCAUCAUCCAACAAGCCAACUUUAACUCAUGUUGAAGCCAUAAGCAGCAAGAGAAAGUUAGGAAGACUUGCUUCCAGUGAUCAUGCAUCAGCAGAGAUUACUAAACAAGGCUUUGAGAAUGGUUCCAAAUCCAAAACACAAGUCACUACAGUUAACAAGACUCCAAGAAAGAAAUGUGGGUUAGUAGUGAAACCUGGAGCUUGUGUGGAUGGUUCAUCAAAAGAAGAUCAGGCUUUGAGAACUUGUCCCAUCUGCAAAACCUUCUCGUCUGCUUCUAACACCACUUUGAAUGCGCAUAUCGAUCAGUGCCUGUCUGUUGACUUGGGAGAGCAGCCAGUUAGUAAGCCAAACAAGCCUAGGAACCACAAGCCGCGGUUGAAGGUUAAAACGAUGGUUGAUAUCUACGCUUCUGCAAAAGGAUGCACACUAGAAGAUCUUGAUAGAAGAAAUGGAACAAAGUGGGCUGUGAUCUCAAGCUACUCUAACCGUGUCAUUGUCUGUGAUAAUAAUAAGUCUGAAGUUUCCAACAAAGAGAAGAAGCUUGAUGAAGAUGGUGAUGCUGGCAUUGGACCUGUUUACAUUGAUGCUAAGGGCCAAAAACUGAGGAUUAUAUCUGAGGUUAAGGAGAAAGCUGCUGAACCAUCAAGAGAGCAUGAGAAGAAAUCAUUUAGUGAAGGUAAACGGAGUUACAAAAGCUGUAAGAAAAGACUAGAAGGCAAUGCGUCAGAGGUAACUUAAUAGUAAUCUAUGCAUACAUUCUUGAUUCUUGAAGUAAGAUAAAGAUUGUUUAAUAAAGUCACUUGUGUAACAGAUACACGAGUCUAGAAGAGGGUGUUCUGAAGAAUGUAGAGGCAUGGAGAGGUUAGAAACUCCAGGGACAAGUCAGCGUAGGAGGAUGCUAAGAAAACAUAGUCUUUCAAGGAAUGAAAGUAAGAAAGGGAGGAGCAUGUGUGAUCAGCCAUCUGAGAAUAUGCAUUCAUUGUCAGAAGAUCCUCUUGUGUUAAAGGGUCCAAGUCUUGUGAGUACUGAUUUAUCCGAGGCGGUUAACAGUCAAAGCUCAUGGAGAAGCUGUGGGGAUAGUCAAAUCUCUGGAAAGAGUACUAACUUUGCAGCUCCUAAACCUGUGGACAAAGGAGUUAUGAAGUUAAAGAAAGCAUGGAGGUUUGAUGUUUCAGAGAAUGAAGAUGAGGAUUCAGGGAGAUGGGAGUCUGAAAUGACUCAAGAACUUGAACUGGCAGAUUAUGAUGACUGGGACGAGGCUGAAGAAACAGAUAAGGGUCUGCCUUCAACUAGGGGUGAAGAUAAUGAUUAUGAAAGUUUGGAAGAGACUGGUAAUAACAAAGGAGACUGUGAUAUGUUGGACACAAUAGAUGCUGAGUUUGAAAGCAUGGUUUUAGAGAAAAAUGGUUUUGAAACUGAAGAAGGAGGAAGCUCAUUCAUGGAGGUUGAUCCCAUUCCUAUUCCAGGGCCUCCUGGAUCAUUUCUAGAGAGUCCUUGGGACAUGGGAACUGAUGCAACUGCAACUGAAAAUCAUGGAAACUUUUUCCAGGUCCAAACAUCCUUUGAUCAGCUUGAUCUCACUGACAGAAACUUGUCUGAAUCACCUGUUUCAGCAGUUUCUAACUUUGCAGCUCCUGAAACACAGACAUUUAGUCUUCAUAACAUCAUCACUACUGACAAUGAUCAGUCAUGUUGUUGCCAGAGAAAGGAGAAUGCUCUUGAAGGUACAACAUUUAGGCAACCACCACCACACAUGAUCCAUCAAGAUCUUUUGAGUAAGUCUGUUCCCCCGGUUCCUUCAAACUCCGGUCCAGUGUUGCGGCUAAUGGGAAAAGAUUUGAUGGUUAUGAACCAAAGAGAAGAGACCUCACAUGGAGAUCCAAGUACAAAACCAACUUCUCAGUUUCAAGAUCUCUCCAAGACACAACAAGCGUCUCCUCGUGCCCAUCUUCAUCCUCCUUAUGGUGGAAACGGUUUGUAUUUGGACGCCACCACAAGCUUUUACAACAUUCCAUGACAAUACCGAUCAACUCCAGCAGUUUCCUAUUCCUGAAAGAUCUUAAAGAAGUUUUCUCCUCAACCAUUCAACCUCAAGAUUUCAUGAUUCUCUAACAAAGAGGCUGAGAAGAAUCUCAAGAGGCUGUUAUGAAGAAAUGGUGAGAUAUAAGUUCGGUUUGAAUCUACCUAUAGAAUAUUGAGAAACGCCACCGAGGUAAAUGUAAGUUAUUAUAAUGUUAUGGAACCGCAUUUUGAAUAAAAAGUAUACAUGACUUUAACCUCAUGAUUCUUUCUUUCUAUAUAGAUAUUUAUAUAUGUGGUUGAAAUCAUGUGAGGUAGUCAAGAUCAUGGUCACCGUCAUGACAUGCAUUAUGUGUACGCAAUUCAUUUUCUUUUGUCUCACGAAUUCCUAAUUAUUUUAGAUAUAACCUGUUGAGUGUAAAUAAUGUCACAUAAAUUAGAUGGGGAUAUAUUUGAUGUAUAGUAUAACAACUAUUAUGAGAGUUGCAUUUCGUGAUGAUGAGCUGUUUUCUUGUUACAAUCAAUUUUAUAUAAAAUAAGGAGAAUAUAUUACUGAAUAAUGGAUCUAUAAAUGUAUAAAGUACAACCACAACGGCUAUAUAUAUUGCAUGCGCAUUUCCAAAAUCAUUUGUUCAUUAUCAUAUGCACUCCAUGUCUUUCUUUUGUUUGACAUGUUAGUUUAGUUGAUGUCCACAUUUACCACAUGUAUGUAUAAUUUAUGUACACAUUUACGAAUACGGAAUAUACAUAAUAUUGCAUAUAAUGGCCGACCUAAUAUUGGAGAUUGCUCAAGGCCUCAAAGAGUUUUAAAGCUAACUUCUAGAGGAUUUUUGUUGACUCUUUACAUUAACAAACUAGAUAUGAGAUGAGAUGGGCACUAUUUUCUAAUCUUGUUUGAAAUCGGGACAACUACCUGAUUGGUGACUUACAGAUUUAUUGCGAAGUAUGAGCACUCUCUUGUGUAGAAUAAUGGUUACAAACAAAUUAAAAUUUUACAGUUUAUUUAAGUUUUUUUUUUUUGUUGAGAGAUCAGACUCUCACAUCAAAAGAGGUAUAUAUGUCCACUCAUACUGAAAGGCAAUGUUGGUCCUAAUCUCUGAAUUGGCCUUUCCUCUUUGGUAAAAACUCUCAAGUUCAAUUAUUCUAUUUUGUGAAAAGCCACUAAGUCCUAAAUUGCUAUAACAUGUUUUGUGAAACAUUUGACCGUUUUGGAAAAAGUUAUUAUCAUGAUUUUUUUAAAUAGAAAGACUAGUUGAAAGUUUUGUCAACAUGUAAAAGCAUUUAUAUUUGACGGAAGAAAAUAAUCUGUCUCUUGUUUGAUAGAUUUUAAUUUUUGUAGUAAGUCCAAAUAUAACGUCAUAUUAGUGCAUGCCUAAACUUGACAAAUUGUACAUUAGUGCAUGCCUUAGGCUGAUUUUAGAUUAGGCGCCGGCAGAUAUUAAUGAAUAUUAAGUUGUUAUCUAACUGAGAGAAAUUCGAUCGAUAUGAGCGAUAGUAUGUAAUAGACUAUAUUUUUGAACAAAUGUAACAAUACAUUUCUAAAACGUGGUCAUUUAAUUAAACAAAAAUAACAACUAACGAAGUAGACAUUGCUUACAGCAUCUAACUGUGUCAACUGUCAAGGGAUUAAUUAGACAAUGUUACGCUAAAAAUUGGAUUAAUUGGACACAAAUUGAUCCUAUUCGUAAUAAUGGAUGACUAACUGUUAUAGGAAAUAGUUAAUCAUUACUCUUGCGAAAUCACAAUAUACAAAUACAAACAAUCAAAUCCAUAAAAUGCAAGGUUUUGAAUUUUGAUAUUUAUCUAGCUUAUUUUGAUAAUCAUCUAGCUUAUUGGAAUAAAUGAUAUGCGUCUCAAUAUGUUUUCAAGAAAAAAAAAAUUGUGCAUAGUUAAUUAUAAAACCAUGUACUUUUUUUGUAUAAACAGAAAAUUCCGAAUGCACCAGUCGUAUGUACAAAAAUAAUAAUAUUUCAUUUUAUAGUUAAUACUCAAUGUUACAAUUGCUAUAAAGAAAAUAGUGCUUUAUUUUUGACAAUAGUGUUAAUCGGAGUGCGUUGGCCUCAACAAAACGGAAGGCGAGAUAUCACGGCGUAUUAUUUUAUUUUCAUUUAUGUGGAUGCUAUUUAAAGCGGGCCUACUUAGCCAGAUAUUUUAUUUUGGCGUGAAGAUCGUAAAUUGAACAACGAAAUGUUGGCUUUGGUCCUCCAUUAGUAUCUUUACACAAUUAGAAAUAAUUAUUGUUCUAAGCAUAUUUAAAAGCACGACUUAAUAAUUAGUACAGGACUUUAGUAUAAUAAUUUGGUGCGCAAUUCGUUGCCAUUAAGUUAACCUUAUAUAUUCGCAUGGCCUUGUGUUGGUACUUAUGUUAAACCAUUAUGUUAGUAAUUGACCGAUUAAUUAAUUUGUGAUAACUUAUAUAUCCGAAUGAAAAAAACAGUAGAAGAAAUAUAAUAAUACUCCUGAGGUGUCCGGAAAUGCCUAAAUCAAACAUUGAGGUGUGACGGGAAGCUGUUACCAUGUGUGGUAUGGAUGUCUUAAAUCCUGGCAUGAUGAUGUUUACAUAUAGGUUUUGAUUCAUAUAUAUGAAGUUUUGCGAUCUUUUCUUUCUAGAUUUCUUACACCGAUGCUUGCUUAAUUACUUUGUCACAUGUGCAUGAGACCGAUGGACUUGUUCCAAACAGAAAACGAAAAUGUAAUUGGUCUUCUUCGUCGCAAUUAAAUAAGUUUUAAAAAAAAAACAUAUUUACAUCGAUGGCACUACAGAAGGCCAUAUUCUGAGAUGUUAUAAUGCGUUUUCGUCCAUGAAUGAAUGUGAUUAUCAAUUCAGUAAAAAAAGAAAAGAAUGUGAUUAUCAAUUCAUACAAUAUGAAGGUACCAUAUGAGCUAGAUACUCCUAUAUAUAUUGAUUAGAACUGAAUUUAAGAGCAACGUCUUCUCGCACACAACGCAGUUCUUUUAUCCAACAUGAACUUCAGCAUAGCUAAAGAAGUAUAUACAUUGAGAUCACGCCAAGCAUAGAUAUGGACAUAGAUAUUUUGAUCAUACAUAUAUAUGGAUUAUGGAUAUAUGUACUGUGACAAGUCAGUCGUAUACGGUAUGGAUGAAAUAAUUUGAAAGAUUGUGCACAUGCAUUUAGCAAAAAAAAAAAAAAAAAAGAUUGCGCACAUGCAUGCAUGCAUGACACUACGAAUUGGUCUAAGUAAUCUCCUUCUGUCCACAUCGUAUCGACAUAUCAACUAUUUUGUAUACAGCACUUUUGCAUUAUUCAUUCUUUUAGUAUAUUAGGCGUUUUCCCCAUGUCUACUUUAGUUUUCGAAUUUAUCAAAAUUCAAAGUUUAUAUGACAGAUCCUUUGAAGAUAAUGUAAAUAACUAAAAUUUCAUAUCCUCCAAAAGUUUACUCGGGUAUUAAAAUAUAAAUAGGGUUAAACAGUUAAAAAAUGGAGAAGAAAAAUAAGGGAAUAAAUCCCAUACAAAAAAGGAGUAAAGUUUAUUUAAUAAGUUCGUAUUAUUUUUUGGUAGGAACAUUGAUACAUCAAUGCAAAAUAUCCCUUACAUUAAUUAAUGUACAUACGCGUGUGGAAGUGGUCUAUAAGUGAGGUAUCUAAGCGCGUGUGGGCGUGCGUUUGUACAUCUUUCGUAAAUAAGAUUUCAUCGACGUACAAAUUGAAUUCGUUUUUGGUUAAAAAGUAAAAAAUGUUUAACAUAAAUAAAAACUAAUAAUUUAAAGAGAGUGGAGGAACAACGGCCCCAAGAUUUUAUUUUAAGAUUGACGUGAUUGCGACGUGUCGCUUGCUUGUCUGCUUAGUGGGUCCACAUCCAUUGCUCCUUGCAAAAUUCAUCUGAACUUUUUUUUUUUGGUAAAAAAAUUCAUCUGAACUUCACUUAUGUUUCUCUUUUGGAUAUUUUUAGUUGGAUCUGUAAUUUAAAUUUAUUUACGUAAGUUCACAUGUUUUUAACAAAUUGGAGAAUGUAUUAUGAAUUUUAUCUAUUUACCGAAGUUCCUCGCUAUAAAUCUAUAGACUUUGGUUAUCGGUAUUAGAAAAUCAUUCAAAUAUUAGAUGAAGUGCCUUGGUAAAGCUCCUUUCACAUGGAAAGCCAACACACUAAAUAUUUAAAAAUUACAUUUCUCAGGAGAAUGCAUAGUAUUUGUUUUAAAUGUAUAGUAAUUUAAUAACUCAAAAUUUAGCUAUACCAAAUCUAUACAACAGAAAAUAAUAAAAUAAAGAUGGUGGAGUGUGAUAAUAAUUGAAGUUACUGUGGACACUUUUAUUUAUUUUUCUCCUCUUGCACUCAUUUUCUUUUAAAAAAAAAUUCGUUUUUCACAUUUAGUGAUAAUACAUAUGUGGACUUUAUAUGGAACACCAAAAAAAUCAUUUUAGUGCUUGGUUCUUCUCUCUUUCUCCAUCUCUUUCAUCAAUGCUAUCUUUCUCUCUCUAAGAAACCAUUUUCUUUGUUUUGCCAAGAAAACCCAUCCAAGGUUUGUAAACUGUUUCUCCAAAAUUUGUUUUCUUGUUCUUUGUCUAAAGUUUGUGAAUCUGGUGUGUCCUUCUUUCUUCAUUUUGAUCUUCUGUUCUUCUAUCCAACUUCAAGAUCCCAAAUCUUGAAAUGUUUUCAGAUGUAUGUGUGUAUAUGAGAUUUAUGAGUAAAGAUUAGAUUUGUUCCUUUUACUUCAACUACUAGAUCUAUUUGUAGUCAUCCUUUUUUCUAGCUGAUCAAGAUUCUUCCCCAUGUCUUGAUUUUCCUUUGAUUUAAUGCCCUCAUAAUCUUUAGUUUCAUGAAGACCAUAUGAAUUCUUAACUUUGAUCUAAUCUUUAUAUAUUUUGGUAGCUUCUUUAUCUUAUGGAUGUCUUACUUCACUUUAUCCUCUUAUGAUACCCUCAACAUACAAUAAGCUCACGAAUUAGAUUGGUAACUGAAACUUUUUUCUGAGAAAUAAAGAAAUCAGGCUCUUUUGCGUGCGAAUAAUUGUUUCUUUUUUUUUUGUGAUUACACUUCAUCAAAUCGUUACAUGUAUACACUUCAAAAUAUACCAACUAAUCCCAACUUAUAUUUUUCACAUGAAAUAACGUUCACUUUUUUUUUGCUCUUCUGGGUUUCUUGGAAUCACAAAUCUCAACAAGUUUCAUAAUCUUAGUUUACGUGUUGUGUGUAGAUCGGACAUAAACUGGAGAUGAUAAAAGAAGAUCUAGUGUUAUGCUGAACUAUUUGGGAAGCGAAGAGGCAGAUAGUAACAGUGGAAGAAUCAAAUGUUCUUGUCCACUGAGAACCCACCACAUGACCCACUUUCAUCUUCUUCUCCUGCUACUUCCAGUUUAUUACAUCUCACCACUUCUUCACAUGAGUUAGGUCAAUCCCAUCUCCAAAACUUCUCCAUCAGGUAAAUUAAAAACUUCUACUUUUUUUUUUAUUCUCUGAAAGUCUUUUUUUGUUUUCUGGGUUUCUUCGCCAAUAUGGUUUUCCCCCAGACAAAAAAAAAGUCUCUUGAUUUCGUGAUGGGUCAGUCUCAAAUGAUCAAAAGUGUUGACCUUUCUUCCUUCUUCCUUAUAGUAACUAAUGGGUCAGUUUUAAAUGAUCAUAAGCUAAAAACUCAUCCUCAUAGCUAGAUCAAAAGUUUUGACCUUUCUUCCUUCUUCCUUAGCUUUUUUGAGACUUGGAAGUAACUAACGUCGUUAUAUAUAUGCUUUGAUGCAUGCAGAGAUUACGCGUAUAGUAACAGAAAGAACAGCAUCAAGAACAGCUGGCCAUUUUCUCCUAAAAGUCUCCAAAUUUGUUCAACUCAUGGCGUAACUGAUCCUUUGCCACCGUUUGAGACAACGGCUAGUUCAUCGUCAGGGAAGCAGAUCGUAUCUCAUGUCCAUAGAGGAACUGGUUUGGCUAAACUUGGGCUAAAAGGAGGUUGUAGCCAAUCAAGGGUCAUCAAGAAUGGUUUUGGUACGAGUACAAGUGUUUCGAAGUCUAAGGUAGAGAUAGUAGUAGCUGGUACAAGUAAUAACAACAAGAACAGUAAAAAGUGUGGACGAGGAGGAGGAGGAAUGGUGAAAUCCAAAGAAGAUACUUGUGGUGGUGGCCUCGUGAUGACGACAACAUGUCCUAUUUGCAAAACCUUCUCAUCAGCUUCCAACACUACUUUGAAUGCUCACAUCGAUCAGUGUCUGUCUGCUGAUUCAGAACUGCCACCUGUUAGUACUUAUAAGCCAAACAAGCAUAGAGUUGAUCAGCGUCUGUCUGUUGAUUCAGCCGUGCCACCUGUUAGUAGUACUAAGCCAAACAAGCCUAGAGUUAAUCAGUGUCUGUCUGUUGAUUUAUCCGUGCCACCGGUUAGCACCAAGCCAAACAAGCCUAGAGCUAAGCCACAGAUGAAAGUUAAAACGAUGGUUGAUAUUUAUGCUUCUGCUAAAAGAUGCACGUUAGAAGAUCUUGACAAGAGAAAUGGAACUACGUGGGUGUCCAUUUUGAGUCACACGAAUCGAGUUGUUGCUGAUAAAGUGUCCAAGAAGCGGAAAGCUUCUCCUGUGGGCGUUGGUCCGGUUUAUAUCGAUGCCAAGGGUCAAAAACUGCGGAUUCUAACAGAGUUCAGCGAGAAGAAGACUUGUACUACUACUACAUUGAGAGAGCAGCAUGAGGGUGGUAGUAGUGAAAAGAAGAGUUCAAGCCAAGGUAGUAAAGAAAACAGUAAAAGCUUGAGGAAGAGACGUCUGGGAAAGAAACAUUACAAGUAUCUUAAACUAACCAAUCUCAAAGCCAAUAAUACAUCAGAGGUAAUAAAUAAUAACAUUAGUUUCUGUAUCUUUUGUUUUUGUAGUGAGGUUCAUGAAAUAACAGUACACUACUUUGUACAGCAGGUACCAGAUUAUCAAAGAGUGUUUUGCGGAGAAGGUAGCAGCAAGGGUCAUCGUAGAAUCUAUAACCAGCGGAUGUUAUCAAAACCUGGUCUGGUUUCAAAGAGGCUAAAUGAGAAAGGACAUAAACUUUAUGAUUUGCGGGAUCAGCCAUCUGAGGAUGAUGAUGAUUCAUGGUCAGGAGGAGAGCGUCUUGUGUUGAGAGGUACUGAUUCAUCCCCUUUGAAGAAACAGAAGGAAGUCUCUGGAAGGAAUAAGGCUAUGUUUGGGAGUAAAGGAGCUCAAAGUCGUUCAUUUAGAGUUCAGAUGAGUGAAAAGGAGGAGGCAUCACUUGCAGUAGCUCAUUUAGACACCCUCCAAGUCAAGAAGAGACUUGCUUCGAUUCAAGAAAAUAAGUAUCCACUUGGAAAGAAUGUCAGCGAGGUUUCUCCUCGUGCAACUAGCAUGAGAAAGGUGUCCCCACAAUUCGUAGCAAAUGGCUGGAGACGACUAUCUCUGCCUGUGGAGCUAAAGAAAGCUCGGCUGGAUUCGUCUGAGGAAGAAGAAGCUGGAAAAUGGGAAUCUGAAAUGACACAAGAACGUGAACUCUCAGAUGAUGAUUAUGUUUCUGGUUAUGAUGAUACUCCUUCAUUUGAUGAUGAUGAUGACGAAGAAAGUAGUGAUGAGGAGGAUGAAGAUAAUAGCAACAACAACAACAGUAGAGCCAAUGUGUUGGACAAAAGCAAUGAUGCUACACCUAGCGAGAGAGCAAUGUAUUAUUACUCUGAAGAAGUUGAGGAAAUGAUUUAUAGGCAAACCACUUGUGAUGAAGAUGUGAGGUUUGAAUCUGAGGUGAGAGGAAAAGGAAGCUUAUUUGUAGAGGUUGAUACCAUUCCCAUUCCAGGACCUCCUGGCUCAUUUCUACCUAGUCCCAGGGACAUGUGUUACGAUGAGAAUCUUGGAAACUCGUCUGUUAUCACAAGCCAGUUCCAUUCUUUCGACAGAAACUCAUCUGAAUCACCUGUUUCUGCUGUUUCAAACGUUGCAGCUGGUAAGUUGAGUUUCCCUGUGGAGUUAUCUUCUUCCUACACGACAACACCGAUGAGCUUUUGUGUUCCAUCUCAUCAUGAGACAAUCACCGAGGCUGAGCUGAUGACUGUUGGCAAGACAGAACCACCUCCAAGACUUAGAAGCAACGAUCAUGAGUCUUGUUGUUGUUGCCAGAGAAAAGAGAGAAUCUCUGAGGGGAUUGCUUUGAAGCAUCAAACAUCUCAUCUACUGCAGAGAAGAGGUGCUUCUUAUUCGUCACAUUUGGAUACAACAAAUCAUCCGUUUGAGGAGUCACCGUACAUGAUCCAGCAAGACUUAGAACUUCAGAGUAAAUUCUCCAGCAGAGCUGUUGUUGUGCCUCCAAGUCCUAACCCGGUUUUGCGGUUGAUGGGAAAAGACCUGAUGGUCAUGAACCAAGGAGAAGCAGACAAGGUAGAAGCAUCUCGGGAUAGCUUAAAACCACCCACUCAGUUUCUUGAUUCUCUUCAUUGCCCAGCUGGAACCGGCUUAUACUUCAACACAGGUCUCUAUUUAAGAAACAGUUUCGAGUCAACACAUCAUCAACCACAGACACCACAAGCACAAGCACAGACACAAACACAAGCUUCACCAGUCCGACACAGUUUUGAUGAUCAUGUAAGGUACUUUUCUCCGAGCUAGUCAAUCCAAUGUAAGAGUUUCGGCCUUUGUGUCUGUCCCUUUGUGUAGUUAUGGACCUUACGGUUUACAUUAAGAAAAGCAGACACUUGAAAAGAACAAACACUCACUCUGUAGAAGAUAAAAAGUAACUUUAAGCUUUGAGAAGCUCAACAAGUAAACUUGUAAGUUUAUAUAUAAGGUUUGGCCAUUGUGGUAAGAACAACAUGAUUCUUCCACAAACUUUGACUGUGAAUUCAGAUUUCUUUUUCAAAUAUAGAGGGGAAAAGAAGAUAAAACUAAUUUAAAUAUAAUUAAGUAAAGCUCUUAUCAAAGGCUCCUUGAGCAAAAAAAAAAACAAUACAAAGUAUUCACUUUAGUUUCGGGUUUAGAUAAGUUUCGAGCAAAAACACAGUUGAAUCUGUAUCAAGAUCUAGAUAACUUUACGCUUUCAUAACAGAUAAAAGUUCAGUCUUUCAUGAGCUCAUUGAGAGAUAAAUUGCCUUGCAUCUGCAGUUUUCGGAUCUCGUUUGCAAUCUGAAUACAGUGAGCUGCAACAACAAAAAACAAAAGAAUGCAUGCGACAAAAAAAAGUGUGUCAAGUUUUAAAAUCAAGAAGAAUGAAUCUAAGAAAUCAAGAGCACGUACGAAGUAUCAUAGUAGAAAAAUUAUUCUUGAAGAAGAGAAGGCAUUGGCUGAGAAUGAACCUCAUAUGACGCUGUCAAGCCUUGAAGAAGCAAAAACCAAAGCUGAGAAUCUAAAGAAUCAAGCUCAUGAUAUACAAAAAACCAUUGUGUAGAGAUCACAGAGAUCCAAGAAGUGAAAGGUUUCAAGAAGAGUGUUUAAAACCACUUCAUGUCUUCUUCUACAGUUAGGCUUGAUGUUUAUGCUGUUCAAUUUUCAGUUAAUUGCCAGUGGAAUAGAUUGUUGUACCCACAUGAAUUUUGUUCUUUAGUGUGAUAUUGCAAUUAAACGCAACGAGUUAUACGGUUAAUCAUCCAUUAUUCACAAAAUAAAAGAAACAUCUGAUUACACACUAUUUAUGGAGAGACUAUCUGUUUGAAAAGAAGAAAAAUAAGAAAGAUGAGUAACAUAGUUUACUUCUUGGAACUUUGGUCAAAAAGACUCCACCAAAUUACAUUAAAAACCAAACACCAAGAAACUAAAAUUAGAACCAAAAACCAAAAGUAUUUUUAAAAUUUUCCUCUAUACCAUAUAUACGUUUUCUUAGAAUCCUUAUCCUUCGUUAGGUGGCAACUCAUUCAAGUCAAACUCAAAUUUCUUCACUUCUUGCACUGUCUCUGUUACUUGACUAGAAGAAGCUGCUGCCGGAGCGGUUGGAGCAGCGGUUACAGCCUCACUAGAAACUGGUCCAGUCCAAUGGCGUCUCUUAUGACCUCCAAGAGCUUGACCUGUUGGGAAACUUUUGUGACAAAUGUCACAAACGUGAUCUCCAUUAUUACCACUGCUUAAAGAUGUGUUUGAUGCUUGAGCACUAGCUAAACCAGUUAUCAUGGCUUCGGUUCCAAGUAAUAAAGCUUCACUGUUUGCCCUAGCUUGAUGACUCUCCAAAACUUUGACCUUGUUGUGACUUGCUCUAUGACCUCCUAAAGCUUGAUAAGAAGUAAACGACUUGUUGCAAGUCACACACACGUGCUUCUCACGUGCACCACCACCUUCCUCAGCUGCAGCAGCAACAUCCCCAAGCUGAUGAUGAUGAUCAUGAGUAGAUGAUGAUGAUGAUACCUUCUCUAUCUCAGAUAAUCUUCUCUUCUUCUUCUUCAUAUCUUCGGCAGAGUGUGAAUCAGAAGUCUCAGCAACAUCGAGAUUAACAGCUUCCGCAGUAGUAGCUAAGAGCAUUAGAUCCUUAGCAUCAAUGUUAUCAUAACCAUCAUCAUCAUCAUCAUCAUCAUCAUGAUCCGAGCUUGUAAACUCACCAACAUGAUGAUCAUCAAUAGAGAGUGUAGAAGAGGAUGAAUUACCAAGUGGAUGAGGAGGAGGAGGAGGAGGCAAAACUCCUUUCCAUGUUCUGUGUGGAUGAAACCUCAUGUGUCCAUAUAAAGCCUUCCUUGAUGUAAACUUCUUAUGGCAAACACUACAAUCAAUUUCGGAUUCACCAGACUUGUUCUGAUUUUCGAGCACAUGAAUUCUUUUAUGACCUCCUAAAGCCUUACCAGACAUAAACUGUUUACCACAUUCAGAACACAUAUGCUUCUUCUCUUCUUCUUCUUCCACAUCUCCUUCUAGAUCUAUACUGUUAGCUCUAUCAUCAUUAUCUUCUUCCCUUAGACUGAUACUUUUAGGUUCUUUCUCAUCAUCUUCAGCUUGAUCUUUUUCUAUGUCUUUUCUCUUUUCAACUAUGAAUCCAAGUGAGGAUCCACAGUCGUCUUUGUAACACUGUUCCAUUGCUUUCGAAGCUUGAACCCACCCAAAAAAACUAAGCUCAGAAUCUCUCGCAGCUCUCUUAAACUCCACAAGUCGGAUGUGAUUGCAAAAACGCUUGGGACCAAUAAAGUAAAUAUUUAACCCUAAUAUUUGAAGACGGGUGUACUAAUUAGAAUUUAAAGAGAUAAGUAGUGAAAAUACUGAAAACUUUUUUUAUGUAUUUUCUUAUCUCUUGAUACCUUUGAAUCACAGUCAAAGAUUUUCUUUUGAUGCAAGGAUAUCUCAAAUUAAAAAUAAAACCAAAUAAAUGAAAAUCCAAAUAAAGACUUGAUUUAGGGUUGUUAUUGCCUUAUUGGUAGUGAUGAUAGCUGGCUCAAAAUUGUUGUAUUGGCUUAGAGGUAUUGCAUGUUUGCCAGGACUAGUAGGUGCAGUGUGUAGUGUCCAUUAUUUAUUGUCCUCCCUUUUUAACAUUAAAAGGUUAUAUUAAUUUAAGUGUCCAACGGGAUAAGAUGAUUACAAACAGAAAUAUAUUCGACGAUAAUACAAUAAGCGAUGAAAACUAAACCAUAAUGAAAACUUAAGAUAGGAGUGGCCAAUCCGUAGAGAAGCUUCAUUUGUAAUCCUAAAGCUUGCGUUCGAAGGAACACAAAGAAGUCAGAUUCAAAACCGAAGUUGAAGAAUCUAUCCAAUGGGUUUUACGGCAGUUGAAAACCGUCUCUAAAUAUAUCAAGAUCGCUAGAGAGAGAGGAGUUGAAUGAUCCUCCAUUAAAAUUCUUUGGUGUAAAAAAGUAAAGCCGAUAAUGCGGGUUCUAAAGAACUCACUGGAGGGGACAAUAGAAAACCAUUUUGAAUAAGUAAGUCUUAAUCUUUACGUCUACAUAUUGUAUUUGCAAUAGCUUGUUGAGACCCCUUGGUGAUUCAUAUAUAUACUAAUCUUUUCACUAUCUCUCCAUCCAGUAUUUACUUCAUUGGUCGAUUUAUAUAGAAGAAGAUACAAUGAGACACACAAAAGUCAUAUGAAUUUUCAAUUAGAAGGUUUUGAAGUUUCCUAAGAUCAAAAGAAUGAUACAAAUAAAACAAUACGUGGGCACACAAACACUCCCUUCCCUCAGGUUGUUACCGGUACAUUGCAUAUAUCUGGCUUACUUCGCCUCAUAACAAUUUAACAAAAACCAACAAAGCUGCAAAAAUGGUCAGCCAAAGAGGAGUAGAAGCGGUGUUGACGGCUGCGUUUACGUCUGCCGCUGAAGCAGGAGACAUAGCGGGGCACUCUAGACCUUCUUUACCUCCUUUGCACUGGUUAGCGAAAAGUCCAGGCGGGUAUUGCCCAUAGAGAUUGAUGUAACUGAACAUAGUGGUAGCACAAUCGUUACUCAGGUCGUUGAGCUGUUCGGUGUAAGGACACGCAAAGUCCAAAAACGCGGAGCAGCAUUCCUUUACUGGGAAUUUGGGACCUUUGCACUGGCUUGUUAUGAUUGUAUAGUUCAUAAACUCAAAGUUCACUGGACAUGCUGUUACCAUGAGAAAAAGAGAAACCAUGUCAAAAAUAAAACAGAACAUUCUUCUCAAAAAAUCGGUUGCAUCUCCACAGAAAAUGCGUAAAGGAGUCAUUAGGGAAUCUUGAUUAGAUGUUUGUAUGUAAAAUGAUUUUAGACUAAUGCCAUGAUCCAGAGACAAACAAAGUUUUGAAGAUCAAUACAAAAAUUUGUAGAGGUUUGAAGCAUUUAUUAAGCCAAACUAUACAGAUAUGACCAAAAAGCAAAUAAUUUGGUAAGCAAACAGAAAUUUAAAAAAAAAAAAAAUCAAGAUUGUAAGUUAUAACUCAAAGAUUUGGGCAAUGAAACUGUAUAGUUUAGGAUCCAUAUAGAAGCAGGAAACGUUACUAGAUACAUCAGGAUUCGUUUGUAUAUUAUUGUAAUAUGGAAGUCUUACUAAGAUCUCAUCUUACUUCAAAUAGAAUCAAUUUAUAAAGGAUCAAAAAGAGUAAUAAAUUGAGGAAAGAGAGAUUUAAAAGAGAACUUACUUUUCUUGGUCUGAAGUAGGUUUCUUCCGGUAACCAAAGCCUGAGAUCCGAACACACCAUCUGCAAUAAAAAGACAAGAAAGUUACCAAAUUAAAUAUUUUCUUCCUAGAGAUUUGAACAUUCGAACAGAUUGAGGAAAUAAAUCUUUUUUAAAAAAUAAAAUAAAAAAUGUACCUGAGAUGAAACUGGAGGAUGAGAAAGAAGGAAAUAUUGUGAGUAAAAGACAGAAGAAAAGAGCUCCAGAGACGAACUUGAGAGACAUGAUUCUUUGGAGUUGCACAAGUAACGAAGAGAUCUGAUAAGAAACAGAAAGACGACUUGGUGGAAGACGAGAUAUGCCGCACCACGAAGAUUGAGAGAGACUGAAAACUAAAACAUUAAAAUAAAUAAAUAUAAAGAGUCUCAAAUAUAAAAAGAGAGAGAGGUGGAUGAGAUAUUAAAUUAUUUAUUUUGUUGACAUUAGAUUACAGGCUUUACUUUACAGCCUAGAAGAACGCGGAAACUAUUUGAGUGUCUGUCUCAUUCUUCAACGUCACGUUCCUAACCGGUGACGUUAAGCGUAUGUAUGUUGUAUAUACGUUUUCUCAUUAAUUCGUAAAUUAUUAUUACAUGACUUAACAGAUUGGGGAGCUAUGCAAGUAAGAUUAUUUGUAAAUGCAAUUAGGUGAGCAAGUUGGCCACUUACUCAACAGUGUUUGAGCUAAUGUAUUCACUCUUUAUCCAUCCACAUCUUUCACAUACCUCAUGCAACACAUGCAAUAAUAUAUUUCUACAUAGCCAUCAUAAACUGAGGUUUUUCAGCUACAAACUUAAAUGUUUAUAUUACUUCCCGCACACGGAAUGUUUUAAAAGAAUUGUUUACAAGAAGUUAUAGGAAGAAAAAAUUCCCAAAUAUCUGUGUGUAGAAUUUUUUUCAUUCUCUCAGUUCUGUAAAUAAAUAUAGUAACAAUAUGUCUCCAUACGGUUAUGUCCCAAAGCUUCAGAUGCAGCAUCGCUUUCUUUGCUGCAAGACAUAAAAGAACAGAGUCUCAACUACAAAUGAACUUGAACAUGAAAAAAAAAAAAAAAUUCAGUAAUUAUAUCAGAUUUUAACUCCUGUAACCAAAAACACAAGAACAUACAAUCACACAAAUAUGAUCAGAUGUUGGAUAUCUUUUUUUAAAAGAUCAAAUAUGAUCAGAUGGUGCAAAAUUUUAUGCUUAAAAAGAAGGAGAGAAAAAGAAACAUUGAGUGAGCUUACUUCUUCGUAAUGAGAGUCAAGCUGUUCUGUGAUCUGAAGCUGUUUUGCUAACGUUAAAUGUAAUACCUGAAACACAUACAACGUAGAUAUGUGUUUAUAUGAUAAAAGCAUUAAACCUUAAUAAUAGUUACAAGGUCAAUAUCAAGAAGUGUACGUACUGAUUGGGUUUUGUCGAGAUCAAGUUCUAGAGACUUGAUUCUCUCGAGAGUUCCAGUUAAUAGCUUCUCAUUUUCGUCCGGGGUCUUUACAGGGAUUCUACUAAUCUCUGUGCAUUCUUUCUCCAGCUUCUUAAGACGAUCCAAACACUGAAGAACAAUCUCUUUGUUUAUGGAUGAAUCUGAGACAUGGACACGGUUAUGUCUUUGCCAGUAUCCGAACAAUAAGAAACUAAAGAGAUCAAAAUAUAGCUUUAGUGGAAAGGCUAUUAGUAUUGUCACCAAGUGAACGAUGUUCACGCCUUUGGUUUUCUCUCUAAGAACACCAAACCGUGAUAUCUGACCACCAUAAAAUGUGACAAUGAUACAUUUGAACAUGCAGUUGCGUAACACAACACUAACGAGACAAAAUAUGAGUGAAAAAGAAACACACCUUCUCUUCUUGAUGUAUUUGUUGAACAAGAGUUUUCAGAGCUCGUGUUAAGUAAUUGGAGUUGAGACCAUUCUCCUUGAGCCGGUUCCUGUGAAUCAUGAUCUCUUACAUGAAGAGGAGCUUUUGUAGUUUGUGGUAUGGGAUUCACUUCCAUGUGAUGUACUAGCUGCAAAACAAGACAAGAUUAUAUCAUAGCUCGACUUAUUAUGACAACUUCAUGAAUCUAAUAAACAAAAAAAAAGACAAACAAGAAUUAGAUGCCUCGGCUAUUUCAGGAUCAUUCCAUGGUCCUUUGUUAGACCUCAAGCACCCUCCUUCGUUAGCACAUGUGCAUACGCCUCCCAAGAAAUCUGGAAGUUGACUGCAUUCCAGAGUAAAUUAUAAUGUUAGUGUAGUAACCAAAACUUGAAUGACAUUUCUCUAUAAAGACAACACUUAAGAAGUGACCCAAAAAAAAAAAAAGAAUUAACCUCGAAUCAAUUGUUUCAAGUAACUUUGACAAGGACUUUGGCUCCAAAACCUGAGUAACACAAGCAAUAAAUUAGUAGCUGUUGACAAUAAAUAGAAGAAUAAACGAUAAUACAUUACUUGUAUCUUUGCAAUAGUCACAGGAUCAAGAAAUUUCUGUGCGGCAGGCCAAAUCAAACUCCUGAAUCCAAAUCCUGCAUUGACAAUGAACAUCCUAUGCAAAGUCUGCAAGAGUCAGAGAACCACGGUCACAAAUUUUUACACCAACCGAAACACCCAUGUCCACUCGGCUCAUUGGCCUUAGACUAGUUACCGAAAGUGUAAUCUUCAAAGAGUUAAGUACCUCAGGGUAAUAACUACAAUCUACUUUAGCAAUAGAGGACAGGAGAUUUGCCGCUGCAGGACUAAAGUUCUUCAUACCCUGAGAGUUACCACAAGAGAGAUGUUAAUAAAUCAAGAAAAAAAAAACAUUUCAUGACACUUUUUAAGAGAAUCUAUAUAGGAGUUUACAUACCAGGCCAUCAGCAUCAAGUAUUGUAGUCGUAGUAGUGACACGUCGCUUUGCAGCGAUGGAACAGGCAGGGAGCUUCUGUUGAAGAGCCUUUUCGAAUUCUUGGACAUGGUACUUCAAGUACCGGUCAAUGGUUGUAACAUCCAUAAGCUUACCGGGGUGAGCUUUUCCUAGUCUCUCGAUAUAGAUAGGUCUACCAUCUUUAUCAACUCCAUGGUACCCUUGAGGAUAGUACAUUGUGACUUGGUCCAACUCAUUGAAAUUGAAAUCCUGUUUUGAGCAAGCAAGAAAGCCAAAAAAAUUUAUUAACUUUCUUUAACAAUAUAGGACCAUAUAAUAUCCCCUUUACUUUACCUGUAUAAUAUGAUCUGCUCCAAAUUCAUUCCUCCAUUUGAGCAUUUCUUCCCAUGCAGUGACGGUUUUGUCGAUGUUGAAAUCCAUUGUUUUCAGAAACCUAGCUAGUGUAAACAAAGAUAUUAGAGACACAGCAUCAAAGACAAAAAACAAAAAAAAUUCACUACUAGUUUACCUCAAAAGCAUAUGAUAAUCAUCAUGCCUUGGAGGCAAAGAAUGUUUGUUAAGAAGCUCUUGGCGCAAUUUAAGAACAAUCUUCUCAUCAUUCUCGUCCCUAACAUCUUCAAUGGAACAGCUUAUGACUUUCUUUGCCGGACUCCCAAUUCUAGAUCGUUCAUCCUCUGAAUCUGAUAACUUGUCUAUUGUAUGUCCACAACCUCCUGCAAUAUUAUAUGUACAUAGUGCAAAAAUGAUGACCAUAAAGUUUCCGAUGAUCAUAUUAUUUUCAUUAAAAGCUCAAAUGAAUACCUGACAUGUUUAGAAUCCGUCAAAAACGUCUUGAUACGCUAUUGAAUUCGGCUGUGCCACCGAACUAAAAAGCAAAGAAACAAAUAAUCCUCCGUCUCCGAGAAAUGUAAAUUCCUCGGAAAGGAGCAACAGAGUCCAAGUCGUAAAAUGAAUCCCUACAAAACACUAAACGGUUCCUUUUUAAUUCAGUGUUAACCCUAAAUAGUCGAACUAUCGACACAUUUUUAUUUUAAAAUUAGUAACAAAAUGUGUAACAUAGAUCAUUGCUGAUACCUCUACCCUUCAAAAUAAGAAGUGAAAAAAUAGACGAAGAAGGAACGGUUAUACCACUAAUUAUUAUAACCAACAGAUCUGACUAAGAAUGGAACAAAAUAAAAACUCACAACACUAUGAGGGACAUUGAAGGGAGACAUAGAGCCAGGGAGAGUUGUGGUGGGCAUGGCCAUAAUGGAGCAGAUGUCGUCGUCGGGACUAGACCACCGAGAUGAAGAUGGAGCAGUGAGGCAAAACCGGAAGGAAGAGUGAUUUAGACAAGGAGGGAGGUAAUGGUAAUGAAGUAGGUUAAUAGAAGAAGAAUGGGACAUAUUGAGGUAUAGAUUGGCUUAGGCUUCAAGAUGAAGAAGAGAGCGACUGAUUGUGAGGGUUUGGUGAAGGAAGACGAGAAGCAGUUUUCGUAGCUGAUGCUCUUAACCGUCCUUGAGAGAGAGUGGUGGGUAGUGGGUUUUUAAUUUUUAAUAAUAAUUUCAUUAUUAUAAAAUAUUUCAUAUUUGGGUUUCUGCUAUGAUUUGUUGUUGUUUGAGUACAAGGGAGAUUAUGAUUUUGGCUCACUAAUCAUUACGUAACAAUUUUCAUAUCUAGUUGUAGGAUUAAUGUGUAAGCAAAAAUAAUAUUUUAAAUGGAUAAUCAUUUAACCUUUACAUACUUUUUUUUUGUUAUAAACAAAAAACAAUCAAUACAUUCUGAGCUCUAUGGUGUCUUUUCUGACAUCCUCCUUUUAUCUUUAGAAUUUGUUGCUGUCUCUUUUCGUUGGAUCCCUCGGGACAAAAACAGAAUCGCAGAUAGCCUAGCAAAGCAAGCUCUGGCCUCAGAGGCUUUUGUAAUGAACUCAAGUUUAAAAUGCAAGUUUGUGUUACAAAAAAAAAAAAAAACAUUCUGAUCUACCUUGUUCUUAAAUAAAUGCUUCUCCACACUGUAUAGUACCAGAGUAAUAAUGAUAAUUUGUAUCAAAUGAUAUCAUCUCAUUUGGAAAAAUGAAAUGCUAUGUGAUGAAAGGAAACAAAAUGUGAACAAAAAAAAAGGAAAACAAAUUACCAUUGUUAUUAACUUUUAAGCCAAGAAAGUAAUGGAAGUUCUUGAAGGUUUUUCAUUGGUUCUUCUAUGUACUUCUACAUUUUUACUUGGUGUAUAAAACAGAAUUGAUAGCAACCCGAUGAUGAUCUACGUUAAAUCUAUAAAACAAAAGAAAGAUGUACAACAUGAAGAAUUACAGGUAAGAAAAUCUUGAACUCUGGUGAUGGAACUACCUAUGAACAGUGUACCGUGUUAUGAUCUUCUGCAAUAAUUGUGUAUUGUUUUUUCUUGUAAAACCUUUGUGGCUUCUCUAUGUUCACUAUUGAUCCGUCCAAUAUAGUUUUGCAUGCAUAGAAGGAGCUUAAAGCUACUUCUUUUGGAAAGUUACCAUACAAAAGAACGCUGCACAGCGGCUCAAGAUGCCGGUUAAUGUCAGGAAGAUGAGGCAACGAGGGAAGUGCUUGAUGUUGUAGCCAUUCUCCAUCAGUGAUCCACAGCGAGUGAUAAGCCAGACUCCUUUAUAUCUGAAAUAUUAUAUGGAAUAGUAAACAACAUGCAGAGAUGUAAUAGGGAGAGAUUAAGUUUGCAAACCUUUGAGCGUUUGAUACCACAAAUGCUUCAAGAGCCCAUCUCGUGUAGCACAACUCUGAGAUUGACUCUACAAUUUUGUUAUCGUUUGUACUGGUGGCUAUUAGAGUCAGAACCACAGGAAGCAACACUGACCACUGCACAAAGACUAAUAAUGUGAAACAAAGCUUUCUAGAUUUGAGUCUUUAGUAUUGGGCACUUACCAGUUGAGCAGGACCAGGUUCAAAAAGUAUGGCCAGGGCAUAAGCUAUGCCAGUUACACAGUAGACAAGACAGAUUAGGACAAUGUAGUUGUCUCCAACGGACGAUCUUGGAUUGUUGAAGAAGUAGAACAUGGAGAGAUAAACGAGAGGCUUGACAAUGGUAUUGAAGUGAUCAACUGUGUCUUUUGCUAGGAAGUAAGCUAGGCUGCUCAUUCCUGCUCGGCUUUCUCUCCAGUAGUGUAGUUUAUCAAGAGAGAAAGAUCUCAAUGCAGUAAUCUUACAUAAGAGAGCUGAAGAGAAAAAAAAAUGAUAACAAGGGUUAGAAAAAAUAAGCAAUGUUUGUGGUCAGAAGAGCUUGUAAAGUGUCUACUUACAGACAGCAAUGACUGUAUAUGUAUACCCCAUGGCACCAAAAGUUUCAUCACUCACUUUAGCAAGUGUUCCUAAGCAGAUACCCGCAAGCAAAAGUAUUAGGUAAUCUACAGCUAGUGUCCUUGCUUCUCGCAGUCUCUGUUUACCUAACCUGCAAUGCAAGGAAACUGGGUUUAAGAAAGGAUUCUAUGUCAACUGAUUGAUAUUAAUUUAGUAUCUGUACCCCUGCGGAAUCGAACCGAACUGAACCAACCCAACCGACAUUUUUCGGUUUUCGAAUCAUUUCCGGUUUUGAAAUCGGUUCUGUUUGAAAAACUUUUGAAAGUGAUUUUCAGUUCGGUUUGGUUCUCGGUUAGUUCGGUUUUCCAAAAAAAAAAACAAAUUAACCAAAUUAUCUGAAUAUAACCGAAUUAACUGAACUGAACUAACCGAAAUAACUGAAGUUAACCAAAUAUACCUGAAUUAGCCAACAUUAUCUGAGGUGUUAAGAAGUUUAAACCGGAAUCUAACCGAAACAAAAUUUGAUUAUUCUUGGUAAAAUUUUGAAAACCAAAAUUAAGCAAAAAACAAACCGAACCGAAUUUUCCGGUAAGAUUGUGCCUGAACAGAAGUAAUCGAAACUGAAAAUACCCGACUCGAAUAAACCGAAAAAAACGAGGUUGCAGGGCUAAGUAUUUGAGGGGUUUACCUUCCUAAGAAGUAUCUGAACUGCUGAUACACACCAGGAACUUGUCUUUGAGACAAGUCACCAGAAUUACUGAAGUUGUUCUGCAAGGUAUCUUUCUUGAUUUCAACAUUUGCCUUGACAUCUUGCCAGAACUCUCCAGCGAAAGAUGUUCCAUCAUCUCCCACAACGCUCCCGUGAGCACUUCCACCAUGAGCAGAGUUCUCAGCAGAAGCCAUCCCUUCAAUGCUUUUGAGCAUGUCCGAAGGAACUGGAUACCCAUUAUGAAGCAUCCAUCUAACCGGAAGCUGCUUAUAGGUAACCCCUGAGCUUGUGCUUGGCUUCAGUAUCCCUUCCAAUAUAUCAAUGUAGUAAUCAGGAGGAUUCACACGCUCAGGGACAACUAUCCCAAGGCUUGAAAAGUAUUCUUCAACUUUCUUGACUGAUCCUUGGUAACAUAUUAAUCCACCUUUUGCCAAAAGUAUUAGAUCAUCAAACAUCCUAAAGAGAGUGUAGCUGAAGAGAAAACAAAAGAUAAAAAUAAGAACAAGAUCUAAUCUUCUAAGUAACAAAUGGGAUGAGUGUAUUAUGUUGAACCUUGGCUGGUGAACAACCAUACAGAUAUUCACUCCUUCAAGAGCUUCACGGCGCAAAGCUCUAAGAAGUAACUGAGAAGAUGAACUGUCAAGACCUGAAGUUGGUUCAUCUAAUAUCAGAAGUGAUGGUUCCAUCACCAUUUCAAGACCAACAUUGACUCUUUUCCUCUGACCUCCAGAGAUUCCUCUCUUUUCCACAGUACCAACCAUAGAGUCUCUGACAUGUUGCAGACCUAGUGACUCUAUGACUCUUUCCACAACUAAAACCUUUUCAGGCUUAGGGAGAUCCGCAGGGAGCCUGUAUAUAUAGUUUCAUAAGCUAUGUCUAAAAGAUGAAUUUCAUCAAUGAAAAUGUGGCUUACCUGCAUCUUGCACUGAACCAGAGAUUCUCCUCCACUGUCAAGUUCCCAUGGACUAUGUCAUCUUGAGGCACAAAGCCAAUGAUUCUCUUGUAAGAUUGAAUUGAUUCAACUUUGCCGUUUACUAGAAUCAUCCCAGUCAUGGUGCAACCUGCUGCUUUGCCUGUCAAAGCUGUUAGGAAAGUGGUCUUCCCGGCUCCUGAAGGACCCAUCACAGCUGAAACACGUCCAGGUGAUAGCUUCCCAGUCACACAUCUCAUGAGAUGUUUGUUUUUACCUUUCAGAGUAAUAGUAAGAUCUUUGAAUGCAACUUCAAUGGUUGGUCUCUUUCUUAUCUCAAUGUCAUUAGCCAUAGAGAUGACUCCAGAGAAUGUCAAGUUCUUGUUCUGCUCCUGCAUAGCCUUCUCCUUUUCAAUCUGUCCAUAAGCAUACCUAAACAUCUGGCUCUGCGUAUGCAGUGACUUGCCUUUCGGAGCAUGUUUUUUAAUGUUUUUAUCACCAAUCUCGAGUUUAAAACCUUCAGUGUCUCCAGGGUUUUGUUCAAUGUCUUGUAACAUCUCAGUUAGUUUGUUCUUAUCCUUCUUCUUUCCCUUUUUGGUUGUGUCUGAGCUUCCUCCUGCCAUUGGUGGUAAAGCAGCAUCUGAUCCAGGCUUUGCUUGGCUUAGACCUCUCAUCAGAUCAGGCUGUUUCAUUGAUUUUCUCCUAGAAAAUGUCCUUGAAAAUGAUUGUUGCAGCUCGGUGGCAUGCUUCUUUGCAAUAUCUUUGGCUGAUUUCCAUUUCUCUUGCGUUUGCGUCUCACGCACGCUUUGUACUGCUUUCUCCCUGGACUUUGCUUGCCUUCUUUCUCUUGUAGCAAGCACUUGAUCAGAGCAGUUGUAUAAGAUUAUGAGCAAGAAACCUAGCCCAGCCUACAUAUAUAUAGACAUAAGCCAAAGACUCAAAACUGUUUGGAAAUAAACUAAGAGGUAAAUGAGGAAGAUCUGUUAUGUAUGGCUCACAAAAAGCAUGAUUCCAUAUGCUGUGAUGUUCUGAUUUGUUGAUCUUGGAUUGCAUGUUGCCAGCUUAAAACAAUCUGCAAAUGCAUCAGAGAAAAGAAACGUUAAGUUUUCCUAUACUUGAAACUUAAAAUCAAUUGGCGAUAAGUGGAUUCAUUCAAGUCCUCAUGUCUCAUCGAAACUCCCGUUGUAAUAGUAACUAAGAGGAUCACUCACUUUUUUCAGCAGUAGAACCUGUCCUGCAGAAAUGUCUGGAGAAAACAGAAGAUUAGUUUUAUCUGAUGAAUCUCAAAGCAAGGUUAUCAAAAUAAUUCUUACCCUCUAGUACAAGGAAGCUUGUCAAUAGUUGAAGGACAAAAAGAUCCAGCUGAGCAGAAAACUUCACUGCUACUAACAAUAUCAGCCCAUAUAUCAGCACCACCACAAGUAUGAUUUGGCUGUCCUGAAGGAAGCUGGUAAUGAUAUCUGCAAACACAACAAUCAUGAUUCUAGUCUUUACAUACAAAACAAAACGUAGAGACAUAAAAGUGAAAGAACAAGACAUACGGGUCGCAUAGUCCUGUUGUUCUGUUCAGCUUAGCUUCUGGACAAUAAGCUCCCAAAGGACAAGCUUCAUAACAUUGGGAGGUAAAAACAACAUUAUAAAAAAAGGAAAAGAUUCUUGAGAGUUUUGAAUGUUCUGUAACUUACGUAUCAUGCAAGUAAUCCCACGAGGGCAGAAGAAACCUGCGCAGCAAGGCGCACAUUGCUGAGUUCUCACAGGAACGUUUUUAUCGUCUUUAAGGUCAACUUUAACGUCUUUGGCAGUACGACAAGCCCAUCCAGGUUCACAUCCAGACAUCCAUGAAGAUAGAUUGCAGUUUUUGUUCGGUUUUAAGUAAUUAGUAGCUCUCUUUGCACCUCCUAAUAAUCCAUUGAAGUAUAUCCUCACUUCUGCAGCUGUACAUAUCCUCUGCAUCAUGUCACCUAUUCCCAUACCAUAAAAAACAUCAACAAAAAUGUAUAUAUUUAAAUUUCUUUAAUUUGUUGUACCAAUGACACAGAGGACAUGUACCUUUUGUGGUUUUACCACAUUUAUUUAAGAAGCCUGGCUUGGAAGAGAAGUUAAACGCUUCAUUAUAAUCUUCUUUUCUGCAACACACAGGAUUUUUUUUUUUCAUUGGUUUGUUAGUUUUUUUUUUUUGACAAGGAAAACAAUAAGGAGAAGAUGUUAACUAACACAUUGGUGAUGCAGAAACCGAGUUCUCGUUUGAUGUCAUCCUCAAAAACUUCUGUGAGAUUGGAUAUUUUGUCGAAGACGAAUUGGUUAUAGAGGCGAUUGGCUGCUGGAUUAUCCAAGCUACUAUCAUCUUGACAUAUUACUCCUCGAUGAAAUAUAAAGACAAGAGAAACGAAGAACGAAACAAAUGUUUCUUGAAAACAUAACUUUCUCCUUCCCAUUCCAGAGUUUUUCUUGAAAUACAGUGAUACAGAUUUGAGAUCAGGACGGAUCAAGGGAACAUUAGAUUAUUGAUCUGUUCUUGAGAUUCGAUAGAGAAUUAGGGUUUGUUUUGUUUAUUUUUUUUCUUUUGAGGGGAAGAUUGUGUUGUUUUCUUGUGAGUCAAGAAAUAUGGUGGAGAGGAAGACAUGGCGAUAAAUGAGGAAGAGGGAGAAAGACAGAGAAUCGUUGGACUUUCUCUAACUCGUGUUUUGGUAAUAUCAAGUUUUAUCACAACUCAAAAUAGCUUUGGAAUGGCUUUGUGUUCAUGGGAACUGAUGCAAUGUUUUUUCUCAACUUUGAUAAUAUUAAAUAAUACCAUAAUCGUCAACAUCUCAGUCUUUUAAUAAUUAAAAAAAAAUUCUUCAGCUAUUACUAUUUUUUAAUUGAUAAGUUCAAACGAAUAUGAUGUGUUUGGUUUCAAAUAAUGAACUUAAUUUUAUAGCCAAAACACUUCUUCAUCUGUUAGAAUAGGAUAGGUCAAGCAAAAAUGUAUCCUUUGAAUAAUAGCCAAAAGAAAAUAUGGUAAUAUUAUUGAAACAAAGUAUGUAAACUUAACAUGUGUUUACUGUGCUUUCACAAUUAAAUAUGGGGUGGUGAGAUUUGUUUCAGAUUCGAUCCUACUUGUUGAGUUUUAACAAUUUCUGCAUUUUUGAAUAAGUGGGUCUUUUAUUCAGUUAUAUCAUUACUCUUAAAGAUAAGUGUUUAUUUAGCUUUACAUUUGUUCACCGACUUAAUAAUCGAUUUAUUUUUUAUGAAAAUAUAUGAAAAUUUUCAAUUGAUUUAUGAAAAAUAAUCGCUUAUGAAAAAGAUGCUAAAUUCACAUUCGUUACGGUUAAAGAUAAGUGUUUAUGAAAAAUUCAAAUGAUUUUGUAUCUAUUUGUUAAAUAAUUUUCUUUUGCAAAAUUCAUUUAAUUUUCUUUUCCCACAAUAACAAAUUUCUUAUAGUUCGUCAACCCAACCUAUAGAUUUAGUUCAGUUUCUUUCUAAAUUUGCUUGGUAUAAAAAUUAAAAACUAAGCUAAUAGGGUCAUCAAACCAUAAAAAUAGGAGUACGUUUUUAAGAUUUCUUUUUUGGUUAAAGUUGCAAAACUCACCGGACCGAGCUCAUUUGAAUGGUGGCUUAACAUCGAACUCAAUGUUUUCUGUUUCCAUUUUUCUCUCUUUUUCACUUUGAAAAUGAACAAAUAAGCAGCCUACUUCUUGAAUACGAAAGUACCUAAAUCAUAUAGAUAACUUUUUCAGAGAAAGCCGUACUUAUCGAAGAACAAUUCUUUCACUUUACUCGGUUGUUCUACUCUCACGACUUUUCUAGCUGGACAAAAACCAUAAAAGCCAAUAAGAAUCACACACCGUACUAAACCCUGUCAAGACUUGUAUUCUUCAUUCAACACUAUCAAAGAAAGAGCGACUCAUCAUAAUCAUAUAAUAACCAGUUAUUGGCUUUAUAGCAUUGCAAGCUCUCAAAAUGUCUCAAUAUAAAGCUCAUGUACACAAACCAACACACGGCUUAAGAUGAUGAUAAAACUAAUAAAGCAACCAAGCAAAACGCCACACUCUGUUUUUUUUUUCAAUCUUAUUUCUCAUAUUCUUAGACAAUGCGCAAAGUAUUGGUGCGGAUUAUUAUUGCCAAUCAUCAUCAUCCCAUUGCAUACUUCUGGGUCCAGGAUCGGGCGGUGCUCUCGUACUUGACUCGGUCUGUCUUGUAGGUGUGAGCUAUUUCUGGAACCAGAGGGUCAUCAGGGUUUGGAUCUGUCAGCAAUGAACAUAUCGACAGAAGAACCUGUGGAAAACCCAACACCAACCUCUUUUAACACUUAAGCAUAUGCAAAUUGAAGAAUCUAUUAGUCUAUCCACGAAAAUAUCUUCAAGCAAGUCGCCAAUGCAUGAUUAUAAAAUUGGAAACCGGAUGUCAUGUCAUCAAUAUAUUGAUUAUAAAAGCCUUAACCAUAAGUAACUCCUAAUAAAAGAGAUGGCACAUAGAGAAUUACUUGAACCAGUACCAAUAUCAUGACUACUUAGACCACGACCCAAAUACAUGCUCAAUCAUUGGUUCAAAUAAUCACAACAGAGGAAGUGGGCAAAGGCGUGAUGGUAACUAACAGACACACGAACAUAAGAGGGUACGGUGGAAAACAGAAUGACGAGAUUAUGGAACUGAAACAAUGUGAUCACCUUGGAUAUGGUAAGUGCAGGGCUCCACUGCUCUUUCAGAAUGUCAAGACAGAUACUGCCGUUACUGUUGACAUUCGGGUGGUAAACCUUGGUGCGGAAAGAAACCUGCAUCAUAAACAACCAUAGAUGAUUGAACACUACUCGCUCUAAGCAAAAGGGUGGGUGAUAAACUAAUUUAGUUGAGCUCCAGGAAUAAACAUAACAAGCAACUACAGGACAUUUUUGGUACCUUUGGUGGCUUGAAGGGGUAAUCUGGUGGGAAGUGAAUGGAAACAAGAAACACACCUCCGGAGAAUGGGCUAUCAGUUGGGCCCAUGAUAGUCGCUUGCCAGUGGAACAUAUCAUCACCCACAGGACCUAAAACAACAUCAUCAAUUUCAUUAUAACCUAAAUAACUCAUACUGUAACUUAUAAAAAAAACACAUUCACUAUCCUAAAACUGAUGCUGAGUUUAAUAAAUUUAGCUACUGAAUCUCUCCAGGUGUGCCUUAGUAAGUAUAAAAGAUCCGAACUUUAGAAUCCAAAAAAAGAAAGCUCAAAGAUUAUAAUAAAAGGUGAAAAACAACAUGAUACUGACCAGCACUGCAUGAGACAGGAGGAUCCCUUUGGAGGUCCCUAAGCUCCUUGUUGAUUCUUUUCGAAGCCAUCUUGAACUGUACUCGCUGCUUCUAGCUACAAAACAAUCCAAGUCUCAUCAAGAUUUAGAAUUUCAAUAAUAUAUAUUACAUUUAUAAAACCACAAACACUACACAACAGAGAUUCAUAUAAACUACUAACGAAAAUAGUAUUUAAAAAAAGAAGACUCAUGCAAGUUAGUUAAUCUGGCUGAUGAUACGCCACCUGAAGAAAUCUAUCGAAAUCAAGUGGAUGAUGCAAUCAGAAUCUAAGUGAAGAUGUUGUUAUUAACUAAAGCCGAUCAGAUAUGCUAUUGAUCAAACAGAGGCAAAUCAUCUAACGAUUCAGGAAUCUUAAACAGAAACUGCGAAUCUGCGGAACAAGUACAUGGAUCGACGCAAAAAGAUUCCGAAAGAAAACAAAUCGAGAGAGGAGAUAAAAAAAGAGAUCUACGAAGAUGAUCGGUGAGCUGGGAAACGAAUGAGAACCCGAUGAUCAGAUCGAAUCGAGAUUUUUGGUUGAGAACUAAAUUGCGACCUUACCUACCUUACGUAGGGUUUUGAUUUGAUCUUCGGAAAAUCUCAAGAGGUUGUUGAUUCGAAGCAUUCUUUUCGCUUUAAAUAGAUUCCUCUUCCGAGCGCUCAAGCUUUGCCACGUAGCGCGAGCUUGAUUCCGUUACGGGCCCAUUAUGAGGCCCAAUCUGUAAAAUAAUUGAGAUACUUCUAUAUGUUCGAAUUGUGCAAUUAUUUAGGUGGGUUGCCUUUAAGCAGUAGUGUUUAUCAUCAUCAUUCACAUUCAUCCUUUGGAUACCAUUUGAGGGUUCACAGUAUAUAAUAUCUUAUUAGUUAUACUAACUUUUAAGAAUGUUCCAGAUAUCUUAAUAAAUUGACUUUUGAGUUCUGAAUAACUUUGGUAUACUGAAAGAAGCUAUCUUGUAUUACAAGAAACUGAUUUUGGUGUGUUUAUCAAUUAUCAGUUAGCUCCUAUAGUUUGUUGGUAAUGAUCUUUAAAGAAAACCAACGGUUCAUCACUAAACUGGAUGAUUAAUUUGAUUGAUCGACCGAUUUACUGAUCCCAUUUAUAACCGAUUGUUGACUAAUCAACCAACUAAUGGACUAGUCUAUCUUUUUUUUUUUUUAUGAAAAUAGAGCUGAUAUGCAACAUAAAACAUGUCGAUCUCCGUAAUAAAAGGUGAAAAAUACUCGAGAACAGAACAUGAUAAUGAAACAAACUUCACUUUCACGUUUAUGUAUCCCAAAACAUAUUAUCAUUACCAGACAGGCAGACACAUACUAUCAUGAUCUUAUGUUUUUUUCUUUUUCUAAAAUAAAAAAUUCCCAUGGAAACUGGAACUAAACUUCUCAUAUAUAGAGUAAAAACAACAAAAUAAGUUGGCAAAAAACAUCAAAAUAAACUUAAAAAACAAAGCCCAGAGACUCGGAGAGAGAGAGAGAGAGACUCAUCAUGCCUUAUGUUCCUUGAAACGUUGUCAUCUGAUCUCUCUCCAGGUCAAUGAUAAAAUAGACAAAAAAAAAACACAUUCAUAAUCAUAUAUACAGCAACUCUAUUCCCGGAGAAGAGGAUAGAGGUUUGGCCUUUCUGCGUCGAACUGGGAUCGGUUUCAUAUUCCUUGAGAUGUGGGACAGAUCACAACAACAAAACUGUGUUUUGAGGCAUUUGUUGUCUACACUUCUCUUGUUUUGGCUCUCUUCAUACCGAGGCUAUUGUAAGGAGAAACAGAACCGGACAUUGGAGAUCCUUCUUCACGAAGAGCUCCAUUGAGCAAUGCUAGCUCUCUCAGCUGCUGUUUCUUGUAAAAAUCAUGUGUUUCCUCCUGAAAAUAUAAACCAAAGUGUUUUAUAAAAACGAUACUAUCAUUAGCCGGUCUGAAACUAAAAGGGGAAAGAGAUGAGAAAACAAACCAUAGGAGUAAGGAGUUCAUCUAGUACUUCACGAGCUUGCAUGAGACGUGCAUCGACUAUUUCAAUCGGUAACUCAGCUUCGACUAAGAUAUGAAGUGGCUCACUCAAGUGCUCAAAUCCAGGCUUUCCUCUCAUCAUUUCCUCCUACAAGAAGAAAGAUAUCAACUUACUGAACAGUGAACAGAACAUUGGAACAUGGAUACAAAUGAAGUUGUGAAGGAAAAUAACAAACACCUUAUAUUGAUCUUUGAUACUGCCUCUUCCUCUUAUAAGAAAACGGCAACCAGUACUUGCUUCAACUCUCUUCAGGGAGUUUCCUCUAGGUCCCAGGAGGCGACCAACGAAGUUGAACUGUCAUAACCAAACAUGUAGAGUUAUAUUCCACCAAACAAUAUAUAUAUUUAAGUAUAUUCUGAGUGUAGACAUGAGUGUUCAUACAUUUGGAUAAUCGUCAACUGGAAUAUCGAUCCUGAUUGUUCGCUUGGCGAUCAGACCAGACGGACUACCAGGUGAGUUAUGCCAGUUUGGUCCGGGAGACGAUGGAACAGAUCUCUGCAUAUGAUCAACCAACACUAUUUAGAAGCCACAUCAACCUUAAAUCAUAAGCACAUAUUAAUCAACAUGUAGUAGCAACAUCAAUAUAAAAAACAAUAUCUUAGCUUCCUCUCCAUAGAAAGAAGAGUCAAUAUAACCUGUAGCUGCUAUAUCCUAAAUAAAAUGUAUAGAGAGUAAUCACAUGUAAAUGAAAUUAUUAUAGUAAACACUUCUGACUAUCUGUUACGGCUCACGAGUAUAAUGGAGUUUUUAGUUAGUGUUAACCUAAGCAUAUACAGUGUUAGCCCUGUCACAUUAUAAACUAGGACUAAAAGCAGAGUCAAACAUGUUAUGUCAGCAAAACUUAAGUCAAUAAAACAAACUUGUAUCGAAUUAGAUGGAAAAAGGAGUUAUUAUGUUAAUGGUUAGUAGUCAUACUUCUGAUGGAAACUGUGAGGUCCAUCCGCUCAUGUCAGCUCUUGCAUUCUGAUAUAUCCCUCCAGGGUUAGUGUGGUCAAGCCCACUCUGACUUAAAACUGUGGCAUUCUCCAACAGUGUGGUUACACGCAAAAUCUCUGUUCCAAAAAAUGUCAAUUUCCAAGAGCAAGACGCAACAGUUAGAGAUUAGUCAACAAAUAAGUCAGCAGUACACCAAUGAAUGGGGGAUACAUCACAGUUAAUUGAGUUAGCAAAGAACAAUAUUUUUUCUUCACUCUAGUUAAAAAGAAUGACGGAAGUCACUCUAGUCAAAUGUUAACAUGUUUUAAAUCUAAAUUGUAGUCUCUCUGUGAUUAGUAAAAUAUUUACAGUCUAGGAUUAUUGAAACAUUUUGUUAUAUAGUUUCCAACCGCUAACGAUAAUAGCAGCAGGAGUUAAGUGUUUAUCAAUAGUAAGAGAGCUUCAUAGUUAUAAAGUAAGCAAUGACAAUGUAAGAAACAGAAAUGCUCACCCUGGUUCAGUAGGCGACAUACAUGUGGAAGCACAGGCAAGAAUGGAGUAAGAUUACGACGCUCUGCAAGUAACUCUGAAAGAUAGCUGCCAAAACAGAACAUAUCCAAAUCAGUCAAGCCUCAAAGACAAAUCAAACUUAAGGGAAGAUCCACUUUAAAAAAGAUCAUCAUGAUCAAGAAACCAAAUACACUUAUUAAAUCUGAGAUUCAAGUUUACACUCUUUCAGUGAAGUGGAUCUAGUCAUUCUUCUUACAAAAAAAAACUGUGACUUUAACUGUUUCAAUAAGUCAAAGAACAUAAAUCAACAGUAAGAAUAGUCAAUGAUCUAUAAAUCUAUCAUACCACCUGAUGCGUACACGACACUAACAUAAAAAAAAAGUCAGAUUUGAGAUUACUAAUGAGAUCUACGGAUUAACAUCGGCAAAACAAAGAUUAAACAAUAAGUCAUCAGAUUCAUCAGCCACAAUAAGAUUCACAACGUAAAGAAGAAACACACAAACAAAAGAAGAAGUGAGAUUCAAUUACUUCUCCUGCUCAACGAAUACAGAAGACUGUGAUCGGAUCCCACCGGAGUAGUUAGGCGACUGAGGAACAGAAGGAGGAACCGCGAGAGACGACGAAUACGGCAUAAACCUCCCUCCGCCGCCACCGCCACCGCCUCCACCACCACUGAGCGAGGUCAUCAUCAUCAUCUCGAAGGCAAUAACGUUUACAAGGGAUCAGAGCAGAGCUGUCGGAGAUCAGAAGAUGAGGCGGCGGAGUUAGAAAGAUGAGAAGAAGAAGAGAUGUUGUGUCUGUAACGUCGUCGGUGGUCGUUUUAUAUAGAGACAGUGUUGGUACUGUUGAAAUGAUUACUUGCUUAGCUGUUUUUUCACCCUUUUUAAAAAAAAAUCACGUCACUUGCGCAAAUUUUACCGCUCUGGUUAGUUUCUUUCAGAAGACUCUUUAUCAUCUAGAAGGCUUCAAUCCGGUUUACUAAAAUUCGGUUACCGAAUCACUAAAACGCUGCGUUUAAGAAAGCGAAGCCCUGAUCGAUUGUGAAUCUUAAAAAGUUUCUGUCCCUUGUGUACUACUAAAACGCUGCGUUUAAGUUUGUGUUAGCAGUACCAGUUGGGACUGUAUCUAGUUGGAAUGUUACAGUAUCACUAUUUGUGUGGAAAGUUCGUCUUUCUGUUUUGACGUGAAUAUUAGGCAUGAACGUUCGGGUCUUCGGGUCGGAUUUGGAUCAGACCGUUACGGAUCCGGAUCCUUCGGACUUAAUAGUUUAGGAUCCGAUAGGUUAAUUUGAUAUUCUCGUUCCGAGUCUUUUCGAGUCUGGAUCGGAUCGAAUCUUAGAUAGUUAGAUUUAAUAAAGUAAAUAGAAUUUAUCGAUUCGGAUUCGGUUCGGUUACAGAUCGAGUUCGGUUCGGGUCCAGUCCAAAAAAUAUCUAAAACACAUAAAAAAUAUUAAUACUCGAAAAAUAUGAAAAAUUCUAUAUAAAAUCUGAUCCAAGGAAAAAAUAUCCAAAAAUUUAUCUGAUUAUCCUAAUUAUGUUUUUGAAAAUCUAAAUUUUUAUCCAAUACCCAAAACCAUAUUCAAAAACAAAAAUCUGAAACAAAAAUCAUAGUAAAAAUAUUAUUUGUUUUAAAACAAAAAGUAGUAAAUUAUAAAGAAGAAGAAAAUAACACAUUGACCAAAAAGAAGUAAAUGACUUACACCCCAAGAUUAUUGGGCCCAACUUGUUUGAAACUAACAAGUUAAGCAUAAUGGAUCUCAGAAGGAUCUAGAAACCCUAUAACGUUUGUGUAUAUAUAUACGUAACUUCUCUCUUCACUACUUCGCAUCUGCUCUCUCUCUAUUAUUGUACCUCCUUGAUAAACCCUAGAUCUCCCCGAUAAGCAGCAACAAUGGCAGACGCCGAGACUUUCGCUUUCCAGGCGGAGAUCAACCAGUUGCUCUCGCUCAUCAUCAACACCUUCUACAGCAACAAGGAGAUCUUCCUUCGUGAGCUCAUCAGCAACUCCUCCGAUGUAAGUCUCUUUUGCUUUCUCCUGCCUCGAUCUGUAGAUUAGGUUUGAUUACUGUUGUUGUUGUAUCCGAUCUGAAAUAGGGAACUCUUAGCUAUACUGUUGCUAGCGAUUUGAGUUGAAUUGAUUUUGGAUUGAUUAUUGCGAGAUAUAUUGAAUUUUGUGUACGUUCUAUGCGUAAUGUAUACGUUGUUUGCGUUUGUUACUUAAUGGUUCUGAUCUGAUUGUGGUUAAACAGGCUUUGGACAAGAUCAGAUUCGAGUCGUUGACUGAUAAGAGCAAGCUUGAUGGCCAGCCAGAGCUAUUCAUUCACAUCAUUCCAGACAAGGCUAACAACACCUUGACCAUUAUCGAUAGCGGUAUCGGUAUGACCAAGGCUGAUUUGGUCAACAACCUUGGAACCAUUGCGAGGUCUGGCACCAAGGAGUUCAUGGAAGCUUUGGCUGCUGGUGCUGAUGUUAGCAUGAUUGGGCAGUUUGGUGUCGGUUUCUACUCUGCUUACCUUGUUGCUGACAAGGUUAUCGUCACCACCAAGCACAAUGACGACGAGCAGUACGUGUGGGAGUCUCAGGCUGGUGGGUCUUUCACUGUAACCAGAGACACCUCUGGAGAGAGUCUUGGUAGGGGUACUAAGAUGGUCCUUCACCUCAAGGAGGACCAGUUGGAGUACCUCGAGGAGAGGAGGCUUAAGGAUUUGGUCAAGAAGCACUCUGAGUUCAUCAGCUACCCAAUCUCCCUGUGGAUUGAGAAGACCAUUGAGAAGGAGAUUAGUGAUGACGAGGACGAGGAAGAGAAGGACGAGGAAGGAAAGGUUGAGGAGGUCGAUGAGGAGAAAGAAAAGGAGGAGAAGAAAAAGAAGAAGAUUAAGGAGGUUUCUCACGAGUGGGACUUGGUGAACAAGCAGAAGCCUAUCUGGAUGAGGAAGCCCGAGGAGAUCAACAAGGAGGAGUACGCUGCCUUCUACAAGAGUCUCAGCAACGAUUGGGAAGAGCACUUGGCCGUGAAGCACUUCUCUGUUGAAGGACAGCUCGAGUUCAAGGCUGUUCUCUUUGUUCCCAAGAGAGCUCCUUUUGAUCUUUUUGACACCAAGAAGAAGCCCAACAACAUCAAGCUCUACGUCCGUCGUGUCUUCAUCAUGGACAACUGCGAGGACAUCAUUCCCGAGUACCUUGGCUUUGUGAAGGGUAUUGUCGACUCCGAAGAUCUCCCCCUCAACAUCUCGAGAGAGACGUUGCAGCAGAACAAGAUCCUUAAGGUCAUCCGCAAGAACCUCGUGAAGAAGUGCAUGGAGCUCUUCUUUGAGAUUGCUGAGAACAAGGAGGACUACAACAAGUUCUACGAAGCUUUCUCUAAGAAUUUGAAGCUCGGUAUCCACGAGGACUCCCAGAACAGAACCAAGAUCGCUGAGUUGCUCCGUUACCACUCGACCAAGAGCGGUGAUGAGUUGACCAGCCUCAAGGAUUACGUGACAAGGAUGAAGGAAGGUCAGGAGGAUAUCUUCUACAUCACCGGUGAGAGCAAGAAGGCUGUGGAGAAUUCUCCAUUCCUUGAGAGGCUCAAGAAGAAAGGGUAUGAAGUCCUUUACAUGGUGGAUGCCAUCGAUGAAUAUGCCAUUGGCCAGCUCAAGGAAUUCGAGGGAAAGAAGCUCGUCUCUGCAACCAAGGAAGGUCUGAAACUGGAAGAGUCAGAAGACGAGAAGAAGAAAAAGGAAGAGCUAAAGGAGAAGUUUGAAGGACUCUGCAAAGUGAUUAAGGACGUCCUUGGAGACAAAGUCGAGAAGGUCAUUGUCUCUGACCGUGUUGUGGACUCACCAUGCUGUCUGGUAACAGGGGAAUACGGCUGGACUGCAAACAUGGAGAGGAUCAUGAAAGCGCAGGCCUUGAGAGACAGCAGCAUGGGAGGUUACAUGUCUUCCAAGAAGACGAUGGAGAUCAACCCAGAGAAUGCGAUCAUGGACGAGCUAAGGAAGAGAGCCGAAGCUGACAAGAAUGACAAGUCUGUGAAGGAUCUUGUUCUUCUCCUCUUUGAGACUGCUCUUCUCACUUCAGGUUUCAGCUUAGACGAGCCCAACACCUUCGGAAGCAGAAUCCACAGGAUGUUGAAGCUGGGAUUGAGCAUUGAUGAUGAUGAUGCCGUUGAAGCCGAUGCUGAGAUGCCACCGCUUGAGGAUGAUGCCGAUGCUGAAGGCAGCAAGAUGGAGGAGGUCGACUAAAAGCCUGCCCUGUUGCUGCAGUGAACGAUUUUUCUCUACUUAUCUGCUCUUUCUAUGGCUAAAACUAUUAUUUUGGUGUUUUUUCUUCUUUUCUCAAGUACUAUUAGUGGUGUAGUUUUUUUCUCUGAACUAUAACUAUUGCUGUUAAGGGACUUCGUUUCUUCCAAAUCCAGAAAUUGUUAUUGCACGGUUGAUGAGUAUCCUACUGAUAUAUUUUGUAUCUUGAACUUUGCUUAAGACAACAUAGUUAAAGUAUGUUUAAGUACCUGGACUGAAGAGUGGAAAAAAUGUAGUUGCUUGUGUUCUGUCGUUUGGAGUAUUACUCUUUUCUUAAGAGAACAUUAGUCUUCUAUGAUUUGACAGACAAGUUUGAAGACUCAUUAAAAAAACUUACAGAUCUCUUUUUGUCGCAACAGUUUCAAGAUUCUUUGCAUCGCUGCUCUCUACAUAGUAGAUUCACUGGCCAUUGUUAUAGUUCUGAGUGAGGUUUUUUGGGGGAAAACACACAGGUUGAAGCAAACCACUUGGGUAAAAGAUCUAUCAAUUUCAAAAGUUUAUAUAUCAUAUGGACCAGUUGUAUCUACAAAUAGGCCUGGUCAAGAUGUAAAUCGAAAAGAAUUUUGCCUCGCAACAAAGCUCAGCAAGAGAAAAAUAAAUGAGUUCAGAGAAACAAAUUAACUUUCACAAGAAAGCUCAACGAGACAAAUGAACAAAUAAAUGAGUUCAGAGAAAGUCUUUGUAGAUUGCUCUUUUUAUCGCUCUUUUUAUCUUCAGGUAUCUUCAACCUGAGAAUGGAACACAAAGCUUGGAAACGUAGUCGUGAUAUCCCUGCAAGCACAGACACAACAUGGUCACCACCUUUAUUGAGAAGAAACCAGAGAAGCAAUUCUGUUGUAUAGAUUUCAAUAAGUCCCGGUUACAAAAACAUAAACUCACUUGAGAUAUUGAAGAGUCAUGUUCUUGAGAAGGCUAGGAUGUCUAAGAACAAGGCUUCUCCACUCUUCCUUAUCAAUCUUUCCAUCGUGUUUCGUGUCUGCUUCUUCAAACGUCUAAAACAAAUCAAAACUCAGGGAAAGUUACUCUCAACUAAAGCUAUUGUGCGAAGAUGAGAAAAGCAACUUACCUUGUCAAUUAUAUCCUCAAUGACAGUAUCCUUCAGGUUCAUUCCAGAUUCAGCAAGCGUAGCCACAACCAUUUGUUUCACCUGGACAAAAACAGCGGUGAGGAUGAUGAUAAAGUGCAGUUUAAUAUGAAACCUAUUUGAAUAUACCUCUUGCCGUUCUAUGAAACCUUGCUGUUUAAGAUCAUAUAGCUGAAAUGAAACUGCAACAACAACAUAUAUAUAUAAACCAUGAAUCGGAAACAAUAUUAGGACAUUAUUUUUUCUAAGCUAUAAGGGACUUACAUUGGAUUUUGUCAUCUAUAGGUGCAUUGGGAUGGAAUACAGAGAGAGCUCGAGCAAACUCCUCAAACCCAAGUAUUCCAUUGUGCUUUGUGUCAAACAAAUCAAAAACCUACAAACCAAAUGACAUAUGCUUCUUAAGACUUGAUCUUUUGGGGGGGAAAAAAACACUUGUAGUAAAGAAAGAAAUAUUACUCGAUCAGCAAACAAGCUCUCUUUCUUAUUUGUCUUAAACAAUGCCAACUGAAACUCCUCCUGAACCAAAGUUUUAACAAGAGAUGAGUAAACUAGACUGAGAUGGUGUCAACAAAUAAUGAAUUGACCAAAAAGAUUACACAAGCUCUUACCUUGUUUAUAAGCCCAUCAUCAAUCACAGCACUGCUGAUUUUUUUAAACAGCUCAUAAAGAGCUUCUAUCUCACUGACACUAACUGCACCACAAACCAAGUUCCAUUUAUUUUUUUAUUUUUUUCAAACCAAGUUCCAUACAAUCAUAUAAACCGAACUAAAUUAAAAAAAAAGGAAUAGAGAAGCUGAUAGGCAAUACAAACUGUGUCUCUCGAAAGCAAUUCAGGGUCACCAAGUCCGCCACCAGAUUGUUUAUACAAAUCGAGAUCAAAACACCCUAAAACAGAGGUGCAUAAAUGCUUAACACCGUCUAUGCACUGCGUCAUGAUUGAUAACUUAUGCAAAUCAUAACUCUCCAUGCCUGCAAAAUAAAACAAAACAGGGAGAAGAAGUAAAGCCUAAGUGAAAACUCUACAGAAACAAAACAUAUGAACAAAUAUAAAAACCCACCUUAUAAGUUUUAACCUUUGGUCUGAGAAAAGGCAGAGCGCUCUGCGAUGAUCUGUAAUUGUAAAAGCAGAUGAGAUGUAAAUUGUAAUCACUUAAUAAAUCUUUUGGUCUGACAGAGUAGACAUAAGAUUGAAUGUAACACACACAACUUGAAAAAAAGUUAAAGAUAGGAUCAGACAAAGAUUCAUAAUAACAAAAUAAAGGCAACAAAACAUUGCUUACACACUAUAAACUGAAGUCAUUGUCAUUAUUACCAGAUGUUACUUAUGUCCACAUAAACACAAACGAAGGCUUGAAUGAUAUCAUUGGCAAAUUAUUUAAAAAGAUAAACGAGAAUAACGAUGCAAAAGCCUAAAAAUGUUUAAUUCACAUAACAAACCAAAUUUAUAUAUCUAAUUUUCUUAAACAUUAGAAUAAUGGAACAUUGCUCUCUAAAUCACUCCGAUUCAACAUUACAGUAAAACGGAUUCGUGAUGGAAUCACACGUUAUGCAACUCUUAUACUAUUCAGUAGUUGUGAACUGAAUUGGUUUUACAGAUUAACAGAAAUCAACCGAAUAAAAAGUUACCGUUUUUCGAUGCUUCUGAUUGUAUUCCUCAAUCUCAAGGCGGCUCUUUGGCGGUUGGAAGGUGGUGGAGAUUGGUAGUAAGGUGAGAGCCGAUUCUGGUGUAAGCAGAAUGGUUUAGAAGAACAAAUAUAUUUUACAAAACCUGAGAAAAUCUUUUAAACUAUUUAUGUAAAUAAAAUAAAGAAAUAAUCUUUUUAGCAUUAACUAACUUUGGUCUACAACUUUUUAAAUCAAUUAAUCUUAUAUAUUAAAACAGAAGUCACAACCUUAAUUCAUGUGUGAUUUUUUUAAAAAUGGACCUAAUGGACCUAUUCAUAGAAAUUCAUACUAUAUUUUAAUUCAGACUAAUAAUAAAUAUAAUUUUUAAAAUAUUUUAAUCAUAGUAUCUUUUGAUAUUUUUCAUUUUAAAUAUAAAUAUAUUUAUUUUAAAAUUCUAACAAAUCUGUUUAAAAAGAUUUUUACAAGAUCUUCAUUUUUGAAAUUAUAUUUAAAUAUUUUCACUAAUUUCGAAAUUAGUUUAAAAUAUUAUUAUACAUUAAUAUAUUCAGUUAUAUAAAAUGAAAAAUAAAAAAAAUCUAUAAUAUUUUAGUUAUUAUAUAAUCAUAAUCAAUCAUAUUAAAUUAAAAUUAUUAUCUUGAGCUAAAUAUAAUAAAAUUGUAUUAAACUUAUAUAUUUAUAUAUUUUAUUUUCGUAAUUAUAAAAUAUUUAUGUUCAAAAAUAAAAUCUAAUAUGUUGGUAAGAUGGGUUAACAUUAUCAAAUUAUAUAAUACAUGUAUAAAAAUUAACAUGUAUUUAUUUAAAGUUAAUAAUAUAAAAUCUUUGUAACUACAUUAAUUAUAAUAUAUUUUCAUUUUAAAUAUAAUAUAUAUUUAUAUAUUAUAUUUUAAAAAUUCUAAUAAAUCUGUGUAAUAUUUUUUUUUGUCACGAAUAAAUCUGUGUAAUAUUUAAACAAUAACUUAAUGUAUUUUAAGUUAUUGUUUAGAAAUGAAAAUAAAUAAAUUAUAUCCUAUUUUAUCUACUUUUAUAGUCAUGAUCAUGUUAAAAUAUAAUUAUUAUACUAAAAUAAAUAUGAUAAAAUUAUAUUCAAUUGAUAAAUUUAUAAAUUUUAUUUUCAUAAAUAUAAACUAUUUAUUUAAAAUAUAAUAUGAUGAUAGAACGACUUAAAAUUAACAAACUAUAUAAUACAUGUCUAAAAAUUAACAUAUCUUACACUUUUAUAUAUACAAUAAUAAAUUAUCUAAAAUAAAUAAGCAUAAAAAUAUUGGUAAAAAGAAAUCCAGUUUUGAAAUACGGGUCAGAAUUUAGCAUAAAUUAAAUACAAAAUAUUUUUUAAAUAUAUUUUCUCAUGAAUCCCCUAUAUUAUUUUGCUUAAUAAUUAAAUGCAAAUACAAUAAAACAAAUAUAUAAUAGGAAGUGGUAAAUACAUAAGGUUUAAAUAAUUAAUUAAUUAUAACAUGUAAAUUAUAAAAUUAUUGUAUUUGAAAUAGUUAUAUAAAUAUUUAACUAUAUAAUUAUCAUUAAAAAUAUAUACUACUUAUGUUCUAAAACAAUAAUUUAUGUAUAGAAAAAUGAAAACAAACACCUGUGCGGUUGCACGGGUCAAAAUCUAGUUAUGUUGUUGAUACAGCUGUUAAGCCACGAAUGAGUGAAGCUCCAACAACUACUUGUCACACGUCGCAUUUUGUGGAGCCUGUGUUAAAUAAUGCGCUGUAUUUAAUUAUACGACCACGUUUUACUCGGGACUUAAUUUGCACUUUAUUACGGAACCGUUUAAUGUUUGGUUUGGUUUUGUUUUAUUUCCGGUUUACGUUAUAGACGAUCUGAAUUGAACCUGAACCACCGGUCUCAUCAGUUGUCUUUUAACGUUUUCAUUUCACAAUACAUCAAAAUCGCAGCAAUAAUCAACAUUUAAUGUAUAUACGGGUGUGUUAAAAAAAAAAAGUAUAUACGGGUUGUAAGGAUAUAUAUAUGGAGAACCUUUUUAAAAUAUUCAACUCGAUUCAGAAAAUGAAUAUUUCGUGUGUUUUGAGGCAUUUUGAUGAUUGUGUAAAUGGAAUUUAAUUGAUUAAGCGUAUGAUUGUACAAUAAAUCAAUUUUAGAAUGUAAAAUCUCUGACGAACUACAUAAAGUUCGUCUUCGAUCGGUUUAGGCCGAAUUCAAACUGUUUGGUAUACAUUUUCAACACAAAACCGACACUUAUUAUACCGAAUAGGGGCGAAUACAUACGAUUAAAAGCGGUUUACUAAGCCUUGAUAGAGUCACUAAACCAGCUCGACUUGGACGACAAAAGCACAGCGAGGUUCGACCCUAUAGACCCGGUACGUGUCAGGGAAUCAACACGAUGGUGCCUGCACCUGAAAGAGCCGGCGUGUGUCGUCGGAGUCCCAACGGCGUAAACUCGGUGAGUUUUGGUCUAGGUUCUGCUUCUUGAUCUGUUCGACGGGAGAGCCUCCGGAAGGUUGGGAUUUGAUCUUGCCUAAAUUUAUGGAAUACUUCUCCUCCGCCAUAUAUUUUCUGACAACUAGAGCUUAAGGGUUUUCUCUCGCCGUGGUUUUGAUGAAAAAUAAGAACGAUUCGUACUGUUUUUGUUGUUUCAUAGACAUGUCUGUGGGUAUUAUAUGGGGACUUAAGAGACAAGGCAACUAAAUUAGUCGUUGUAAGGUUGUUGACAAACUGCAUUUUUAAGAUUCGGGUGGUUUAGUAUUCUAGAAAAGAAUAAAUAAGAAUUAGAGGGAAAUAUUUGACUUAGUGGUUAUAUUCUUCUUUUUCUAGUUACACAUUUACACAUUUGUGAUCGUCAAAUAGUUAGAGAAAUACAUGGAUAAAACCAAAAUAUAAUUACUGAAAAUAUAUUGGAAACAAAUUGUGUCUAAGCGCCAAACAAAACCCUAAAACUAUUUAAUUAAUUUGGCGAUGUUGUAAGUUGUAACUAAACAAAAAAACAUCCAAAAAUGUUAGUCUCCUAUUUGUAGUAUGGGGAUGACCUUGAAUUCAAAUCUAAAUUAAAGCACCUUAUUGUUGAAGUCAAAGUCAUUAAGAUGCCUUGUGAACCGAAGUUUAUGUCCAACAUGAAAAUCAGGUAUUCUAACUGUCGUACACCAGUUGAACGUAUAUAUAUACCAUGAAUUUGGUAACUACAAAAUUAGUUUGGAAGCUUAUGUAGUUACCUCGUUUAGGUUAAAUCACUGAGGGGUUAAAUAUGCUUUUAUUAGCAAAUAGAACUGAAAAUACAAGGCAUGAUGAGAAAUAACCAUAUGAAGUGUAAACACUAUUACUAUUACUUAUCAAAAAAAAAGAGUGUAAACACUAUAUCAAGAUUUUUAUAAAUGUUGUGGCAUUGUGAUUUGUAUCUCCUCACAAUGUACUUUACGGUUACUGGUGAGCUCUUUCUGUACAAAACUUUUGACACUCACUCACACAAGUAACCUACUUGCUUCAAACCAAAAAUAAAAAUAAAAACCUUUGAGAGAAGAAACCAAACAAACCAAAAACUAUAGAACUAAAAUCAGAGUCUCUUAUGAGCUCUUGUCUGCUUUAGGGUUUUGUGCUUUUUCAUCCGGAAAGAUCUUGUUUGCAGAGAGGACAACAAGAGAUGAUACGAAGCCACUGAUCUACACACUUAAGGUGAAACUUAUGUGAACAUGGAAGCUUCCUUACUUCUUCCUUGUCUUUAUACUUUGCCAAACAUAUACAACACUCCUGCAUAUCAAGAAUAAAGAAAAUCAAAACCUACUUUUUUCUAUCAUAUAUCUAUCUAAGAUUAAUAAUAUACAACAUUUGAUGUCAGAAUACUUAGUGGAUCAGACAGAGUAAUUACAAAUGAAACCAGUUCCGGUAUAGCAUCAUUGAAUAUCUGAUUGAUUAACCAUAUAUUCAAUUUUUGCUAAAACUCUGUCUUAAGAAAAACCCUUAUGGGUCUGCUUUGAUAUGUGAGUCAAAUGAUUAUAACUUACAGGAUCAUCAGUUUUAGGAGCUGAAUCAGAAGCAUUGUCGUCGGCUCGUUUGUGUUUCCAGCUAGGGAGACUAGAGAUUUGGUCAUCAGAUGCACCUCUGUCUGAAGAUCCCAUGUUCAUGUUGUAUCCAAGGAGACUACUAAUGAGAGGCACAAGGCAACAGAGGAAUAGGAAGAGAAGAAAGGGAAAAGAGUAGCAGAGAGCGUUCCAAGAAAGAAGAGAGACGCAGAGAACGUGAAGCUUUGGAGCAUGGUUGAAAGAACCGAAUCUAGAAUCAAACACCCAAACAUUCCCAACCACAAACCAAAUCGCAAAGAACAGCUCUAGAGACGUUCUGCACUUGUUCAUCAAAUGAGAGCUCCUGAAAUUUAAAACAUAUACGAUAUUAAUACAACUUCAGGAUCUUGCAAAGGUUAUAGUAUUCAAAAUCAAGAAAAUAUAAGUUACCUAGUUUCAUCUCUGCCUCUGUGUUGCUGCUCAAUAUCGACAAACCAGUUUCCUUGGUUUAGUUGGCGAAACCGACCAUAUAAUAGCAUAAGACUGAGGAGACAUCCCACAUCAUAACCUGUGAUCCAUAACCUCACUGGCCAAACAGGUCUCUCUUCUUUUGAGAUAGCUAGUGUGAGUGUAAUCACUGUAAGCUGAACAAGCAGGGCUAUAAGCUCAGACAUCAUCCACGUGCUGGAGUUAAAAGGGUUGGAGCCGAGAUCUGAUCUUGAUCCGUUUUGAUAGUGAAACACUCUUCUCAAGAAGAUAAACCAUCUAGCUCUAGAUACCCUCAUAGCAAACCUUAAGUAGAAGGACCUCUCUUGAACAGAGGCAGGCGCAUGAGUGUUGUCACUUCGUGGUGGUGUGGUACUCAAUGAAGAAGAUGAUGAAAUAGUUAUGGAGACAAUAUUGGAAGAUGAUUCAUCCAUUGGAAGUUUUCCAAAGCGUUCAAUAUAUAUUUAAACCUUCAAAGAAAAAAAGAUUGAACAUUAAAAAAAAAAAAAAAAAACUUCUGAAAGUUUAUAAGUUGUGAACACACACAUGAAACUUGGAAGUAUAUAAACGAAAAGAUCAUGGAAAAAAAACACAAGAAAAAACACAGAAACUAAAGAAAAGGAAUCAUGAAAUUUACAUGACCUAACAAUAAUAAAAACACAUGAAAAAUCUAUAUACCUUAUUUGCAACCACCAAAAAGGCAAAACUCAGCUCCGUACACGAACUCCACGACUUCCCGAAAAGGAGGAAUCUAUUUCACAAAAGGAAAGUACCUCUAGUAGCCUAAGCUUUGAGUAUAGAGAUAAGCUUUUGUCUGAAAUGAAAUAGGUUUUAUAGGGAUAACUUGUUUCUAAUAUAGGAGAAAAGAUUGAGAAGACAGGAACAAGAGAAAAAGAUGAUUACAAAGAAAGAUUAGGAAGGUGUUGUGUUUAUGUCAGGGAAGGUGAAGUUGGGCGAGAGAUGGCGACCAAGAAUCACACCAUAACAAAAGGAUUGUUUAUAUAUUUUAUAAGAGACAAACUCUUUGAAGUUUGUGUUUUGUUUUGUUUGCUUACGUUUGAAGAGAAACAAAGAAAGGGAGAGGAAGAGAACCGUUGGCCUAAUCUAACACCUGAGGUUUUGUUUAUGAAGAAAUGUUUAGAUCGCAACUGCUUAUUCCAACCGCCAAUGCAGACCUUCUCUCUCUACUCUGUUUCUCUCUCUCUAGGAUUGAGAGGAAAGGGAAAGAUAUUUUAUUUGAUUUCUUUUUGUUUUGUUUUUAUUUGUAGAAUUUUCGUUUUGGAAAAGAAAUGGAUAAGAAUUAAGAAUAUCUAGAUGAAGUCAUCAAUUCAAAAUUCACCGUAUGACAAAUCUUUUUGUUAUAACAGAACAAUCUUUCUCGCUUUUUAUUAUGUUGAUCAUUUCCCAACUAUAGUGAUAUUAAAUUUUAAUAAAAAAAUAUACUAUAUAUAAAAUUACAAAUUUUUCCUCUACGUCCAUAACUUAACCUUGUAGCAGUAUGGUUCUUAUUCGAUUCAGUGAUUUUACAUAUGUAAUUAUAUUAAAUCAUAUAUAUACACUUUUAUUUGGAUUAAAUAAAUAAAUGAUGCUUAAGAUUACUAAUUUUGACAACAAGAUUGUAUAACUUGGCGGGAGGAAAUGGGAAGGAGUGGGGGAUGGUUGGCUAACUAAUCUCAACCAGAAGAGUCUAUCAAUUAUCAUUUACGUUGUGGAGUGGAGCCCAAUUCCUCACUUUCUUUCAGUUUCCACGUUGUCUUUUGUCCCAUUAUUAUUUUUAUUUUUUGAAAAAGGCUUUUGCCCCAUUAUUGAGUUUUAUUUGUCAGAUGAUAGUUGUGAAAAAGUAUAUGAUUAAAAAUGAAUAAAAGCGAAUACAUUGUGAACGAAUUAAUAUUCUAGAACUUUCGCAAAUUUUUAAAGUCAAUUAUGUGAAUACUAUAUACGUAUAUGUUGAAACCUAGAGUAUUCAAAACAGAAUUUAGUUCUGCAUCUGUGAAAAUUAUAAAAGCGCUUUAGAACUAGUAUUCUGGUUCCGUUGGUCAAUCAUUCAAAUAUGUUGACUUUCUUACAUUGUAUUUUGACACCAAUUCACAUUUACAAAUUACAAGUUGAAGUUUCCGAGAUUGGAAAUAGAGUAAAAGCUAAAUGACUAUGCAUGGUAUAUCUCUAAAAAUAGUAAGUACUAACAGUUGACACUGACAGCACAAGAUCCAAAAUGAAUUUUUUUUUAUCUAAACGACAAGCAAUUUUAACUGUUAUCUAUAGUAACCUUCAAGGAACUACGAUUCUACAUCCGUCUUAUCGACUCAUUGCACUUUGUAAUUUAAAACUAAAUAAAUCUAAACUCUUUGAUUUACACAUCGAAUGAGGAUAAUUUAAUUUAAUCAUCAUUUCAUAAGGUUUAAUCGAAUUUGAAAGCUUGAACAUAAAUCAUGUUUCUCUCCGUGCAUCGUCGACCAUAUGUAUAUAUGUCGGUCUCGUCGACAAUUCGUCGACCAAUGGAGACAUGCAACAUCAUGAUUACUUUAGCAUGCGAAUAUUUCAUGAAUAUUGACUAAUUAUUAUAUUAUUUUUAUAAGAAAAAAAGAAACUCCAAGGCAACAUCACUCAAAGCAUAACACGUGGCUUCACACGAACACACAGACAGGUGGAUAAAAUUAAUAUCGUUAGCUAAGUUGAAAGUUUUUUUUUUUUUUUUUUUUUUUGUUAAGUUGUUGAAAGCUCAUUUAUCCAGUUAUGAGUUAUCAGAUAGCCACAGGACUUCUCGGUUGUUUUUGGUGGUUAUUGUAAUCCCAACAUCACUUUCGUCUUUUGUUAAAGUUAAUAUAAACUCUGUUUUUGUAAUCCAAACACGUAUUCUUUCUUUUUUCUUUUUAUACUUCAUCAUCGCUUCACAUUCUGGAUUUCCACAGCACGAGAAAUCAGGGCCGGUCCUUGACUAAAGCGGACAAAGCUAUAGGUUUAGGCGGCAAAAUUAUGUUACAUAUUUCAGGGGCAGCAAUUUUGUUAGAAAUGAUAGUGGUGUAGUAGUUGUUGCUAUAACUUGGAUUAUGGCUUCGAUUCUUUACUCUUACAUUUUUAUAGGCUAUAUAUUUUAUUGAUAGAUCUAAAGUUUUUGAGCUUUAGAUGCCACAUAGUGAUGGACCGGACCUCUGAGAAAUCCUUGUCAAAAUCAGCUAGAUCAUCCCACAUUACUUUCAGUCUGCCAAAGUAAACUUCAACUGCAUUGCCAUUCUGUUUGCAUGAUGCAAUCCAGCAUGAAGUUGAUGAACUUUUUGUAUCAUCGCUUAUAGAAAAGCCUCAGUUGAAGGCUUCCCCACAUAAUCUUUGCGCUGUCAACCAGUGAUAUUGACGGUCGCAAUUUUGGUUCUACACUCCUGUAGAUCCAACCAAUGAUCAUAGCAUUCACAAUAUCCCACUUUUUUCAUCUUCUGGUUUGUUGACUGGUUGUUUCAGAGUGCCAUCAACGAAACCUAUCUUUUGUUUGGUUCUUAACUAGUUGAACAUCAAUUUUGCCCAUUUUUCAUAAUUUGCUCCAUUCAAAAGAAUGAGUGUCUAAACUUGUCAUGUAUUAUCUAAAGGAUGGAGAUAAUAUGGAGAGACAAGUGGAUCGUUUCUCCACCAGUAGCUCAUGUCGGUGACGCCAUGCUAAUCGAGGUAGAUCAAAAAAAAUCUCAUCGUAACAGUAUAUUUUGGUGGUUCGUAAAUUUAUUAGCUUUGUAGAAAAUUUAGUUGUUUGGCUGUGAUACCAUAACAAACUAAUAUAAACUUUGUUUUUGUUAUUCAUCUCAAGGUCAAUACAUCGAUAUUUAUACACAUGAUAUGAGCCGUAACAAUAGGAGAUAACUACUACAACCAAUAAUGUUGUGUUUAUUUAAAUAUAUGUUUAUCCUUAACUAAUAUUUCGCACAUAUCACCGUCUGUUGAUAUAGGGUUUGACUAAGUUUUGAGUUAAGGUUAGUGCAUAUAUAACACCACAAACUUAAGACCUUAUCACACCAAAAUUACUAGUGCCUCGUAAAAACAAGGAUCUGAAGAAUAAAUCUGAUCCAAAAAGUUAUACCAAACUUGAACUGAAACUGAUAAAAUAUAUGAUGAAUAGAUUCAAAAUUUUAAUAUAUGGAAAAACCGGAGCAGAACCAAACUGAAAUAUUCCAGACACAUAAAAAUAAAUGAUCAUUAAUUAUAUGCUUAAAUAUAUUAAUUAUUUUUAAUAUAAUAUCUAAAAAUAUUCUGAAUUAUCAAAUACUUGGAAAAAUAUCUAAAAUUUGAAGAAGAAAAACUGACAUUGAAGUAAACUACAGUUAGAUAUGUAUGACCCCGAAUUAUUGGGCCCAAAUUAUUCUAUGGGUCAAUCUGGGCCCAAGUUGUUUAAAAUUAACAUAUUAGCGUAAUGCGUAAUGGAUCUCACUUAAGAAGGAUCUAGAAAUUCUGUAUUAUGUGGGUAUAUAUCUAAUUAUAUAAAAGAAUGUUUGAGUCUCUCCCGUCAUGUCCACGUGUAAAUUCUUUUGAUAUAGACUUGACGCGUGUCUCGCUUCUCCACAAACCGAGCUUUCUUCACUCCUUUUCGCUCUAUUGUUUUGGGCUUCAGUUGCCAGGCCCGUAAGUGAAGAUGAACCCUAGAUCGCGUUUCGCGUUUACACCAUCGCCUCCGUCCUGACUUUGCGAUUCCGGUAACGGUUCAGCCGAUACUUAACUCCCAUUUAUUGUUACCUCCACGAUGUGCCUUCAAUGCGGUCGUCGCGUCGCAUAGGCGGUGAGUUUUUUUGUAUAUAUAGACAUCAGAUCUCUCAUCUUCGAUUCAUCAAAUCUUUGUUGCUUAGUACUCAUAUAGAUUCCGCUUCAGUUUUGUCAUGUCUACUCCCAGGGUUUUCUUCUCAGACCUCAAGUCCGGCAAGUGCUCAUCCGCUGUUGAGGCUCGGCUUCUGCGAUUCUGGGAGGCGAAGAAUGUCAAACGCGGUGGGGAGCUGAUGUGGGUCGACAUGCUCUUGAUUGAUGUCAAUGUGAGUUAUUUUCAUACAUGAUUAAUCCGAUUAAACUCUUCGUGUUUGGUUUUUUUUUCCUAAAGUUUAAUCAAUUUUUUUUUUCAUGUAUCAGGCGACAAUGAUGCAAGCCACCAUCUAUGCUAACCGCCUUUCAAGAUUUCGUUCCAAACUCGCCGCCGGAACGAUGUACACCAUCUCUGGAUUCGACUCCCCUCUGAUGAUCCGGUUUAAUGAUUCCACCGCCUUUGAUGAGCUAACCGAGCCGGUUAGUCCAUUACCUGAAGAAGGAUUCCGGUUCCGUAAUCAGUCUGAAUAGCAAGGGUUCAUCGUGUUCGUCGACCUUUGGGUAAUCUCAAACAAUGGAGUUUCGAAGAGAGUUAUCAGAGACGGAUCGAUCGAUCUGUAUUCGUGUCGUUUCGUCUUGCUUCUGGAUGAAUUGAUUUGAUGCCAUUAAUGAUAUUCUUAACUCCAUCAAGCCACUGCAACCACGUUUUGUCAUUCAAUACACCUUCUAUCUCUUCAAAGGCGGUGCAUCUCAAGCUAUAAAAAGCUGAGCUUUCAUCCCAUAAACAUUAUCCUCACAAAUCAAAAUAAUCCUUGAAAGUUAUUUGAUUUUUUAACUCAAUAUUGAUGUUUGUUGUUUGCUUUUUAUACUUUUAUUAUAUGCUUGAAUCAGCAACGCAGGGCCGUGCUAGGCAGGAACUAGAAGACUCUUGCUUUUCGGAUUCCCUUCAUUAACAUAAUCAACAAACUCAACUCUAAACACAGGUUUGUUAAAUCUAUCGUUGUACUUUUGUAAUUGAAGACUCAAAGUUUUACACUUUCUAUGGUUCUUAUUUGGAUUCGAUGUGUGAAAGGCUUGGUAAGAACCAUUUUUGUUUGGUUUUGGCUCCGACAAGAGAGCUUGCUGGUCCGGUAGCAAAUAAAUUCAGAGAAGCCCCAUCUCUCGGUGAGGCACGAAACAGAACAGCAAAAUGAGAACUCUCAGAUGCAGAAUUUCGCUGGUGUUGGUGGUGCUCCUGUUGGUGAUAGUUUAGGACCUUCACGUCUCUCUCCGGCUGACUUCUACGUCUUGAAAGUUUGACAGGGCAUGUGAAUCAUAAUGUAAGCUUUUGAAUUUUUUUUUACAAGUUAUAUACUUUUGGCAGGUAAUGCUUUAGAUAGUAGAUGAUAGUUUUGAAUGUUUUUUUACAAAUUAUUGACUUUUGGACAUGUUAUGCUUUAAGAUAAUGGAUGAUAGUUGGAGAGCAAAAUUUGACAGAGAGUGAGAUAAGAUGGCUUUAGGCUAUGCUUUAAGGCUUAUGGUAUCUAGAGAGAUUGUAUUCCUGAUGGUGAUGAAACUGCUAACAACAUUAUGAGUGUCUCAUGUCCAAACGAGAAAAAUGUUUCCUGUGUCUGGAUUUUUUUUUCUGUUUUUUUUUUGUACCUAAGAUGUUAUGUCUAUCAAUUGUAUUUUGGAAAUCCACAUUUGUUCUGUUUCUAAAAACGUUUAUAUAUGUGUGUACACACAUGUAAUCUAAACUUCUAAGCUCUUCAUAUUAUGUGCAAUGUUAUGACUCAGGAGGAUGAUAAAGCUGAGGCUCCGGAGGAUGAGAUGGUUGUGAAAGAGCCUGAGGUAGAAAAUAAACAGAACUGGAACCGGUGUUUGAAAAACAGAAGGAGAGGAGGCAGAAAGCUUUGAAUGAGAAAGAGAUGGAUAAUGUUGCAUACAAUGACUUCGAAACUUCUAUCAAGCAUUACUCCAAAAAGGCAUUAGGGAGAAACAGAAACAUGAAGAGGUGAAUCGUUUAAAGAGGGAGACUGCUGAAACAGAGGAAUCACAUAGACGAAUAAGAAGAAGAGAGUAAGAGACCCAUGACAGAGCGUCAAGCUGCAGAGAGAGAGAGAAGCUACUAGACUGAGAAUAAGGCAAGAAAAGGCACUUCAUCUUGACGGAUCUGAGAAAGGACCUGAUGCUAAACAUGUAAGUUAUCUUUUCUUUAACACCCAUUACUUAUACUUCGUUCAUGAAAGGCCAAACUAUUACUUUCUAUGCAAAGCACAUCAGUCUAAUUUUUAUGCUGUUGGGAUUCAGAACUUUGUGAUAGUAUAAAAUUUUAAUUUUUAUCAAGCCUUAUAAAUCUCUUUAUAAAUGCAGGAGUCAACAGAAGUUUUUUUUUAUUCUUUAUCGAUGCUUGAAGCGGUAACUCAUCUCUCUCUCUCUAAAUACAUGUAUGUAUAUAUUUCUCAGUACAAUGUCUUACAAAUACGCUUAUCUGUUUUGUUGAAACAUUUGAUUUGUUCUGGACCUUGCGGGGAAUGGUAACAUCAAAUAUGUGUUAUUUACAAUCUACAUAAAUACAUUGACAAAACUGCAAACUUCCUUUGAUUGUGUCUCUUGCUGUUUGUUCUAGGAGGCACAUAUUAUGAACAUAAGAUGUCACUUCUGGCUACUACAAAGUAUCAAGGUAAAAAUUAGAUUCAAAAUUUCUCUUAUGCAAUUCCUGAUAACUUUAAAACUCAUCAUAGUGUUUUCACCUUUUUCUUCUGGUGAUAGGAUCAUUUGAAGAAGAUAGCAUGGUGAUGGAUUCAAAUAUGUAGGUAACAAAAACCACAACUCUUUCUCCCCACUUUCCAACUAUUUGGAUAUUUUAAAAUCAUUUAUUCGUUUAUUGCUUUUAGAUCUUUUACAUUCAUGAUUUGCAUCAAACAAUGUUCACUGUACUCUUCUUCAAUUAGUGAAGGGAAGAGCCAGAGGAUGAGACAUGGGUCAUUCCGGAGAUAAACGUCGUGCCGUGGUGGAAUGUUAACGUAUAGAUCUGAAGGAGAGGCCAAACAAAUCUUUUCUUUAGUCGAUAGAAACACAGUUUUUGUUUUUGUCGAGAGUAACUAUAUAAAAAUUAAUAAUAUUUUAUAAAAACCGAACGAGAGGCACAAUAUAAAACAACGUGAUAAAGAAUAUAUAAGCAUAAUAAAACUAUAAUAUAAAAUAAACUAAACAUAUCACAAAUUUACACAACAAAAAUAAUUUAUAGUAUUCUUAUAUCAAACAAUUUUAAUCAAAAAAUGACAAAAAUAAAAAAAAGAGCAGUCACGAAAAAUAAUGAUUCAUGCAUAAUAUAUAACAAACUAUUCAAAUAAAAAUCAAAUAUUAGUUAGUAUGUUUAGUUUUCUCAAACAUUCCUCUAAUCAUACUAACAUUGUAACAAUCUAUUACUUUUUGAAAGUGGGGUGCUGCAUUUUGUGUCCGUAAAGGACCAGAAGAAGAACGUUUGGCUACAUAGGUAUGUCUCUGCAUUUAAAUAGAUUUGUGUAUCAUGUUAUUGGCUUAAUGCUUUCGUGUUGAUCAUUCUGUUUAUGUGCAAUACUUGGACCACAGAGAGUGAGCAUGAUCGAGUAUGAACUCAAGAACAUGUGUAGACUUUAACAUGGUGAGUCAGCAUCCCCGAUUCUGAUGAACUCAUGUAACUGAUCUUACAGAGGGAGAUGAUCCCCUGAAUUGGCUGUUACCAUCAACUAUUGUUUGUUUUAUAAAACAAACAAAUCUUCUUUUUUUUUCCACUGUACUUUUCUAUAUAUAAAACAAAUCUAAAAUAACCAACAACUGGAUGCAAACCUCUUUGAAUGUGAAUGUGUAAAGUCAAAAAGUAGGCUGAAUCAGUCCAAUUAAUUGUUUAUGACACAAAGACAAAAUUAAGAAAAACAAUAUUUUAAACUUACGACAAAUACUCAGUAACAUAUUAUUUAACCGUACAACAGCAUGCUACAUACAAAGACACAGCACUCGGCGGUGAGCAACGCAGCACUCGGCAGAGAGAAAGAAGAAAUCGGCGGAGAAUAACGGAGAAAGUAGUGAAAGAGCAACAGAGCAAUGGCGGAUAGCAAUGAACAAGAGGCAUUGAGAUGGAUCAAGUGACGGAAAGAGUGAGAUGGACAGACAUGAAACAAGCGACAGAUAGUGUGACAAGAGAAAGGAAAUGAAAUUGCUGCAGUUCAAUAUGGCACAAGGGAGGUUCAUAGGCUCUCAGACAUGGUAAAUUAAUCACUCUGUUAGAAAACAUAUAACAAAGGUACAUGCCCAAUUGUGCUUAUUUCUUUCAAAGUAGAACCUCAUGAAAGAAAGUUGACACCUAUUGAAGAUAUCAAAGCUCUAAACAUGAAAACAUAAGUAAUUUCAAAUUCUAACAACAUUAAAAUCUGGAAUCUUCUUUGUAUUUGUUCAAAGUUUGUUAUACGAAUCCUUCUUUGCAUGUCUCUCCACAUGUUCAGUGCAUAUAUCAUAAGUUAGAUUGUAUGUUAUGUGUGGUCAUGUUAAUUUUGUACUUAUUGACUAUAAAAUGCAUUUUAUUCAUGAAUGGUUAACGGUAACAACUGUAUUUGGGACAUGAAAAAAAAUACAAUAGUGUUGUACUUAAUAGAAAACGACAAUAAUUUCACAAAUAAUCCAUUUAUAAUUAAGCAUGAAAAAAAACACUCAUUAAUUCAAAUAAUAACUCAGAAUAUAUAUAAAAGCUAACAUCUAACCAUUCAAUUAUUAUCCAAAAUUCUUAAACAAAAGAACUUUAACCAUUCAUAAUAUAAAUUGUAUAACAAAAUUAACAAACACCAUAUAAUAUCAUACACAAAUUCAUCAACAAAUAAUAAUCACAAUAUAACAAAAUUUGUUAUACUUUGGUGAUAACUUUUUUGAAUCAACAACAAAUUUUGAGAUACAAUUAUGAUUAUCAUUUUUCAAAAUUGAUUAUAUAUAUAUAUAUACAUAUAUUAUAAAUGGGGGCAUUUACAUCAAAACAGACUUUUGUCGAAAUGGAAUAAAAAUUUGAAAAGAAAAAAUUUCAAACACUUAUGAAAAUAAGAUAAAUAAUAUUUUGAUAAUGGGUUCAAUUAGUUGGAUUGUAAAUGCAUAACUUUUAUUGUAAGAACUCAGUUUGUCAUUUUUAGUGCCAUAGUUGUAAGUUUUUUUAUCUACAAAAUAUUACAAUUUUUAAACAGUUGAUUAAAAAAAAGCAUAAAGAUAUAUAAGGUGGUAAAUUAAAAGGUAGAGUCCAUUAAAUAAAUCAUAUACUAAUUAGAAACAAACGUUAUAAAUAGUUUUAUGUGUACUGAAACAUGUAAGCAAAUCAACCAAUUAAGCACCAUAAAUAAAAAAAAAAAUUUAAAAAAACAAAAAAAUAUUUAAAUUUUGUUCAUUCUGCUUUUUACCUUAUAUAUAAUUUUUAAUGACAAAAAAUAGAUACACAAAUUUCGAAUCGCGUAAGACAAAAACAUUGAAUAUUUUAAAUUAUUUUACAUUUAUCUAUAGUUUUAUAUAUUUUUAUAAUAGAUUAUCAAAUUUAUAUAUUAAAAUAAUCAUACUAAAUAUAUAAUUAAAAUUAAAUUUAAUAAAAAAACCCGGGCGUAGCCCGGGCCGACCCUAGUAUAUAUAUAUAUACACACAACUACUUCCUUCAUAACUUAUAUCUUCGACUACUUGGCUGCUGCUCUCUCUCUCUCCUUGAUAAACCCUAGAUCUCCCCGAUAAGCAGCAACAAUGGCAGACGCAGAGACCUUCGCUUUCCAGGCUGAGAUCAACCAGUUGCUCUCGCUCAUCAUCAACACCUUCUACAGCAACAAGGAGAUCUUCCUUCGUGAGCUCAUCAGUAACUCUUCCGAUGUACGUCUCUUUUGCUUUCUCCUGGAUCGAUCUGUCGAUUAGGUUUGAUUAGUGUUGCUGUUGUAUCCGAUUUGAAUAUUGAAGUAGGGAGCUCUAUGAUAUUCAAAUCUGUCUUCCUAGAUUUAGUUUUGCUACCAUGGUUAAGCAUUAGGUGUUAAGCUUCGAUGAAUUUGAUUUUCGUCUUUUAUGAGAUAAUCGCAUCUUCAAUCUAUGUGCAUUCGGUUUGUUUGUAUACUUAUGGUUGGAUCUUACUCUGGUGACUUAGUUUUUGAAUGAAAUAAGUAACUCGGAGGUAUAGUUUUGGAUUGAUUCUACGAGAUAGUUUGAGUUUCUUUCUAUGCGUUUGUAUACGUUCUUGCGUUUGUUACUUAAUGGUUUUGAUCUGAUUCUUGUGAAACAGGCGUUGGACAAGAUUAGGUUCGAGUCCUUGACUGAUAAGAGCAAACUCGAUGGCCAGCCAGAGCUUUUCAUUCACAUCAUUCCUGACAAGACUAAUAACACCUUGACCAUUAUCGAUAGUGGUAUCGGUAUGACCAAGGCUGAUUUGGUCAACAACCUUGGAACCAUUGCGAGGUCUGGUACCAAGGAGUUCAUGGAGGCGUUGGCUGCUGGUGCUGAUGUUAGCAUGAUUGGGCAGUUUGGUGUUGGUUUCUACUCUGCUUACUUGGUCGCUGACAAGGUUAUUGUGACUACUAAACACAAUGACGAUGAGCAGUACGUGUGGGAGUCUCAGGCUGGUGGGUCUUUCACCGUGACCAGAGACACCUCUGGAGAGAGUCUUGGUAGGGGUACUAAGAUGGUCCUUCACCUCAAGGAAGACCAGUUGGAGUACCUUGAGGAGAGGAGGCUUAAGGAUUUGGUCAAGAAGCACUCUGAGUUCAUCAGCUACCCAAUCUCCCUGUGGAUCGAGAAGACUAUUGAGAAGGAGAUUUCUGAUGACGAGGACGAGGAAGAGAAGAAGGACGAGGAAGGAAAGGUUGAGGAGGUCGACGAGGAGAAAGAAAAGGAGGAGAAGAAAAAGAAGAAGAUUAAGGAGGUUUCUCACGAGUGGGACUUGGUGAACAAGCAGAAGCCUAUUUGGAUGAGGAAGCCCGAGGAGAUCAACAAGGAGGAGUACGCUGCCUUCUACAAGAGUCUCAGCAACGAUUGGGAAGAGCACUUGGCCGUGAAGCACUUCUCUGUUGAAGGACAGCUCGAGUUCAAGGCUGUUCUCUUUGUACCCAAGAGAGCUCCUUUUGAUCUAUUUGACACCAAGAAGAAGCCCAACAACAUCAAGCUCUACGUACGUCGUGUCUUCAUCAUGGACAACUGUGAGGACAUCAUCCCAGAGUACCUUGGCUUUGUCAAAGGUAUUGUCGACUCGGAAGAUCUCCCCCUCAACAUCUCAAGAGAGACGUUGCAGCAGAACAAGAUCCUUAAGGUCAUCCGCAAGAACCUCGUGAAGAAGUGCAUGGAGCUCUUCUUUGAGAUUGCUGAGAACAAGGAGGACUACAACAAGUUCUACGAAGCUUUCUCUAAGAAUUUGAAGCUCGGCAUCCACGAGGACUCUCAGAACAGAACCAAGAUCGCUGAGCUACUCCGUUACCACUCAACCAAGAGCGGUGAUGAGUUGACCAGCCUCAAGGAUUACGUGACAAGGAUGAAGGAAGGUCAGGAGGAUAUCUUCUACAUCACCGGUGAGAGCAAGAAGGCUGUGGAGAAUUCUCCAUUCCUUGAGAGGCUCAAGAAGAAAGGGUAUGAAGUCCUUUACAUGGUGGAUGCCAUCGAUGAGUAUGCCAUUGGCCAGCUCAAGGAAUUCGAGGGAAAGAAGCUCGUCUCUGCAACCAAGGAAGGUCUGAAACUGGAAGAGUCAGAAGACGAGAAGAAGAAAAAGGAAGAGCUAAAGGAGAAGUUCGAAGGACUCUGCAAAGUGAUCAAGGACGUCCUUGGAGACAAAGUCGAGAAGGUCAUUGUCUCUGACCGUGUUGUGGACUCACCAUGCUGUCUGGUAACAGGGGAAUACGGCUGGACUGCAAACAUGGAGAGGAUCAUGAAAGCGCAGGCCUUGAGAGACAGCAGCAUGGGAGGUUACAUGUCUUCCAAGAAGACGAUGGAGAUCAACCCAGAGAAUGCGAUCAUGGACGAGCUGAGGAAGAGGGCUGAAGCAGACAAGAACGACAAGUCUGUGAAAGAUCUUGUUCUCCUCCUCUUUGAGACUGCCCUUCUCACUUCAGGUUUCAGCUUAGACGAGCCCAACACCUUCGGAAGCAGAAUCCACAGGAUGUUGAAGCUGGGAUUGAGCAUUGAUGAUGAUGAUGCCGUUGAAGCCGAUGCAGAGAUGCCACCGCUUGAGGAUGAUGCCGAUGCUGAAGGCAGCAAGAUGGAGGAGGUCGACUAAAAGCCUGCCCUGUUGCUGCAGUCGAUUAUUUUUCUGGACUUCUCUGAUCCUUUUU
This 106587-nucleotide long non-coding RNA is filed under the name Brassica rapa (field mustard). RNAcentral describes it as "long non-coding RNA (BRAP_LNC001773)". Lineage: Eukaryota; Viridiplantae; Streptophyta; Magnoliopsida; Brassicales; Brassicaceae. The record is from RNAcentral.